This 128270-nucleotide long non-coding RNA is filed under the name Triticum aestivum (bread wheat). RNAcentral's name for it is "long non-coding RNA (TAES_LNC017313)". The stretch from base 81314 to 81448 matches the Rfam family "MIR1120/MIR1122 microRNA precursor family". Lineage: Eukaryota; Viridiplantae; Streptophyta; Magnoliopsida; Poales; Poaceae. The record is from RNAcentral.
GUUGGUUCACGUUGGCUCUCACAUGUUGACGGCCGUGUGCAUCGGUAUGAAGUUUUAUUUCGGUCGGAAUUUCCUAUGACAGGCCGGCUACUAGAAUUAUCGUUACCCUAGAAAAUGUUGCCAUGGUUCAAAUAAAUCGAAUUCAAAUAAUCCAAAGUUCAAGUAAGAUAUAGAUGAUAUUAUUGACACAAAGAUGGUCAUGGCCUCUUGGCUACACAUGAUUGUUUGCUAGAGAGGGUCGAGGAAUUGAAUUCCAUUUUCCCACCAAUUUUUUGCAUUGUUACUUUGGCUGCCCAUCGGAUCUUCGCGCUUGAAAAGACUGCAUCCAUAGAGGUAAUGGGAGAGAUAAAUAACUUCAAAACAUCAGAAGAACACAAUGACAACAACAGAAUUUCAAGAGCCAUUUUAAAGAUAUGUUCCACAGGGAGGGACCGAUGGCAUCAUUUUUAGCCUUUGAAGCAAAAAAGACGGAUGACCCCAAACAAGUCUCCAAUUAUCCUAAAAAAUAAAGAAUUUAUUCAAAACCAUGCAUAUUAAUAUAUCAACAGACAAAAUCAGAGUAAAAUCAAUGCCAUGAUAACUUUAUUAUUAUUAAGAGUACAAUUAAUUUCACAUCAACAUAUUUUCUCAGAUAAAAACAAACAUUAUAUAGUCGAGAAACAUCACAUCUGGUGCUACCAAGGCAGUGUUCAAUUUAACCAGCAUGCCCAGUUCACUGUUUUCAUUUACCAGAGUCCCCACUCCACGCAUAUCGACAAGCUCGGAGUCGCACUCAUCGACAUAAUCAUAUGCCAUAUCCACACAACUGGCGAGCUCAUUGGACCGUAGCCCGUCCUCGUCGCGUUGGUAAUCCCUGAUCAUGGGAUCACAUAUGUUGAGGACGCUCAACACAGAGUCAUAUAAUCCACCUCACACAAACUAAGCCCAACUCCACCGCGUGACUCCAAAUGAACGUCCAUUUUGUCCGGAUUCUGUCCGUUUGGGUAGGGCAAUGAGGUCGUGUCCGGGCCGUUUCUGGGAUGCGGUGGCAGUUCGCCCAACGCGCGUACGCAUUCCGGCCACAUCCUGUCCGCAUACAUUUUCCUUUGCAAGCCCUUAACUUUUUUUCAUCAUUCAUUUUUGGUACAUGGGAAUACAUCACCAAAUUUUGACUAGAAAAGUAAGACAAAGAAAAAACAAGAACCAUAAGAAUGCAUUUUAGAAGAUAUUUAACUUCCAUAACUGCUCCUGUAAGUUGGAUUAGUGCCUUCUCGAUGCAUUCAUUGUUUAUCUGCGGAGGAGGCUCGAUCUUGCGUGCUUCUUUCUUCUUCGAGUCUACAGAAGUAGAGGUUGCUUCCUCGCAUCUAGUCUCAUGUCUAGCCUCUAAUCUAGCAACAAGUGCACUAGUCUCAUCUCUAGCCUCUAUGCUAGCUAAAAGUUCAAUAUAUCGAUGUACUCUUCUUCCCAAUACCAAAACUUGCAUCCAUGCUACACAAUAAAAUUUUAAGUUAGCACAACUAGUCAAAUCUAAGAGCACAACCGAAGCUAAAAAGAGCACAUACCCCAUCGUUUAAGCAUUUGAUGAACACCCAUCCGGAAUGUUCCGGCGUUAUAGACACGCGGCCAACGACACUAGUAGAAAAAGGGGCUUUUGGCCCGGUUGGUAAGGCCCUUUAGUCCCGGUUUUUGAACCGGGACUAAAGGGUCGUUACUAAUGCCUCUCCCCUUUAGUCCCGGUUCUUACAUGAACCGGGACUAAAGGCCGCGGCCACGUGGAGCUCCACCUUUAGUUCCGGUUGGUAACACCAACCAGGACUAAAGAAACUUUUAUGAUAUUUUUUUUGAAUUUUUUUUUGAUUUUCAAAUUUCUGAAUUAUUUUAACCUCUAAUCUCUAAUCACCACCCCUCAUCACUGCUCAAUUUAUCCUCUAAUCUCUAAUCACCCCUCAUCAUUCCAAAUCAUCUAACUUCCCGGACGGUCACCCAUCCUCCUGAGCACGCUUAACUUCCGGGUUCUGUUCUCCCUCGUUUCCAAGUCUGCAUUUGUUGUUUUCCUGACAAUAGUAAGUUGCCAAUCCUAUUAACCCUCAGGAAUUUAGCUUGAGCAUGAAGUGACACAUUUCACUGUUUGAGUUUGAAACUAUAGUUUUAAAAAACAAUAAUUAUUUAGUAACACUAAUAUUUCUUGAAUAAUUAGUUUGACCAUUGUUUGACCAUAGUUUGACCAUAGUUUGACCAGAUUUGACCAAAAUUCAAAAAAACUGAAAUAAUUAUUUAGUAACACUAAUAUUCUAGAAUAAUUAGUUUGACCACAGUUUAACCAGAUUUGACCAUAUUUUUUCCAAAAAAAAAUUGAAACUAUAUUUUUUUCUGUUACUAGUGGCGCACCUAGCAAAUGGUGCACCACUAGUAAGUUUGAAAUUUUUUUGAUUUUUUUCCACUCUAGAUCUUAAAAGCCCAGUAACUUUUUCCUGUUAGGUUUUUGAGGAUUUUGAAAAUGUUUAACGGGGUUCCCCCCAGUUAAAUUCGGAUGUAACUAUUCGAGUAGAUGAUUUUUCAUAUAAAAAACUUUUUAAUCCGAGUUCGUAUGCAAAAGUUAUGCCCAUUUUACAAAUUCCAGAGAGAUUUUGCAAAUAAAGUCGAAAUUCAUAUUUGUAAAUUUUUCCAACAACUAGACCACAUAUCACAUGGGAAACUUAUUUUAUUUUAUUUUUUUGACAUUUCCAUCAUUUUCUUUUGUUUUUUCUAAAACUGAAAAGGCGGUCCACCGGGGCGGGGGGGUGGUGGUAGAGUUUGAAAAUGGGACCUUUAGUACCGGUUCGUGCCAUGAACCGGUACUAAUGCCUCAAAGCCCAUUAGUACCGGUUGGUGCCACCAACCGGUACUAAUGGGCAUCGCACCCUUUAGUCCCGGUUCGUGGCACCAACCGGGACUAAAGGGCCCAGGUGAACCGGGACUAAUGCCUUAGCCGCAUGAACCGGGACCAAUGCUCACAUUAGUCCCGGUUCGUGACUGAACCGGGACUAAUGUGAAUACUGCCCUGUGACCAAAGCCCUGUUUUCUACUAGUGCGACCUUCUUUGGGCAGUGGUCGCACUUAAUUAGUGUCAACGGUGCACCGACGAACUUUUGGGCUAGCACCGAGCCCGGCUGGCCGUCAUAAGUGUAUCUGCCGGCAGACCACUGACGGUGUAGAUCCGAGCGGCUAGAGGAAGAGCCACUGCCUGCAUGCGGCCUUGAGGCCCUGCCAGGGCCUUCCGGCGCGGUGCCCGGCCAGUCCAUGGUGCGGCGCGGCCUCCCACAGCCGGGCGAGCUCAAGACCGACCGGAUCUGCCCCAAAUCCGGCCGGCGGGUGCGCAAAUCAGGUGGCCGUGAUUGGGUAGCUCGGGGGCGCCGAGGGGAAGGGGCUGGGCGAGCGCGCGUCCGAGCUGCACAGCUGCAAUGGCAGCGGCGGCGGCGGCGGCGGCGGCGAGUGGAAGAGUAGGGAAGAGUGGAGAAGAGUGGAGGGGGUGCGGCCGGAGGGAGGGAGGGGGGCGGAUAGAAAAAGGCGUCCUUGUGCCACCGACGGGCGGGCCAGGGGAGGACAUGCGCACACGCCCCGCCCGUCCGCGUGUUGUCCCUUUCACCCCAAAAGCGGCGCAAACUUGGGCCGGGGAUGGGUCAAAGCGGACAGAAAACAGACACAAAUUCGUUUGCGCCCGCGCGCUGGGCUGUCUGGUUCGUCCGUUUUAUCCCAAACGGACGCACGUGGACAGGAUGGGGUCGCGUGGUGGAGUUAGCAUAAGGACACGCAUUGGCACCGUGCCUUCUUGCUUCAUGUGUUUGUUGUCUUCGCACAGGAGCUCUAGCACAGACGUUCUUAAGGUCAACCUGGCCUGUUCGGCACGCCUGUGUAAAAAAUCAUGACACAGGCAUGAGGUAAUAGUUAGGGGUCUACUCCUUGCUACGCCUGAGAGUUAAUACAUCAUAGCAGUAGGUAGCUCCAGUUGAUAAGUUUCCCUAAUGCUCUAUAUAUAAGACAAAGAUCAAUGGAACGCUCAUUGGUGUGGGCAGCGAGUUGCCAGAAACAUUUCUUCCUCCUCUGCUCUGCUCGCUCCUCCUCCAGGCGACAGACUCCUCUUCCCGGGAACGCAUCCACAGUCGCCGGUGAAAGGUCUGAUAACAAGCGUGACAUCAUAUUCCACCAUCGCGUCGAUGCCGAGCAUAGUGCCCAUGGCAAGGCUAGCCUUCACCGCGCUCGUCGGCGUCGCCAACGCCAUGCUCAAUGCCAACCUGAUGGCUGCCGCCUUUCACAUUCACCGUGCUGCCUUCCAGGUGUUUGAUUAAAUGAGUUAAAUUAUUGGUGUUCUCCUGCUAUGGGCAGGUGAUGCACGGUAGCUCUGGUGGAUGACUCAUGUUUAGCCUGUUGAUGUUGGAUCGAAGGUGGUGCUGCAGUAGCGGGAGGCAGGCGGCAUGGGACGUCUUUGUCUUCCAUUGUCUUCUUCAGUGGUAUCUGACUAUCGAGGCGUCGAUAAACGGAUAAGGGCGGAUGGUACAGGAGGCUUCAACGAUGAUUUUAUGCACGCCGGUGGAAACACAAGACCUUAGAUCGGGCUAUGUCGUUGUGCGCCUGCGUCGUGUCCUUGUUGAAUGUGGUGGAUUGAAUCUUGACUUUGGGGAUGAGAACCAGAGUUCUACCUUGUGGUGGACUCGCCAACAUCGGUGCACGUGUGACGAUUCCUUCUUGAAGGUGUAGCCUAUGAGUUGUGUAUUUUUCAUAUAUAUUGUGUCUUGUAACAUAGGGUUAGUGGCUAUCUGAUGAAGUUACUGUCGCAAGGUAUUUGGCCUCACGGUUUGUUUUCCAUCUCUUUUCCGAGACAAGUUUGUUCGGCUGCUGGAUUUUGCAUUUCUAAUAAUUAUGCCUGCAUGCAUCAUUCUGUUGCAGAGGCCGGGGUUAUUCUCUUUUUCAGAAAAAAAAACUGAGCAACAGUGAUUUUCCUAAAAAAAAAUUAAGGAAAUGGAAUAGGGAGAAGAUUUUGCAUUUUAGGAUAAAGAAUCUGCUAAAGAUUUUCUAAGAUAAUUGCUGACUUGGGCACAUCAUUGUUUUCAUUUAUUUGAGACGCAGAUUGGAGCACAGCAUUUGCUGGUAAUUAAGCAGAUGCAUGAUGCAUGCCAACAUGACACUCGGGAAAUUAACAAGAUUACUCUUCCUACAGUAAUACAGAUUCACACGUAAGGUCAAGUCUAAAAAAGAUGUAUCGGGAUCAGCUUCCAUUUCUAAUAGUCCAUGGUGGAAUAUGAUGUCACGCUUGUUAUCAACGUUUUGGAUCGGGAGUGAACAGUGACCUAGCCAAACCAAUGUGCCAGGGUGGUCCAAUAGUGGAAAUAUUUACAUAAAUUUAUUUAUUUUCAAAGAAAUAUUUUUUACUACACUAUAUACAUGCUGUGGGGAAAAUUCAGGGUGGUCCAUGUCCGUCCCUUAGCUAUGCUACUACGAGUUAGAGAACAAAGUGCAAAAAAAAUCGGACAGAAUUUUAAAUCAUUUUUUAAGUCGAUAUAGAGAGUUAUUUAUCUUUACCUAAUAAUAAUAAUAAAGUACGGAGUGCUUUUGCCCGUUCACCGUCAUCCGAAUUACCAUCAAAGUUGCGUGAAUUACUCACUAAUGCCACCUGUAAGUGGCAAAAACAAUUCGCACUUUUCCCUCUGGUUCAAUAUGAAGCUAUCUUCUUAGAGCAUCUCCGGCCAUUCGACCCCCAAGGACGCCGAAAAAGAGCCGCCUAGGGCCGAACCGGUGUUCGCUUGCCGCGUGGGGGCGGUUGCGUUCCCAGUCGACGNNNNNNNNNNNNNNNNNNNNNNNNNNNNNNNNNNNNNNNNNNNNNNNNNNNNNNNNNNNNNNNNNNNNNNNNNNNNNNNNNNNNNNNNNNNNNNNNNNNNNNNNNNNNNNNNNNNNNNNNNNNNNNNNNNNNNNNNNNNNNNNNNNNNNNNNNNNNNNNNNNNNNNNNNNNNNNNNNNNNNNNNNNNNNNNNNNNNNNNNNNNNNNNNNNNNNNNNNNNNNNNNNNNNNNNNNNNNNNNNNNNNNNNNNNNNNNNNNNNNNNNNNNNNNNNAGGAUUUGUACAAACUCGGGGAUAUUUGGUAAAAAAUUGUACAAAAACAGUUAAACAUGCAAACUGCGCCUAGAACUACGCCUAGCCCUGCUAUGCCGCGGCCGCCGCCCGCCAUCUACAUGCCGAGGAGCCUGUAGAAACGGUGAAGUCGCCGCCGCCGUCAUUGUCAUCGUCGUCGUCGCGCGCCCCGCCGGAGCCGCCGCCGUCCCUACUGCACCCCUGGCCAAGGUCAGCUUGGCGCGGUGGGGGGUUGGACGGCCCGGCCUCGCCCUCGUCACCCUGCUCGCGUCCGCGGCGCCGGGCCUGGAGCUCCGCGUAUGCCCAGCGCUGGCGGAGCACCUGCUCGCGGACGUAGUCCUCCCUCGCCCACUUGAGGGCGGCCUCGUCGUCGGGGGCCACCAUGUCCGCGUGCUCCGGCUUCACGGGGAGCAGCCCCGGCUCGGGUUUCGGCCGGACCAGGUGGAGGGAGCGCGGUGUGUUGCCGGUCUCGAUGUAGUCGAGGACGGCCUCGAGGGUGCGGCCGGGCACGCUCCACCACUCGCGCCGCCCGUCGGCGUUCAGGCGGCCGCGGUGGAUGGUGCCGUUGGCGGAGGCGAUCUGCUCUUGGCGGCAGUGCUCGAAGAACAUCAUCCACAGCGUGUGGCUGUUAAUGGCGUACCUCGGCUCGUUCCGCUGCUCCUCGGUCAGUGACGCGUGGAUGCGGGCGAUCUCGGCCCGCCAUGCAGCCCCUUCGGGCACCGGUGGCACCGGAACGCUGCCGGCACUCAACUUCCCCGACCCCGGCAUCCGCAUGUCCGGGGGCGCCGGGUAGUCGGCCUCUUGGAGAUGGCGGCGACCGAAGCCGUUCGCCUCCACGGCGUCGCCGGGUACCUCUCAGCCAUUGCUCAUCGGCGUGGAAGAGGGGGGAAGUGUUGUUUUGUGUGGCGCUACGAGGCGAGGUGUGGCGACUAUGGCAUUCACCUGCGGGGAGAUCGGCUUUUAUAGCCGAAGCGGGGCGGUGAGAGCCUGCAUGCCGGGCGGCGCGGGGCGGGAGCGGGGGGACGCGCGUCGGUGGCGCCUUCACUGUGCCGCCCAUGAGACAUCAAUGGAAGCUGACCGAGGCUGCAGCGCGGCAGCCUUCGCCAGCUUUGGCAUUGAUUCCUGUUCACGCCAAAACCGCGUCCACCGGCGCCCCAGGUGCCGGGUUCGGCCUGUGUCCGCAGGCGCCGGUUUCGGCCUGUGUCCGCAGGCGCCGGUUUCGGCCCAAACUGGCUGGAGAUGCUCUUAUGUGACACAAGCACAUGCGCAUACCACCGGCUAGAGGUUCGACCCCAUGUUCUUCCCAUUUUCCCUCCCUUUUCUAUCUUGUUGAUAGCGGAUUGAUUGGGCCAGCCCAGCGCGGCUUUCAACUCUUUUUUUUUCCUUUCUUACAGUUGGUUUUUCUUUCUUUUAGCUUUAUUUCAAAAUACUCUGAAUAUUUCUACUACAAAAAUCACUUAUAUGCAAAAAUUAAAAAUGUUAAUCAUGCAUUAAAGAAAUGUUAAACUUCUCUAGAAAAAAUGUUUCCACCAUAUACAAACAAAUGGAUAGUGUGUAUGGAAAGCACAAUUAGAAAAAUAAUAAUGUAAGUAUCGUCUUCUUUUUUUGAAACAAAAUUAAGCAUGCAUUUAAAAAAUAUUAAAUGUGUAUAAAAAUGUUUCUGAUGUAUACAAAAAUAUACAAUGUGUAUAGAACAAAGUACACAUAAAACGUAUAUGUUUCCAAAAAUAAUAAUCAUGUAUUUGGGCCAUGUUAACCGUGUAUAUAAAAAUGAUCAUGAUGUACACAAGAAAUAUAGAAUGUGUAUAGAAAAAUUAUACAUAAAAAAACUAUAUCUCUAUAAAUAGUUGAAAAUUAAAUUGGAAAAUGUUAAACGUGUAUAUCAAAAUGUUUGUCAUGUAUACAAAAAUAUACAAUGUUUAUGGAGAAUAUAGAGAUAAACACAAUAAUUUACCAAAUGUUAAUUAUGUAUUUUCAAAAUGUUAAUAAAGUAUUUUCAAAUUGUUAAGUGUGAUAAAAAAAUUCUGGUGUAUACAAAAAAAUUACAAUGUAUAUGAGCAAACAUAGACAUAAAAAAAAUAUUAGUUGUCAAAAAUGUUAAUUAUAUAUUUAGAAAUGUUAAACCUGUAUAUAAAAAAAAUUCUUGGUGUAUAACAAAAAUGUAGAAAGAAAACGAACAAAAACUAUAAAAUUGAAAAAAACACAAAAAACAAAGAAAGCAAAAAAAACCCGUAAAACCAAAAGAAUAUACCAAAAAAAGAAAAAACAAGGAAAAUAAAAACAUGCUAUCAUUAAUUACUAAAACGUACUUUGCUAUUUUCAUCACACCGCAAAUAUUUAUUGGGUAUUUUUGUUGUCUAAUAAGUUACAAACAUCUUGAGUACACUACAAAAAUCAUCCCAUCUUUAUAUUUUUGUGCAACACCACUUAGAGCAUCUUUAGCAGACCCCGCAUAAGUGGUCAAACCCGCAAAAAAUUUGCGUUAUACAGUUUUGGGCGAAAAAAGUGUCCAGAACAGAAACCGUAAAAGUAAUCCAACCCGUAAAAUUUUUAAGGGCCACCGCAAAUGCACACCCGAAACCCUUAUCUUUGGAGGUUGGAAGGCCGAAUAUAGGGGGGCCCUGAUGUCUACUACACAACCUUCUUCUUGUAGACGUUGUUGGGCCUCCAAGUGCAGAGGUUUGUAGGACAGUAGCAAAUUUCCCUCAAGUGGAUGACCUAAGGUUUAUCAAUCCGUGGGAGGCGUAGGAUGAAGAUGGUCUCUCUCAAGCAACCCUGCAACCAAAUAACAAGAGUCUCUUGUGUCCCCAACAUACCCAAUACAAUGGUAAAUUGUAUAGGUGCACUAGUUCGGCGAAGAGAUGGUGAUACAAGUGCAAUAUGGAUAGUAGAUAUAGGUUUUUGUGAUCUGAAAAUAUAAAAACAGCAAGGUAACUAAUGAUAAAAGUGAGCGUAAACGGUAUUGCAAUGCUUUGAAACAAGGCCUAGGGUUCAUACUUUCACUAGUGCAAGUUCUCUCAACAAUAAUAACAUAACUGGAUCAUAUAACUAUCCCUCAACAUGCAACAAAGAGUCACUCCAAAGACACUAAUAGAGGAGAACAAACGAAGAGAUUAUGGUAGGGUACGAAACCAUCUUAAAGUUAUCCUUUCCGACCGAUCUAUUCAAGAGUCCGUAGUAAAAUAAAUGAAGCUAUUCUUUCCGUUCGAUCUAUCAUAAGAGUUCGUACUAGAAUAACACCUUAAGACACAAAUCAACCAAAACCCUAAUGUCACCUAGAUACUCCAAUGUCACCUCAAGUAUCCGUGAAUAUGAUUAUACGAUAUGCAUCACACAAUCUCAGAUUCAUCUAUUCAACCAACACAAAGUACUUCAAAGAGUGCCCCAAAGUUUCUACCGGAGAGUCAAGACGAAAACGUGUGCCAACCCCUAUGCAUAGAUUCCCAAGGUCACGGAACCCGCAAGUUGAUCACCAAAACAUACAUCAAGUGAAUCACGUGAUAUCCCAUUGUCACCACAGAUACGCACAUGCAAGACAUACAUCAAGUGUUCUCAAACCCUUAAAGACUCAAUCCGAUAAGAUAACUUCAAAGGGAAAACUCAAUCCAUUACAAGAGAGUAGAGGGGGAGAAACAUCAUAAGAUCCAACUAUAAUAGCAAAGCUCGCGAUACAUCAAGAUCGUACCACCUCAAGAACAUGAGAGAGAGAGACAUCAAACACAUAGCUACUGGUACAUACCCUCAGCCCCGAGGGUGAACUACUCCCUCCUCGUCAUGGAGAGCGCUGGGAUGAUGAAGAUGGCCACAAGUGAGGGUUCCCCCCUCCGGCAGGGUGCCGGAACAGGGUCCCGAUUGGUUUUUGGUGGCUACAAAGGCUUGCGGCGGCGGAACUCCCGGUCUAUUCUGUUCCGCGAUGUUUUUAGGGUAUAUGGAUAUAUAUAGGCGAAAGAAGUCGGUCAAGGGAGCCACGAGGGGCCCACGAGGGUGGGGGCGCGCCCAGUGGGGUAGGCGCGCCUCCCUGCUCGUGGCCACCUCGAAGCUUUCUUGACUUCAACUCCAAGUCUCCUGGAUCACGUUCGUUCCAAAAAUCAUGCUCCCGAAGGUUUCAUUCCGUUUGGACUCCGUUUGAUAUUCUUUUUCUGCGAAACACUGAAACAAGGGAAAAAAACAGAAACUGGCACUGGGCUCUGGGUUAAUAGGUUAGUCCCAAAAAUAAUAUAAAAGUGUAUAAUAAAGCCCAUAAACAUCCAAAGCGGGUAAUAUAAUAGCAUGGAACAAUCAAAAAUUAUAGAUACGUUGGAGACGUAUCAAGCAUCCCCAAGCUUAAUUCCUGCUCGUCCUCGAGUAGGUAAAUGAUAAAAACAGAAAUUUUGAUGUGGAAUGCUACCUAACAUAUUUAUCAAUGUAAUCUUCUUUAUUGUGGCAAGAAUAUUCAGAUCCAUAAUAUUCAAGACAAAAGUUUAAUAUUGACAUAAAAAUAAUAAUACUUCAAGCAUACUAACUAAGCAAUCAUGUCUUCUCAAAAUAGCAUGGCCAAACAAAGUUCAUCCCUACAAAAUCAUAUAGUUUGGUCAUGCUCCAUUUUCGUCACACAAGAAUGCUCUCAUCAUGCACAACCCCGAUGACAAGCCAAGAAAUUGUUUCAUACUUUAGUAAUCUCAAACUUUUUUCAACUUUCACGCAAUACAUGAGCGUGAGCCAUGGACAUAGCACUAUGGGUGGAAUAGAAUAAUGAUGGGGGUUGUGUGGAGAAGACAAAAAAGGGGAAAGUCUCACAUUGACGCGGCUAAUCAAUGGGCUAGGGAGAUGCCCAUCAAUUGAUGGCAAUGCAAGGAGUAGGGAUUGCCAUGCAACGGAUGCACUAGAGCUAUAAAUGUAUGAAAGCUCAACAAAAGAAAUUAGGUGGGUGUGCAUCCAACUUGCUUGCUCAUGAAGACCUAGGGCAUUUGAGGAAGCCCAUCGUUGGAAUAUACAAGCCAAGUUCUAUAACGAAAGAUUCCCACUAGUAUAUGAAAGUGACAUCAUAGGAGACUCUCUAUCAUGAAGAUCAUGGUGCUACUUUGAAACACAAGUGUGGAAAAAGGAUAGUAGCAUUCUCCCUUCUCUCUUUUUUCCUUUUUUUAUUUGGCCUUUCUUUUUUUUUUAUUUGGCCUUUUUUUGGACAAUGCUCUAUUAAUGAUGAUCAUCACACUUCUAUUUAUUUAGAACUCAAUGAUUACAACUCGAUACUAGAACAAAAUAUGACUCUAUAUGAGUGCCUCCGGCGGUGUACCGGGAUGGGCAAUGAAUCAAGAGUGACAUGUAUGAAAUAAUAUGCAUGGUGGCUUUGCCACAAAUACGAUGUCAACUACAUGAUCAUGCAAGGCAAUAUGACAAUGACGAAGCGUGUCAUAAUAAACGGAACGGUGGAAAGUUGCAUGGCAAUAUAUCUCGGAAUGGCUAUGGAAAUGCCAUAAUAUAUAGAUAGGUAUGGUGGCUGUUUUGAGGAAGAUAUAAGGAGGUUUAUGUGUGAUAGAGCGUAUCGUAUCACGGGGUUUCGAUGCACCGGCGAAGUUUGCACCAACUCUCAAGGUGAGAAAGGGCAAUGCACGGUACCGAAGAGGCUAGCACUGAUGGAAGGUUGAGAGUGCGUAUAAUCCAUGGACUCAACAGUCAUAAAGAACUCACAUACUUAUUGCAAAAAUCUACAAGUCAUCAAAAACCAAGCAUUACGCGCAUGCUCCUAGGGGGAUAGAUUGGUAGGAAAAGACCAUCGCUCGUCCCCAACCGCCACUCAUAAGGAUGACAAUCAAAGAACACCUCAUGUUUCAAAUUUGUCACACAACGGUUACCAUACAUGCAUGCUACGGGAUUUGCAAACUUCAACACAAGUAUUUCUCAAAUUCACAACUACUCAACUAGCACAACUUUAAUAUUACCACCUUUAUAUCUCAAAACAAUUAUCAAGUAUCAAACUUCUCAUAGUAUUCAAUGCACUCUAUAUGAAAGUUUUUAUUAUACCCAUCUUGGAUGCCCAUCAUAUUAGGACUAAAUUCAUAGCCCAAGAAAAUUACCAUGCUGUUCUAAAGACUCUCAAAAUAAUAUAAGUGAAGCAUGAAGUUCAUCUAUUUCUUCAAAAUAAAACCACCGUCGUGCUCUAAAAGUAUAUAAGUGAAGCACUAGAGCAAACAACAAACUACUCCGAAAGAUAUAAGUGAAGAUCAAUGAGUAGUCGAAUAAUUAUGCAACUAUGUGAAGACUCUCUAACAUUUAAGAAUUUCAGAUCUUGGUAUUUUAUUCAAACAGCAAGCAAAAGAAAAGAAAAUAAAAUGACGCUCCAAGCAAAACACAUAUCAUGUGGUGAAUAAAAAUAUAGCUCCAAGUAAAGUUACCGAUGAAUGAAGACGAAAGAGGGGAUGCCAUCCGGGGCAUCACCAAGCUUAGGCUCUUGGUUGUCCUAGAAUAUUGCCUUGGGGUGCCUUGGGCAUCCCCAAGCUCAGGCUCUUGCCACUCCUUAUUCCAUAGUCCAUCGAAUCUUUACCCAAAACUUGAAAACUUCACAACACAAAACUUAACAGAAAAUCUCAUGAGCUCCGUUAGUGAAACAAAACACAACACCACUUCAAGGUACUGUAAUGAACUCAUUCUUUAUUUGUAUUGGUGUUAAAUCUACUGGAUUCCAACUUCUCUAUGGUUUAUAAACUAUUUUACUAGCCAUAGAUUCAUCAAAAUAAGCAAACAACACACGGAAAACAGAAUCUGUCAAAAACAGAACAGUCUGUAGUAAUCUGUAACUAACGCAAACUUCUGGAACUCAAAAACUUCUACCCAAAUAGGACUACCUAGAAAAUUUGUUUAUUGAUCUACUGCAAUUGGAAUCAGUAUUUUAUCACAUUCUGGUGAUUUUAAACAAUUGUUGUCGUGAACAGAUAGUUUCUGGAAUUUUCAGCAAGAUCAAAUAACUAUAUCCAAGAAGAUCCUAUAGGUCUUACUUGGCACAAACACUAAUUAAAACAUAAAACCAAAUCUAACCAGAGGCUAGAUUGAUUAUUUACUACUAAACAGGAGCAAAAAGCAAAGAACAACAAUAAAAUUGGGUUGCCUCCCAACAAGCGCUAGCGUUUAACGCACCUAGGUAGGCAUGAUGAUUUCAAUGAUGCUCACGUAAAAGAUAAGAAUUGAAACAUAAAGAGAGCAUCAUGAAGAAUAUGACUAGCACAUUUAUAAUUCUAAUUAGGAUUUUACAAAGAGCUCGUAAUUAUUGAUUCUUUUAAUAGUUAGCAAUUGUGAAAAUAGCACAACUUUCCUCCUUUUCUCCCAUAAAUUUGUUGCUGAAAUAACAUUAUCACUUAGACAAAGCACAUUUUUUCUCUCUUUGUCACAUAUAUGGCCCAUAUAUCAUUUAGUUUCUCCUUAGUGUAUCAUGUUCGACCUUUCAGGUUUGGAUCCACCAAUUUUCUCAACUCGCAUAUCUUUUGUGUGAGCUCUAUUCAAAGGGAAAGGGAGGGCCAACUCCUGGUUGCUAUGAUCAACCAAACAAGCCUAUGUUUUGCAUCUCGUUUCUGUUGCGCUUGCCCGCCUUGCAUCUUGCUCCUUGGCACACCAUUCACCGGAUUGUUUUAUGUUCCCAAAUUAUGCCAUCAUUUCCCUUUUAUUUAUCUUUGCAAUUUUUUCCUGCAUGGUAGGCGUGCUCAGAGGGGGAUGUGCACGAGAGGAAGGACCAUAUGUGGAUGGGCUAGUAACAGAACCAGUCUUAAAUAAUUUCCUAAUUUCUUUGCAUGAUCUCAAGGAAGAAUUAGGCCUAAUCGUCAAUAAUUACCUAAUAACUCGUGCGAUCUUAUAAACUUAAAAUGUCUGAGCUCACGUGGAACAUGUACGUAUUAUCACAGGACAACUUCACACCCGACAUGGAGAAGCAGGACGAAGGGUCGCUGAGGUGGUGUGGGCCUUCAUCAUUGACUUCUAUCUGGUUCAGUAUACUUCGGAGCGCACUUCUGAUGAAGGGAAAUGUGCAGUAAAUGCAACUGAAACAAAGACUAUGCCUACAGAGUCCGUCCCGAGUGUGACGGUUGGUCUGGUGUCUGGCGACUUGCGGGCCAGCUAGGUUUCCGUGACCGCCGCCGUCCUAUCAGCUGUGUUUCUUCCUCGUUUCUUUCCCAGUCCAUACCCAUCCACCACAAGCCUUUUGCACGAUCUAGGACGUGCGAUCGUACACCACCAUCUUGCCCUAGUUUCCAGUGUGUCAGAUCGGAAGCGUUUAUCAAUGCGGUUGAUGUAGUCGUACACCUUCACGAUCCGUCCCGAUCAAGUACCAAACUUACGGCACCUCCGCGUUCAGCACACGUUCAGCUAGAUGACAUCCUCGCCUUUUUGAUCCAGCAAGAAGGGCAAAGUAGUAGAUGAGUUUCGGCAGCACGACGGCAUGGUGACGGUGUUGGUGAAGAACAAUCUCCGCAGGGCUUCACCUAAGCACCACGAAAACUAUGACGGAGGAUAAACUAGAGGGGACGGGGUUGCCGGCACACGGCUUGGUGUUUCUUGAUGUGUCUUGGGUGCUAGCCCUACCCCUCUAUUUAUAUGUUGAGCCUUGGGGUCGAAACUUGGAGUAAAAGCCUCCACAAAGUCGGUUUCACCCGAAAGGCAAGAGUCCUUCUCGGACUCCAGGCCCAGACGCCAGGGUUUCCGGCGUCUGGACCCAGACGCCAGGGACCCUGGCGUCUGGCCCCUGGACUCCGCAAAACUUCCUUUUGCGCUUUCCAAAAACCUCGUGGGCUUUCCCCUUUGGCCCAGAUAAAGUGUUCUCGUGCCCAAACAUUUCGGGAAACAUCCGGAACCCCUUCCGAUGGAUUCCGGAACCCUUCCGGAGAUCAAACACUACUAUCCACAUAUCAAUCUUUACUUCCGGACCAUUCCGGAGUUUCUCGUCAUAUCCGUGAUCUCAUCCGAAACUCCGAACAACAUUCGGUCACCAACAUACAUAACUCAUAGUACUAUAUCGUCAACGAACGUUAAGUGUGCGGACCCUACGGGUUCGAGAACUAUGUAGACAUGACCGAGACACCUCUCUGGUCAAUAACCAAUAGCGGAACCUGGAUGCCCAUAUUGGCUCCUACAUAUUCUACGAAGAUCUUUAUCGGUCAGACCGCAUAACAACAUACCUUGUUCCCUUUGUCAUCGGUAUGUUACUUGCCCGAGAUUCGAUCGUUGGUAUAUCAAUACCUAGUUCAAUUUCGUUACCGGCAAGUCUCUUUACUCGUUUCGUAAUACAUCAUCCCGCAACUAACUCAUUAGUUACAAUGCUUGCAAGGCUUAUAGUGAUGUGCAUUACCGAGUGGGCCCAGAGAUACCUCUCCGACAAUCGGAGUGACAAAUCCUAAUCUCGAAAUACGCCAACCCAACAAGUACCUUCGGAGACACCUGUAGAGCACCUUUAUAAUCACCCAGUUACGUUGAGAUGUUUAGUAGCACACAAAGUGUUCCUCCGAUAAACGGGAGUUGCAUAAUCUCAUAGUCAUAGGAACAUGUAUAAGUCAUGAAGAAAGCAAUAGCAGAAUACUAAACGAUCAAGUGCUAAGCUAACGGAAUGGGUCAAGUCAAUCACAUCAUUCUCCUAAGGAUGUGAUCCCGUUAAUCAAAUGAUAACUCAUGUCUAUGGGUAGGAAACAUAACCAUCGUUGAUCAAUGAGCUAGUCAAGUAGAGACAUACUAGUGACACUCUGUUUGUCUAUGUAUUCAAACACGUAUCAAGUUUUCGGUUAAUACAAUUCUAGCAUGAAUAAUAAACAUUUAUCAUGAAAUAAGGAAAUAAAUAAUAACUUUAUUAUUGCCUCUAGGGCAUAUUUCCUUCAGUCUCCCAUUUGCACUAGAGUCAAUAAUACAGAUCACAUCGCCAUGUGAUUUAACAUCAAUAGUUCACAUCACCGUGUGAUUAACACUCAUAGUUCACAUCGUCAUGUGACCAACACCCAAAAGGUUUUACUAGAGUCAAUAAUCUAGUUCACAUCGCUAUGUGACUAACAGCCAAAGAGUACUAAGGUGUGAUCAUGUUUUGCUUGUGAGAGAAGUUUAGUGAACGGGUCUGCCAUAUUCAGAUCUGUAUGUAUUUUGCAAAUUUCUAUGUCAACAAUGCUCUGCAUGGAGCUACUCUAGCUAAUUGCUCCCACUUUCAAUUUGUAUCAGAGAUUGAGACUUUAGAGUCAUCUGGAUCAGUGUCAAAACUUGCAUCGAUGUAACCCUUUACGACGAACCUUUUGUCACCUCCAUAAUCGUGAAACAUAUCCUUAUUCUACUAAGGAUAAUUUUGACUGCUCUCCAGUGAUCUACUCCUAGAUCACUAUUGUACUCCCUUGCUAAACUCGUUGUAGGGUAUACAAUAUGUCUGGUACACAGCAUGGCAUACUUUAUAGAACCUAUGGCUGAGGCAUAGGGAAUGACUUUCAUUCUCUCUCUAUCUUCUGUCGUGGUCGGGCUUUGAGUCUUACUCAAUUUCACACCUUGUAACACAGGCAAGAACUCUUUCUUUGACUGUUCCAUUUUGAACUACUUCAAAAACUUGUCAAGGUAUGUACUCAUUGAAAAAACUUAUCAAGCAUCUUGAUCUAUCUCUAUAGAUCUUGAUGCUCAAUAUGUAAGCAGCUUUACCGAGGUCUUUCUUUGAAAAAAUCCUUUCAAACACUCCUUUAUGCUUUCCAGAAAAUUCUACAUCAUUUCCGAUCAUCAAUAUGUCACUCACAUAUACUUAUCAGAAAGGCUGUAGUGCUCCCACUCACUUUCUUAUAAAUAUAGGCUUCACCGCAAGUCUGUAUAAAACUAUAUGCUUUGAUCAACUCAUCAAAGCGUAUAUUCCAACUCCGAGAUGCUUGCACCAGUCCAUAGAUGGAUUGCUAGAGCUUGCAUAUUUUGUUAGCACCUUUAGGAUUGACAAAACCUUCUGGUUGCAUCAUAUACAACUAUUCUUUUAAGAAAUCCAUUAAGGAAUGCAGUUUUGACAUCCAUUUGGCAAAUUUCAUAAAAUGCGGCAAUUGCUAACAUGAUUCGGACAAACUUUUAAGCAUCGAUACAAGUGAGAAAAUCUCAUUGUAUUCAACAUCUUGAACUUGUCGAAAACAUUUUUCCGACAAUUUGAGCUUUGUAGAUAGUAACACUACUAUCAACGCCUGUCUUCCUCUUGAAGAUCCAUUUAUUUUCUAUGGCUUGCCGAUCAUCGGGCAAGUCAACCAAAGUCCACACUUUGUUCUCAUACAUGGAUCCCAUCUCAGAUUUCAUGGCCUCAAGCCAUUUCGCGGAAUCUGGGCUCAUCAUCGCUUCCUCAUAGUUCGUAGGUUUGUCAUGGUAAAGUAACAUGACCUCCAGAACAAGAUUACCGUACCACUCUAGUGCGGAUCUCACUUUGGUUGACCUACGAGGUUCGGUAGUAACUUGAUCUGAAGUUACAUGCUCAUCAUCAUUAGCUUCCUCACUAAUUGGUGUAGGAGUCACAGGAACAGAUUUCAAUGAUGAGCUACUUUCCAAUUCGAGAGAAGGUGCAAUUACCUCAUCAAGUUCUACUUUCCUCCCACUCACUUCUUUCGAGAGAAACUCCUUCUCUAGAAAGGAUCCAUUCUUAGCAACGAAUGUCUUGCCUUCGGAUCUAUGAUGGAAGGUGUACCCAACUGUCUCCCUUGGGUAUCCUAGGAAGACACAUUUCUCCGAUUUGGGCUUGAGCUUAUCAGGAUGAAACUUUUUCACAUAAGCAUCGCAACCCCAAACUUUAAGAAACGACAACUUGGGUUUCUUGCCAAACCACAGUUCAUAAGGUGUCGUCUCAAAGGAUUUAGAUGGUGCCCUAUUUAACGUGAAUGCAGCUGUCUUUAAUGCAUAACCCCAAAACGAUAGUGGUAAACUGGUAAGAGACAUCAUAGAUUGCACUAUAUCCAAUAAAGUACGGUUAUGACGUUCGGACACACCAUUAUGCUGUGGUGUUCUAGGUGGCAUGAGUUUGUGAAACUAUUCCACAUUGUUUUUAUUGAAGGCCAAACUCGUAAAUCAAAUAUUCUCCUCCACGAUCAAAUCGUAGAAACUUUAUUUUCUUGUUACGACGAUUUUCCACUUCACUCUGAAAUUCUUUGAACUUUUCAAAUGUUUCAGACUUAUGUUUUCAUCAAGAAGAUAUACCCAUAUCUACUCAAAUCACCUGUGAAGGUCAGAAAAUAACGAUACCCGCCGCGAGCCUCAACACUCAUCGGACCGCAUACAUCAGUAUGUAUUAUUUCCAAUAAGUCAGUUGCUCGCUCCAUUGUUCCGGAGAACGGAGUCUUAGUCAUCUUGCCCGUGAGGCAUGGUUCGCAAGCAUCAAGUGAUUUAUAAUCAAGUGAUUCCAAAAGCCCAUCAGCAUGGAGUUUCUUCAUGCGCUUUACACCAAUAUGACCUAAACGGCAGUGCCACAAAUAAGUUGCACUAUCAUUAUUAACUUUGCAUCUUUUGGCUUCAAUAUUAUGAAUAUGUGUAUCACUACGAUCGAGAUCCAACAAACCAUUUUCAUUGGGUGUAUGACCAUAGAAGGUUUUAUUCAUGUAAACAGAACAACAAUUAUUCUCUAAUUUAAAUGAAUAACCGUAUUGCAACAAACAUGAUCAAAUCAUAUUCAUGCUCAACGUAAACACCAAUAACACUUAUUUAGGUUCAACACUAAUCCCGAAAGUAUAGGGAGUGUGCGAUGAUGAUCAUAUCAAUCUUGAAACUACUUCCAACACACAUCGUCACUUCACCCUUAACUAGUUUCUGUUCAUUCUGCAACUCCCGUUUCGAGUUACUACUCUUAGCAACUGAACCAGUAUCAAAUACCGAGGGGUAGCUAUAAACACUAGUAAAGUACACAUCAAUAACAUGUAUAUCAAAUAUACCUUUGUUCACUUUGCCAUCCUUCUUAUCCACCAAGUAUCUAGGGCAGUUCCACUUCCAGUGACCAUUUCCUCUGCAGUAGAAGCACUUAGUCUCAGGCUUAGGUCUUGACUUGGACUUCUUCUCAUGAGCAGCAACUUGCUUGCCGUUCUUCUUGAAGUUCCCCUUCUUCCCUUUGCCCUUUUCUUGAAACUAGAGGUCUUGUCAACCAUCAACACUUGAUGCUUUUCUUGAUUUCUACCUUCGUCGAUUACAGCAUCACGAAGAGCUUGAGAAUCGUUUCCGUUAUCCCUUGCAUAUUAUAGUUUAUCACGAAGUUCUAGUAACUUAGUGAUAGUGACUAGAGAACUUUGUCAAUUACUAUCUUAUCUGGAAGAUUAACUCCCACUUGAUUCAAGCAAUUGUAGUACCCAGACAAUCUGAGCACAUGCUCACUGGUUGAGCUAUUCUCCUCCAUCUUGUAGGCAAAGUACUGUCAGAGGUCUCAUACCUCUCGAACGGGCAUGAGUAUGAAAUACCAAUUUCAACUCUUGGAACAUCUUAUAUGCUCCAUGGCAUUCAAAACGUUUAUGAGGUCCCGAUUCUAAGCCGUUAAGCAUGGUGCACUAAACUAUCAAGUAGUCAUCAUAUUGAGCUAGCCAAACGUUCAUAACGUCUGCAUCUGCUCCUGCAAUAGGUCUGUCACCUAGCGGUGCAUUAAGGACAUAAUUCUUCUGUGCAGCAAUGAGGAUAAUCCUCAGAUCGCGGAGCUAGUCCGCAUCUUUGCUACUAACAUCUUUCAACUUAUUUUUCUCUAGGAACAUAUCAAAAAUAAACGGAGAACAAUAUCGCGAGCUAUUGAUCUACAACAUAGAUAUGCAAAUACUACCAGGACUAAGUUCAUGAUAAAUUAAAGUUCAAUUAAUCAUAUUACUUAAGAACUCCCACUCAGAUAGACAUCCCUCUAGUCAUCUAAAUGAUCACGUGAUCCAAAUCAACUAAACCAUGUCCGAUCAUCACGUGAGAUAGAGUAGUUUUCAAUGGUGAACAUCACUAUAUUGAUCAUAUCUACUAUAUGAUUCACGCUCGACCUUUCGGUCUCCAGUGUUCCGAGGCCAUAUCUGCAUAUGCUAGGCUCGUCAAGUUUAACCUGAGUAUUCUGCAUGUGCAAAACUGGCUUGCACCCGUUGUAGAUGGAUGUAGAGCUUAUCACACCCGAUCAUCACGUGGUGUCUGGGCAUGACGAACUUUGGCAACGGUGCAUACUCAGGGAGAACACUUAUACCUUGAAAUUUAGUGAGAGAUCAUCUUAUAAUGUUACUGUCAAACAAAGCAAGAUAAGAUGCAUAAAAGAUAAACAUCACAUGCAAUCAAUAUAAGUGAUAUGAUAUGGCCAUCAUCAUCUUGUGCUUGUGAUCUCCAUCUCCGAAGCACCAUCAUGAUCACCAUCGUCACCGGCGCGACACCUUGAUCUCCAUCAUAGCAUCGUUGUCGUCUCGCCAACUAUUGCUUCUACGACUAUCGCUACCGCUUAGUGAUAAAGUAAAGCAAUUACAGGGCAAUUGCAUUGCAUACAAUAAAGCGACAACCAUAUGGCUCCUCCCAGUUGUCGAUAACUCGGUUACAAAACAUGAUCAUCUCAUACAAUAAAAUUUAGCAUCAUGGCUUGACCAUAUCACAUCACAGCAUGCCCUGCAAAAACAAGUUAGACGUCCUCUACUUUGUUGUUCCAAGUUUUACGUGGCUGCUACGGGCUUAGCAAGAACCGUUCUUACCUACGCAUCAAAACCACAACGAUAUUUCGUCAAGUUAGUGCGGUUUUAACCUUCACAAGGACCGGGCGUAGCCACACUCGGUUCAACUAAAGUUAGAGAAACUGACACCCGCCAGCCACCUGUGUGCAAAGCACGUCGGUAGAACCAGUCUCGCGUAAGCGUACGCGUAAUGUCGGUCUAGGCCGCUUCAUCCAACAAUACUGCCGAACCAAAGUAUGACAUGUUGGUAAGCAGUAUGACUUGUAUCGCCUACAACUCACUUGUGUUCUACUCGUGCAUAUAACAUCUACGCAUAAAACCUGGCUCGGAUGCCACUGUUGGGGAACGUAGUAAUUUCAAAAAAAAUCCUACGCACACGCAAGAUCAUGGUGAUGCAUAGCAACGAGAGUGGAUAGUGUUAUCUACGUACCCUCGUAGACCAUAAGCGGAAGUGUUUAUCAACGCGGUUGAUGUACUCGUACACCUUCACGAUCCGUCCCGAUCAAGUACCGAACGUACGGCACCUCCGCGUUCAGCACACGUUCAGCUCGAUGACGUCCUCGACUUCUCGAUCCAGCAAGAGGGGCGAAGUAGUAGAUGAGUUCCGGCAGCACGACGGCGUGGUGACGGUGUUGGUGAAGAACAAUCUCCGCAGGGCUUCGCCUAAGCACUACGAAAACUAUGACGCAGGAUAAACUAGAGGGGACGGGGUUGCCGGCACACGGCUUGGUGUUUCUUGAUGUGUCUUGGGUGCUAGCCCUACCCCUCUAUUUAUAUGUUGAGCCUUGGGGUCGAAACUUGGAGUAAAAGCCUCCACAAAGUCGGUUUCACCCGAAAGGCAAGAGUCCUUCUCGGACUCCAGGGCCAGACGCCAGGGUUCUCGGCGUCUGGACCCAGACGCCAGGGACCCUGGCGUCUGGCCCCUGGACUCCGCAAAACUUCCUUUUGCGCUUUUCAAAAACCUCGUGGGCUUUCCCCUUUGGCCCAGAUAAAGUGUUCUCGUGCCCAAACAUUUCGGUAAACAUCCGGAACCCCUUCCGAUGGAUUCCGGAACCCUUCCGGAGAUCAAACACUACUAUCCACAUAUCAAUCUUUACUUCAGGACCAUUCCGGAGUUCCUCGCCAUAUCCUGAUCUCAUCUGAAACUCUGAACAACAUUCGGUCACCAACAUAAAUAACUCAUAGUACUAUAUCGUCAACGAACGUUAAGCGUGCGGACCCUGCGGGUUCAAGAACUAUGUAGACAUGACCGAGACACCUCUCUGGUCAAUAAUCAAUAGCAGAACCUGGAUGCCCAUAUUGGCUCCUACAUAUUCUACGAAGAUCUUUAUCGGUCAGACUACAUAACAACAUACCUUGUUCCCUUUGUCAUCGGUAUGUUACUUGCCCGAGAUUCGAUCGUCGGUAUCUCAAUACCUAGUUCAAUCUCGUUACCGGCAAGUCUCUUUACUCGUUCCGUAAUACAUCAUCCCGCAACUAACUCAUUAGUUACAAUGCUUGCAAGGCUUAUAGUGAUGUGCAUUACCGAGUGGGCCCAGAGAUACCUCUCCGACAAUCGGAGUGACAAAUCCUAAUCUCGAAAUACGCCAAACCAACAAGUACCUUCGGAGACACCUGUAGAGCACCUUUAUAAUCACCCAGUUACGUUGUGACGUUUGGUAGCACACAAAGUGUUCCUCCGAUAAACGGGAGUUGCAUAAUCUCAUAGUCAUAGGAACAUGUAUAAGUCAUGAAGAAAGCAAUAGCAGAAUACUAAACGAUCAAGUGCUAAGCUAACGGAAUGGGUCAAGUCAAUCACAUCAUUCUCCUAAUGAUGUGAUCCCGUUAAUCAAAUGACAACUCAUGUCUAUGGCUAGGAAACAUAACCAUCUUUGAUCAAUGAGCUAGCAAGUAGAGGCAUACUAGUGACACUCUGUUUGUCUAUCUAUUCAAACAUGUAUCAAGUUUCCGGUUAAUAUUAUUCUAGCAUGAAUAAUAAACAUUUAUCAUGAAAUAAGGAAAUAAAUAAUAACUUUAUUAUUGCCUUUAGGGCAUAUUUCCUUCAAUUUACCCCCAUGGCAGGUGCUGACGCUGCGGCAAUUCUAAAUAACAUAGCACCAAAAGUCUCUGCCCAAAUGAACAAUACUUAACGGCGGAUUUUACUGCAGAGGAGGUUAAGGAGGCUCUAGAUAACAUUGUUGAUCUCAAAGCACCAAGCGUUGAUGGCUUACCAGCAAUCUUCUAUAAGCACUAUUGGCGGCUGUUUGGUGAUGAUGUUGUGCGCGAGGUUUUACAGGUAUAACGAGGCGGUAGUAUUCCGGAGGGAUGGAACGACACCCUUGUGGUGCUUAUCCCAAAGGUCCAGAACCCAGAAAGAUUGAAGGAUCUACGCCCUAUUAGCCUCUGUAAUGUUGUGUAUAAGCUCGUGUCCAAGGUUUUGGCCAACAGACUGAAGUGCAUACUGGGAGAGAUCAUAUCACCAAACCAGAGUGCGUUCGUGCCCGGCAGGCUCAUUUCCGAUAACACUAUUUUGGCUUAUGAGAUGACACACUUUUUGAAGAGAAAGAGAACUAGAGCCACUAGCUAUGCAGCACUCAAACUUGAUAUGAGUAAGGCCUACGACAGGGUGAACUGGGAUUUUAUGGAGAAGAUCAUGACACGGUUGGGUUUUGAUAGUGCCUUCGUGGAACAAAUCAGCAAGUGUAUGCAUACUGUACGCUACAGAUUCAAGGUAAAUGGGUCAUGUACCGAGACAGUUAUUCCAGGACAAGGUUUGAGGCAGGGAGACCCAAUUUCUCCAUACUUAUUCCUUAUAUGUGCUGAGGGUUUCUCCGCGUUGCUUGAUCAUGCCGAAUCCGUGGGAUCGCUUAGAGGCAUCAAAGUAGCACCUGAGGCCCCUACUGUCACACACCUGCUUUUCGCGGACGAUUCCUUGCUGUUGAUGGAGGCCACCGAGGAGAGUGUGUCCGUGGUGAAUGAAAUUCUUGAAGUAUAUGAGAAGGGGUCGGGCCAAAUUAUUAAUCGGGACAAGUCUUGUGUGCUCUUCAGUAAGAACACGUCGCAGCUUAGGAAACAAACCUUACUGCAUCUUCUCGGCCUACAGAACGAGGGUCAACAGGGCAAGUAUUUGGGGCGGCCUCGCUAUGUGGGUAAGGCUCAUCAAGCCUGCUUUGAAUACCUCCGGGACAGAAUCUGGGAGCUACUUCAGGGUUAUAAAAUCAAGAUGCUGUCAAAGAAGGGUAAGGAAAUCCUAAUAAAAACGGUCGCCCAAGCAAUUCCAGCCUAUGCCAUGGCCUGUUUCGAUCUGACAAAGUCCUUGUGUGACAGUAUAAGCCACAUGAUCUGUCGUUUUUGGUGGGAUAACCAAGAGGAUGAGCACUGGGUUGGCUGGGAGAAGAUGACCCAUCCGAAGGAACAGGGGAGGGCUUGGGUUUAGGGAUCUACACGCUUUCAAUAUUGAAAUGUUGUCUCGCCAAGUUUGGAGGUUGAUCCAGGCACCGGACUCGCUCUGUGCUCGUGUUCUACGUGCUAAAUGCUACCCGGACGGCGACAUUUUUGCAGCUACAGCGACCCCGGGCAUCAGUUAUGUUUGGCGGAGCAUCCUUCAAGGGGUGUCCGUCGUGAAGGAGGGGAUGGUGUGGAGGGUGGGUUCGGGUGAGCAUAUCCGGAUCUGGCAGGACCCCUGGCUCCCAGCUCGCAAUACCAUCCUGACUAAAGUCUUAGAGCUUAUCGACCCGUAUACACACUCCUGGGAUGAGCUGUUGGUUAGACAAACGUUCAAUCCGGAAGAGAUUGAUAUAAUACUAAAGAUUCCAAUUUUUGAGCAACAUGAGGACUUCUUGGCUUGGCAAUUCGAUAGCAAGGGCUUAUUUUCAGUGAGGUCAGCGUACAGAGUUCACCUUGACAUGAAGAAACGGCUGGCCCCUAGGCAGCAGGGUGAGGGCGCCGACGGUGAUACAGCUUAUGGGAAAAUGUGGCAGAACCUCUGGAAGAUUAGAUGUCCCGGGAAAGUGCAUCAUUUUUUGUGGAGAGUUGCUCAUAAUAGUCACCCUAUGCUGAGCAAUAUUGAACGGAUUGGGAUCAAACUCAAUACUAGCUGUGUCCUUUGCCAUAGAUUACCGGAGGAUGGCGGACAUCUUUUUUUCAGAUGUAAGGAGGUCAAGAAGAUUGGCAUGUGUGUGAGCUGGAGUCGUCCCGGUUAAACCUGCUGCAAUGUCAGUUACCGAGCGAUAUCCUCGCCACCAUAUUUGCCCUUCCAGAGGACAGGAAGCUGAGAAUCAUAUGCCUUCUGUGGCUGUGGUGGACGGAGAGGAAUAAAGCCAAUCAUACGCAAAAGAGAGCUACACUUGAGGAGUUCUGCUUCCUUUUGGAGAAGCAUGUUGCUGAAUGGCGUGUCUUUUAUGCAAAACCAGAGAAAGCGCAGAUUCUGAACAAACCUUAGUGGAGCAAACCGAUGGUGGAUAAGGUUAAAAUUAAUAUUGACGGCGCUUUUGAUGUUGCUAAGCAGACCUUGGGUUGGGGCUGUGUGGCCCGAGACCAUACAGGUGAGGUGUUGUUUGCUGCUGCUGGAAGGCUUGUGCAGAUAAGUGAAGCUCUGCACGCUGAAGCAACUGCGCUGUUGUACGCCAUACACUUAGCUGAGCAGCAUGGUAUGGGGCGUGUCAAUUUUGAGACAGACUGUCUUGGACUUGCUCAAGCCAUUAAUUCCACGGUGCUUGACCGCUCCAAUCUUCACUGCUAGGGAAAACCCUAGUAGUAGCGCGGGUUUUGAGGCUAUCAGCAGCGCGGGCAGCCGCGCUACUAAUAAGGCGCUACAACUAACUGUUAGUAGUAGCGCUGCCUGUACCCGCGCUACUACUAUUGACUGUAUCAGCAACGCUUUUUCAGAACACGCUACUAUUAGUUAGCUGUAGCGCUUUCCUAGCCCCGCGCUAUUGCUAUGUGUUUCAUCAUCCCCCCCCCCCCUCCUACCCAGUUUCAGUUUCCUGCAUUUUCCAGAUACUAGGUACUACUAGAUAUCAAUUUCAUAAAGCAUUAUAGGUAUUAGGUAGUACUACCUCCGUUCUGAAUUACUCGUCGUGGUUUUAGUUCAAAUUUGAACUAAAACCACGAUGAGUAAUUUGGAACGGAGGAAGUACUAGAUAACAAUUUCAUAUAUAGUCAACAUGCAUCCUCAAGUAGUACAAGGUAAUAUCGACGACGAUCAUUAUGUAGUUCUAGAUGAUAUUGACGACGAUCAUCAUAUGUAGUUCUACAUGAUAUCGACGACGAUCAUCAUAUGUAGUUCUAGAUGAUAUAGCCACAUACACAAAUGUAGUUCUAGAUGAUAUCGAUGACGAUCACCAUCCUGAAGCCUGGGCGGUGGGUGUUCCUGAUAGUAAUUAGGAUGCCCUGUCCAACACGAAGAUUCUUGCCAACGAGGAAUCUCUUUCACCCAACCGAGUUUAAGUGUGUGCGACCGUCUGUGUCCAUGUGGUAAGUACAGGUGGUGACGGAGCCCCUUGCGGUAAGCCGUAGUCCAGCUGAGCCUUCUUCAUCAGGCUCGAUACCACAACUCAUAGAUAGGUUCUUUGGCAAUUUCUGAAUAAGAAAAACAUAUCAAUUAAUAAAUAAGCUCGCACAUACUCUUGCAAAUAUAUUUCUAUUAAGUAUAGAUUUCUACACUAUCAAAAGACACAGUACUACGCAUUUGUACUAAUUAAACAUGAAUUCUAGUAAUGAGUAUAUAUGGAUUAUCUACACUAUUAAUAGUUUCUUGGAUUCUACACUAAUAAGCAUGUGAUCAGACUCUACACUAAAGCAUAUCAUCGACUAGAUUCCACAAAGCAUAUCAUUGGACUCUACACUAAGCAUAUCAUCAAAUUACUACAGUCAGUAUAACAUACCAUUUCAUGCCGAUCGACCAUGGUACUUAUCAGGCGGGUCAUGAAUAGCACCCCGACAAAGUCAUCACGUGGCGGAAUUAUGUCCCAUAGGUUGCACACCUCCUCCUCGCUCAGCCUCAUUCUUUGAGCUAUGAUAACUUCAUGAAGUGGGUUCUCAUCAUCUUCAUCGAGUGGGUCCUCAUUAUCUUCAUCAUCUUCGUCAUCUUCAUCAUCUUCCACCAGGUUGAUAUAAAUGACAGCCGGCUUGGGUCUUUCUGCUCUGAAGGAGAAGCUGAUCAACUCACCACCAGUAAGAAGCAUGCGGGCGAGGAAACAGGCCCAUCCAUCUCCUCCAAUCUGUGACAUAUUGCGUCCUUUCUCGACCUCCAUAGUGUAUGGCCCCCAGGAGCCUCAAAUUUUACAGUGUCUCAUGUCAGCUUGUUGAAUUUCAUCCUCACAUUGCAUGGGACGAUCUGUGUAAAAAAAGCAAAAUGACACAACGCAGUAAUGCCAACACUAAAAAUAAAAUAGUUGUUACAUUUCAUCUAAUUUCUUACCGCCGCAUGACGAAAACUCGGCUGGAAGUAGAUGCCGAACAGCUUGCCAAUUGCAAGGCUGCUGGCGCACCUUGACUUGCACAGUCGACAUGGUGGUGAUGGUGGUGGCGCCAUUUUCCUAAAGCAAUAUGAGCAAAGGAUUAACGAUCCACUUCAUAGGAAAGAAAAACAGUAGCAUGUGAUAUUUUUGGUUCUUCUUCAGUUAUAUUUUCAUAGUGGAACCUGGACCCAAAAAGUAAACAACAAGCUCUCAAUUAACUUACUAACACCUUCUAUAAUAGAACCAACAGCUAGCAGGCAAAUGCCAAAUCAGCCAACAAGACUCACAGCCAACAAGUUCUCAAUUAGCUUACUAACACCUUCUAGAAUAUCUCUAGAUGAAGAGAUUCUUCCGCGAGAAGCAAUUUGAUGGACAAUUAUAAUCCUAAGAUCUAGUAACAUAUAAGAUGACAAGGUAUCACCUACGAAAGCAUUUUAGUGGCACCUAUUGCCGAAAAAACUAUUUGGCCCCUACCAAAGGUAUAAUCCUAAGAUUUGUAAUAAGUUAUCUACCAAAUAAAGGUACCACCUACCAAGACACAUUUCAUCUAAUUUGGCCCCUAUUGCCUAAGAUAACUGAUUAAAAAAACAAGUGGCAAAUUUAAUUGGGAUUAACUUAGCACUUGCAAACUAAAUACUUGUAUCAUAACCAAUAUCUAGCAGAUCACGGUACCACCUACCAAAGCAUUUCAACUAAAUUGGCACCUACAUUUUGAAAAAAAAUAACUUAUUACAGAAAAACAAAAGCAUCUAGUUAUCCAUAUGAAAUUCGUAAGCCCUCGCUGCAUCUACGUAGGGCAGCCCUCGGGGGGUGCUGUCGAGGAGGGGGGAUGGCAUGGUGACCUUGGUCGGGGGUGCUGACGAGGGGAAGGCCGGUGACUUUCCUACGAGAGGGGGCGACGACAGCGGCCGGCGAGGGGAUCGAGGGCGGUCGGCCAAAGGCGCCCGGCCAGAGCUCGCGGGCAGCGACAGAGUGGGCGGCGAGAGGGUGGAGGAGCAGCGGAGGGGCGGUGAGAGGGGGGAGGAGCAUUACCUGUGGCGGAGGAGAAACCCUAACCGCAGCUGCCGGCGUCGGGCGGAGGGGGGCNNNNNNNNNNNNNNNNNNNNNNNNNNNNNNNNNNNNNNNNNNNNNNNNNNNNNNNNNNNNNNNNNNNNNNNNNNNNNNNNNNNNNNNNNNNNNNNNNNNNNNNNNNNNNNNNNNNNNNNNNNNNNNNNNNNNNNNNNNNNNNNNNNNNNNNNNNNNNNNNNNNNNNNNNNNNNNNNNNNNNNNNNNNNNNNNNNNNNNNNNNNNNNNNNNNNNNNNNNNNNNNNNNNNNNNNNNNNNNNNNNNNNNNNNNNNNNNNNNNNNNNNNNNNNNNNNNNNNNNNNNNNNNNNNNNNNNNNNNNNNNNNNNNNAGUAGCGCGGGUACAGGGAGCGCGCUACUGCUAAGCCCAAUAUCAAUAGCGCUUUGUCCUGAAAAAACGCUACUGCUAAGUGUAAGUAUGUAAAAACAUCAAAAAUAUACAUUGGUCAUCAUUGAUCUUUUUGUGCAGAAACUAAAUGGUCAACAUGAAUCCUCGCCGUACCUGGAUAGGCACAGGUGAAGAUUCAUAUUGCAGCCACAAAUCCUACACAUAUAGUUCAAUGAAGAUCAAGUGCUCGAGAUAGUUUGAGAAGUAACAUAUUUAAGGUGGUAAACACCUUGUUCGCUUAGCAGUAUGGGACUAAACUUAAUUAGUUGCAAGGGGGUGAUAUUUAGCAGCAACGAGUUUUGAAGAAAAACGCUGCUACUAAGUACUUUAGCAGUAGCGCGUCGAGGAAAAGGGCGCUACUACUAUAUCUAGCCUAGAGGCAACACCGUGGCAAUUAUAGUAGUAGCGCUUGUUUCACCUAGAGCGCUACUGCUACUGGGCUAUUAGUAGCGCGGUUUCCUGAAGCUCGCUACUGCUAAUUAGCAGUAGCGUUUGUUUUUAAACCACGCUGCUGCUAAGAUUCUGUGUAUAAGGUUUUCCCUAGUAGUGUUUGGUGUUGUCUUCCGUGAAGCUAGAUAUCUCCUACGAGCGAGUUUUAACGAGUGGAGCAUUGUUCACUGCCCAAGGGAUUGUAACAAGCCUGCCCAUGAGUUGGCAACUAUAGGUAGAUGCAUUGAACAGCGGCUCAGGCUAUCAGAUUUCCCUCACAAUGUAACCGUGGCUAUGACCGCCGAUUUGGCCGGUCCGACAUAAUUUGGAAUGCAAGGUGUUCCAGUUUAAAAAAAAUGCAGUGUUGCAAAAGAAAUAAAUAAUUUGUUUAUGUUCCCCGCAAAAAAAAGCUUGUUUAUGUUAGUUUUCGUGGGUGUAUCUUUAGAAUUGAGUGUUGCGCAGAGUGUAAAAGUUGCUUUGCUGUCCUCUCUGUUGUUUACCAGCAGAUUUAUUCGCUAGUUGAUUUCGACACUAUUGUGCAGGGCCGGGCCGGCAAAAUCGGAGGCCCUGUGCCAAACUCUAAAAUGGGGCGUGUUGCAGUAGAACAGUAGAAUGAUAAUGAUGUAUAGAUCAUAUUGUGUGACGUAGCAAUGGGAUGGAUCAAAAAUCGCAUCCAUUCAACAUUUGGUUGCAUAAUCAUUUUUGAGAUACUCCCUCCGAUGCAUCCAUUUGAGCGACGAUUAAUAUGACAAAGAUUAUGUUCUCUCGGGGAAACAUGACCUAGAUCUUGGAACACUGAUCGACGGCACGCCGGUAUUCAAAAGGUACAAAAAAUAAUAUUAACUACAAGGUAUUGGAAAUCAAAAGGCGAAACUCAAAAGAUGAAAAUGGUAAAAUUAGUUGAACUCACGGUCAAAGCCAUGGGUCAUUGGCCGCUCGAAAACGAGUUCCAUUAUUUGCCAAACUCAAACCGCUCCUGCCUUCCUGGUGCUCGGCUGCUGCCGUCCGGAGCGAAGGAUAGAUCAGCUUCGCGGACGAGAGACACAAACUCCGCAGAGAUGUAGACGCGGCCUAGAUCCGAUCCGGAGGCAUAUUACUUCUGUUCAAGAAGACGAACGAUUGUACAGGAAUUUUUUGAAGGAAGAUUUGGAUAGGGAUUGGGAGCAUCGAACGAUUGAGCGGCCGGCUGCUUCAAGGUGUGUCACACGUGCGAUUCAGGGAUUUCCUAUUCGCCGCGCGCUGCGGCAAAAUGUCGGUAAAUCCUAAACGGCGCUCUAAGCGCCCGUUUUNNNNNNNNNNNNNNNNNNNNNNNNNNNNNNNNNNNNNNNNNNNNNNNNNNNNNNNNNNNNNNNNNNNNNNNNNNNNNNNNNNNNNNNNNNNNNNNNNNNNNNNNNNNNNNNNNNNNNNNNNNNNNNNNNNNNNNNNNNNNNNNNNNNNNNNNNNNNNNNNNNNNNNNNNNNNNNNNNNNNNNNNNNNNNNNNNNNNNNNNNNNNNNNNNNNNNNNNNNNNNNNNNNNNNNNNNNNNNNNNNNNNNNNNNNNNNNNNNNNNNNNNNNNNNNNNNNNNNNNNNNNNNNNNNNNNNNNNNNNNNNNNNNNNNNNNNNNNNNNNNNNNNNNNNNNNNNNNNNNNNNNNNNNNNNNNNNNNNNNNNNNNNNNNNNNNNNNNNNNNNCGAACCCGCGCUAACAACUGGACAACUUCAACUUCUGUGAUAAAUAACAGCUCCUCGCCUCUUUUGUUCUUUAUUUUCCUUUUACCUUUUUUUCUUUUCUCAAUUUCGUUCUUCUUUCUUCUUUUUCCUUUUUUUUUUCACGUUCGAUGAAAAAAGUUACCGAAUUUUCUGAUAGUUUUUUCAAAUUAGAUGAACUUUUUUCAAAAUUGGUGAAGUUUUUUUUGCCAAAUUUGAUGAAAUAUUUAGAAUUUGUUGAAAAAAAAUUCAAAUGCGAUAAACAUUUUUCUAAUUUGGUGAACAUUUUUCAAAAUCAGUGAACUUUUUCCAAAUUCUAUGAACCUUUUUUCAAAUAAGAUGAACUCUUUCAAAUUUAAUGAACCUUCUUUCCAAUUUGAUGAACCCUUUUUCCAAUUUGAUGAACUAUUUUUCAGAUUUUAUGAAUUAAUUUUUAAAUUUGAUGAACUUUUUUUCAAAUUUCAUGAACUUUUUCUAAAUUUGGUUAACAUUUUUCGAAAUUUGGGACAUUUUCUACAAAAUCAAAGAAAUUUUUUUAAAAGCGCUGAUUUUUUCCAAAUUUGAUGAACUUUUUUACAAGUGGAUGAACAUUUUUUCAAAUUCGAUGAACAUUUUUCUAAAUUUGUGAACUUUUCUACAAAAUCGAUGAACUUUUUAAAACAAUCAUGGAAAUUUUCCAGAAUUUGGUGAACUUUUAGUUAUUUUCGAAUUCCAUGAACUUUUUCAAAAAAAUUGAACUAUUUUCUCAUACGGGCGGACCUUUUUUAUAGCAACUCUAUGAUUUUUCCCAAUUCCACGUUUUAUUUUUUCAAAUGAUUUAUAUGUGCAGAAUAUAUGUUAAUGUUUUUUACUGAAACGGGCGGACUGUUUUCGGACUGUAAUCAGCGAAGUAUUCUUGGUCGAUUUGUUCUUGCGUCACCUCUUUAGCUGUCGGACCUGAGUUCGCAUCCCAGGUGACCUAUUUUAUCAGCUAAGUAUUUUUCUCUUCUCUUCACUUUUUUCUGCAGGUUGCUGGGCCGGCCCGCUAGUCGUCGCGCGUGGCUGCCAGCUGCGGUUAGCGGUGCCGCUAAAAGAGCCGUAUAGGAACUCCCCGAAAUGUCGCAGGUUCGCACAGGCGAUCGGUAAAAUUGGGCCGGCCUGUUUAAGCGGUUUCAGCAUUUCCGGUUUUGGGAACCUUCUACAAGGUACCUAAACCAGAUGUUUUCUGUUCUGUUAAUAUUUUCCUCUUUUUUUCCUUUUCUCUCCGUGUUUCCUUUUCUUUACUUAUUCCUUUUUUUGUUUCUUUCUAUACUUUUUCUUUUCUUUUCAUUUUCAUUUUUCUUUCUUAUAUUUCUUUUCUUUUCCAAAAAAUGUUCACAUUUUACAAAUAUUUCAUUUUUACGCAAAAUUUUCCAGUUUUCAAAUUAUGUUCAUAAAUUCCAAAAUUUGUUCGCUUUGUUGCAAAAAAUGUUCGGUAAUUAAAAAAAUGUUCACCUUUUAAUGUUUCGUUCACAAAACAAAAAUUAUUUGGUUUCAAAAAAUUUCCCAUUUUUAAAAAUUUGCUUGGAAAUUUUAAAAAAUGUUCACCUCUUAAAACUUUGUUCAUAAAUGAAAAAAUGUUUGGGAAUUUCAAAAAAAAAUCCUGUUACGAAAUUUUGUUCACAAAUAUAAAAAAAUUCUAGAACACCAAAUUUGUUCAAAAAUUCAAAACAUAUUUUCAUUUUCAAAUUUUUUUCACAUAUUUAAAAAUAUUCAUGUUUCUAAAUUUGUUCAUAAAUUCAAAAAAUGUUCACAUGUUUAAUUUUUUGCACAAAUUCUAAAAUAUUUCGGAAUUUCAAAAUGUGCUCCUGUUUUCCAAAUUGUUCGCAUAUUCUAAAAAUGCUACAGUUUUCAAAUUCUGUUCACAACUUUUAAAAAUGUUCAUCUUUUUGAAAGUUGUUCGCAAAUAAUGUUCGUAGUUUAUAAAAUAUUCUUGUAUUCAAUUUUUUGUUCUUAUUUUUUUAGUUCCCAUAUAAUGUUCGCGUUUCGAAAAGAUUUCCCUUUUAAGAAAUUACGCUUGAAAUUUUAAAACAAGUAUUAAUCAGCGGCGGAUUAUAGUUCAUAUAUACUGGGCUGCCUUCGUAUGUACUAAUCCUUUGUUACUACAAUGGCUAUGGACUAGCUUCUCUAGCGCGAGGACAACAGUUUGAUCUCUCACCCACUGCACAUACCACAAGGAGUACAUACUCCUAGUAGUGCUAACCCUAUAAAUGGGUUUUGAUGGUGGUUCUAUUCUACUAACACCCUUAAGACCUUAUUCUACUAACAAAACCACCUUAUUGUACUUGCGUCCCGAACUAGCGAAGACGAAAACAGAAUAAAAACCCGACCCUCAUGCCACGACCACCCACUUACCCCGCGAGCCACCAAUCUCCCACGAGCUCCACAAACCUACACCCCUACCAUCGCGGCACCCCACACCACCACCACCUACCCCAACCCGCUGCCCACAACCACCUGCCCAACAGCCGGCAACCAUGGGACAACCCCCGACCACCACGGCGCCCCCACGCACCCACCGCCAGCCCCCUUCCACAACACAAAAUGUGCCUCUCCUUCCCCGCAAUCCUCUUCCACAACCCUCCACGAUCUCCCUCCCCAGAGCACCACCCCUGGCGACCCUGACUUCCCCCAGCUAUUUCCGGUCGCCACCGCAAAUGGUCACCGUUGCAAGGUGUUGGCCUCCUUGCACGCAUCAGAUCGAGCCCCUGCAUCACCCCCUCCCUACUAUGCCCCCGUGCCCGGCCUCCCCACCGGCGAGCAUAGCCUCUCCAACAACUGCGGUGCAUGCUUUGCCUGCACCUUCCUUCUCGCCCUCAAGAUCAUUCUGCUUGCCUUGACCACUUCACCCGAUGGUGGUCGACAAGUGCUGUCAAGUGUUGACCAAGCACUUCGCAUCGAGUCGUAUUGCAAAACCGCCUCCGUUUACUUUUCUAGUUCAAAAUUUUAGUUUGCUGCAGCGCGGUUUGACAUAGAGUGCAGUUCGACUUUGGGUUUCGACAGAGUGCAGUUCUUCAUCGGCGGCAUUCCUAUGUGUUGUGUAAAAUAUAGAGCAGUUCGUGUGUGUAAUUGUUUUUUUUUCAUUUUUGGCCGUGUGGUACUUGUAUGCAACUUAUGUUGGUAUAUGUGUACUCAUCUUUGAAAAUUAAACAGUAUGCUCUUUAUUCAUUUCAGUUCAUGACACGGUUCACUCCAUUUUGUUUCGAUGUGCACUCGAUCGAUGCAAUGCAUUAUGCUCGACCCGACAGUCCUGAUGCGUUUAUAAAAAAUGGUUUGAAAAGACAAAAAUAUACAAAAUGGAUAAUGCAAACCACUAGUGUUGACCAUGUAAUCGAGACACGUUUACAGAAAAAGAUAGAAAAACUAUUGCAGUUCACCUCGGGUAGGAAAAAAUGCAAAAAAAAGUUCAUAAAAUAUAGUAAACUUCGUCCCACGUAAAAUUAGAAAAAUAAAACAAAAAAGGAACUAAAAAAUAUGUAGAAAAGAUAUUUAAAAACAAAAAGAACUCAUGCAGUUCGGUUUCAAUUUGUGUCGCGGUUCACUUUUGCCGGAUGUGAACUGUACGCCCCUUGCAAUACCUUGUAUUUCAAAAAUCAAUCAACUGCAUAGUAGAUGCAAUGCAAUUUGAAGUCAGAUGCAGUACACAUGGUGUCCGACCGAAAAUAUACAAAAAUGCAAUUCGAGAUCGUCGUUUUUCUAAUAUUACUUUUAAACUGUAGCAACCUAGGAAGAGUAUAUCUAUAAGAAAAAGUUACAUGAAAAUUUUGCCUCUGGUCGAUAUCUUUCCAACGGUGUAUCAUUUGCAUCAUUCUAAUAAGCGGUUAAUUUUUUUGCGAAACAAUGCUUGCUGCUAAUCAAUGUGCAGUGCACCGUGUUUGAAAUUCAUUUAUUACCUUAAGGAAUGUCAAAAAGGGUACUACAUCGAAAAUUUUCACCUAUUCCAUACCUUUCCAACGACACCGGACUCGUUUCGACAAACGGUUGAAAAAAUUAUAGUGAAAACAGUACAAAAAAAUAUCGCAUGCAGUUCCCUCUGUCGACAUUGCAGUGUUGUUUCCCGUCUGAUGCUGCUCACUUCGCCAAUUUUGGGUCCACGAAAAAACAGUGUCCGUGUUUCCGUCAAUUCGAAACUCCUCUAAAACCGUAAGGAACUAGAGAGAGUGUUCUAUAAGAAAAAGUUUUGCCUCGAUGAUAUUUUCCCAGUAGCGUAUUAUUUGCAUCAUUCCGACGAGCGGUUUGUAAAAUAAUAAUAAUAAAAUGCUCACUGCCAUUCAUUUAACUACCGCGAUAGAAGAACAUAUGCAGAAUAUGUUGGGUAUAUGACGACACGCGACGGUGCGGGAGACCCAACGCCAGGGUGAAAUAAAUGGAACUAGAGAUGUCAGACGGUGGCUAAGCUUCCAUGACCAUCGAGGAGUUUUGUAGGAGAAUGCCUCUCGGGAUGGUGUGCGUGCGGCCACGUCGGGCCGAAGCCCCCGCGCCUGCUAGACACGGGGGCGUCGGUGACGGAACCGUAGUCCAAGAUUUCCACAGAGUCAUCGGGGAUGGCACCAGGAACGUUUGAUGGAGGUUGACAUGAUGGAUAUUUACGGCGGGAGAGAGAGAAAACUAAGGGGGCGGUGCUCGGCGGUGACAUGGAGGGUUUGUAAUGGAGGCGGGAAGCGAGGAUGGACAUAACAACCCUUGUAAGCGACAACACUGACCGGCAAGAAACACAAAGGGUAAGAUUAAAUUAGUAAACUCAAACGGGUCAAAGAAAGCAGUCGGCCAGUGGUAAAUAUUGGUCCAUUUUCACCUAGGAACACAAUAUCAGAUACGGGUCAUUUUCAGACUGGUGUAUGAUAAGUAUCAUGUGGAUCCCCAAAAUGCUUAUCAUUAACGCAACCGAAGGGCCCGGUCGGUGAUAAUGCUCAACACUGACAAUUGGUCAGUGGCCGGGUCGAUGAUUAUGUGUCAGUGCUACACGGAUCUUUAGUGGUCACUAUAAUAAUUUUUAUAUGAUCAUAUGGUCAUAGUUUAGUAUUGAAAUGUUUAAGUAUAUGAAGUUCACCCCAGAACCUACAAGUAAACAAAUAGCAGGGCCGGGCCCAUAGGUGUGCGGAUUGUGUGGUCCGCCAGGGCCCAUCAAUUUUGGUGGACCCAAAUUUUUAUAUAGGCCUACGUAUAUUUCUUCAUGGGCGCUGGGAGUGCAGCCUGUGCGCCAGCACAGGGCCUCCAGCUCCAAGGGGCACCUUAUUUUGAAAACAACAGUAUAGCCCAGUACGCAGAAAUAGGCCCAUUCGAGGCACCAACCUUGUUAGCCCUGAGGUGGGCGUCUGAAUCGCCGGGACCUCCUAUGUGCCGCUUACUGCGGCAAGGAGGCGCAGUUUCGCACAGGAGACGGGUCUGUGCCGUCUGAUUCAAUCAAUCAUCGGAUGCUUUGUCAUCAAAAUCUGUUUAAAAUUUAAUUAGAAAGAUAAUUAACUACGUGCGGAUAGAUCUACUAGAUGUUGGAAGUUUGUUGAACCAAUCCGUAUAUAUUUUAAAACAUGUUAAAACUAGAGUUAAGGUUUAAAAGAUGUGCAUAUUUUUAAAAGGAUUUAAAUCUGUCCCUAAGCAGCAUUUCAAAAUGGUUAACGAGUAAACAAACUUCAUAGUCAAAUUCUACAUAUUUUUCUAAUCAAUUUUCAUAUAUAACAUGUUAAAAUUGGAUUUACGGUUUAAAAGAUAUGAACAUUUUAAAAAACAUUUGAAUCUACAAAAAAGUAUAUUCUCUAGACGGAUGGCAGGUUUAUUAACCAAAACCUCAGAGGAUUUUCUGCAAAAUCAAAAUGUUUUAUAUUCUUACUUAAAAUAGGACCGCGAGUUGAUUAACUGAAACCUCAGGGGGGUUUCUACAAAACGCAAAACAUUUUUCUAUCACACUUAAACGGGGCCACGGGUUGAUUUUGGGGAAGUGCGAGGUUUUUUUGGGCAAAAAGCGCGACGGACGGGCAGAGACAAUCCUCUCUUUAAUAGUAGGUAGGUAUAGAUAUAUAGAUAUAGAUGUACACUCAUAGACAAUUCCGGUGUACAAUCAAGAUACAGAGAAAUUCUUCGAUUAUGUUAAAAAAAGUGUGAGCAAGCAAACAAUGAAGUACGUAACCUAUUUGAGCAAUGUUCGAGCAAGAUAACUGAGAAGUUGUUCGCCCAUUAGAACGAAGUUCAGUAAAGUGACCAAGAAGUUUACAAUUUCGACAAUGGUUGUUUCCCCUGAGUGAGGACAGAAAAGUUCCUACAAGUUUAAAAUUCGAAUGACUGAAAACCAAGCACUCAUGAACGAAAAACGGGUGCAGCCAAAUUAUUUGGGAAGUGAAGAGAGAAAUUCAUUGGGAAGGAAAGGAAGUGCCCAGUGCUUUUGGCCUGAAACUGACAAAAUAAAUCUCACAAAUUUCCAUCAGACCAACAGUUGAGCAGUUGAUCUUCAGAGCAACACACGGCAAAUCAACAAGUUUUAAUUCAGGAACAUAACCACCACUCUAUAUUUAUUCAGAGAACACAUGCUGGGGCUUGGCGACAUGGUGCUGGAGAUCCAAGGCGUCCUCCUCUUCCCACCCCACCCCUGGCCCUCCAGUUGCACUCCCACUGCCCCCCCCCCCCUUAGGUUGAGUGAGUGCAGGCUGGCUCCCACACUCCCGUCGAUGCGUGCUCAUGGAGGAGCUGUGCGAUAGCUGUUUUCUAGACAGCUUUGUAAUCAACAUUUUUGCAUAUGCAUAUAUCACAAGCGAAAGUGAAAGUAAAAUUGAUGACACGGUAACAUUAUUUUUAUUCCAAGUGAAGGUAAAUAGAUGUUACAACAACACCAUUUCAUAUUGAAAAACAAAUUAUGAAUCAUUGACCCUAUAUGGUGCUAGCAAGGCAAAAGUUAAGUGUGACCGACAUGCCCACCGCAAAGUUUUCAUCCAACAGCUUUUUCGCCUCCAUAGCAAGAAGGCCCAACCAACAGUCGAUGAAAGGUUUGUCCACUCUCUCCACACAGGCAGGCAGCUCAGAAGACAGCAACCCAUCAUUGGCUCCGCCCUUGCGACCAUGGUACUCCUUUAUCAUUGUGUCACAUAUGUUGAGUAUGCUCACCAUUCGAUCGUAGUCCACCAUGCAGUAACUGAGGGCACGCAUUGUAGCCGUGCCAUUCUUGGUGUCUUGCAACAUUUGUUUGACAUUACCAUUCGCCGCAGCAACUUGGCCCUUGAGUAUGUCAAUGGCAAUGUGUAUCAAGCUAUGGAGAUCCUUAGCCUCGGCACUCCGAUUGUCCAACAUGAGGGUCGACACGCAAAACUCCUGCGUGAUUGGGUUGGGGUCGUAUAUUUUGUUUUUCAUUGAGGCAUUCUUGCAUGCUUCCACCAUGAAGUUGGUUACCUUGGGUUUGCCCCCACCAGAGGCACUAGAUUCGGCAGCGAUGGUAGUGGAAAGGAGCAUGAUAGCGAUGGCAGAGAAGAAGAUGGAGGUCGCCGACAUUGUUGCCAUUGCUAUUAUGCUAGUUGGAAGUCUUGAAAUGUAUUGAAGCUGGAGAAGGUGGAGAUAAAUGGAUAUAGAAGGAUUUGUAGGGAAGAAAUGGAUUGAUUAAGUGAUGUGCAUGGGUUGAGAUUUUUAUAUAGAAAGCAGUGGCGGUCCAGAAAUGCAGUGUGCUGCUUAGCCAUAGAUAUAGUAUGAAUUAAUAGUACUAGCUAUACAAAUAUGUUGAUCCUCAUUUUAAAUCUUCUUGUAUUAAUGCCCUCUAUAUACAGAAAUAUAUAAUAGAUGCUUAUUUUAUAUCUUCCCAUAUUAACACACAUAAAGUUCCCAUAUGUUCAUUAAUGUGAUAAAUCUUGAUUACGGAUUUCCGAAUAGUUAAGAGUCCAUAGAAGGUGUGCACACAGAUAUGUGGGUCUUCAUUUUGGAUCUCCUCACAUUAAUACUUCUUACUUAUAUAUUGGGGCACACAGAUAUGUGGGUGUUCAUUUUGGACCUCCUCACAUUAAUACUUCUUAUUAGCAUUGGUGUGUUGUAAAUAUACUUUUGUAUAACUGAUUUUCUAUCUCUGUGCUACAUUUAGAAUCGAUCAAAUUGACCCUUAGCAAUUCAAUGGUUGCAAAAUGUUUUCUUUUUUCUUUUUUGCAACUUGCAAGGUGCACAUCUCUAGACCCAAACUUACAAAUAAUUCCUCAAGGUGCAACCAUUUAGUUUUAUACUUCAAAUGUUAAUAAUAAAAAUUAGAGGGAAUUAAAGUUUCCUAAAAUGCGUGUGAUUUGUUGCUUUUAGCUGAAAAAAUUUAGGAGUUAUUGAAUUGUUUGAAAAUGUGGAUCAAAUACAACUUUGGGAAUUAUAAGCACUCUAACCGUCAUUUGGGGAUCUAUUAUAUAAUUUAAACAUAAGUAAAACAAGACACCACGUUCUUCCACAUAAUCCAAAAUAAUAUACAUCGUUGAUCAAUAAUACUUACGGCUGAGAUUUAAAGAUAUUAUGUUACAUGGAAAACGUUAUAUGUUAUGCAUAUUGAACUGACACGUACUACUCCUGUAAAGCCUCCGCCUGUAGGAGCUAGACUAAUAUAUAUUAAAAAAAGUCCCAGACCCAGCUCACCGAUGCACGUUCUUUAGAAAAAAAAACAUAAGGCAAUAUAUGCAUGGGCGUAUGUUGGAACUAAACACGAUCAUAUAUGACAUGCCUCCUGGACGAGCCGAGGAUCAAAGUCACGAUGCGCACACAUCUUAACUCCCACUGAUAUUCAGCCGACCAAAACGAAGGCACAACAUACAUUCAUAUGCGCCUGCAAUGCUCGGGGGAAUAUCUAUUUAUCUGUUAUAUGAAAACGAUUUUCGAAGAUAAGGAAGUAGGGUUGAAAUUAAAAAAAAUUGAAAUCCUCACAAUUCCAGUGUUUGUCGUAUGAUGAGUUGUGGCCGGAAACAUGUAUACGCAAAUAAAACUAUUUUAAUGUAUCAGCAGCAUGCAUGUGUACUUAGACAAGCUCUCUCGCAUAUAUCAGUGGCACACCAAUCACUGAAGAAUAUUGCAUCAUUGAAAAUAAUGAUUCAAGUUAAGAACAUGUGUCAACCACUAAUCAGAUAAGAGUAAUGCAACUAGCACCAAUUAGUAAUCAGUAGUGUACUCAAUACAAUCACUUUUCUUAGAAAUUACAAAAAAAUAGUGAUUAUUAAAUAAAGAACGUCCAUAUAUAUUGACUAUUCGUCACCCUGGGUGAGAAAUAGUUAUUCUUCAUCCCCCCUCUAUUUUACAACCAAUGCAUUGUAAUUUUACGUUCCGUAAGUUUUGUUUUAUUUCUGACGUAAAAAGAGACCGUAAGAAAAUAUAUCAUCACCGUAAAAAAUAUUUUAUGUUAUGUAAAAUUACAAACGUAAAAACAUAGUGUAAAAUAUACAUAAACUCCAAAUUUUCUUGUCUUAUGACUUAUACUUUUAUUUUCUUAUAUCAAUUUUUACGUAGUGAAUCAAUAGGAAUGUAACUAUUUGAAUUCCAAAUGUAAUUUAAUUAUGAAGUGAUCGUAAGAUUACCUCGGGUGAAGAAUAACUUAUGAAUAGCAUCACUAUGUGUGUGUGUGUCUCUCUCUCUCUCUCUCUCUCNNNNNNNNNNNNNNNNNNNNNNNNNNNNNNNNNNNNNNNNNNNNNNNNNNNNNNNNNNNNNNNNNNNNNNNNNNNNNNNNNNNNNNNNNNNNNNNNNNNNNNNNNNNNNNNNNNNNNNNNNNNNNNNNNNNNNNNNNNNNNNNNNNNNNNNNNNNNNNNNNNNNNNNNNNNNNNNNNNNNNNNNNNNNNNNNNNNNNNNNNNNNNNNNNNNNNNNNNNNNNNNNNNNNNNNNNNNNNNNNNNNNNNNNNNNNNNNNNNNNNNNNNNNNNNNNNNNNNNNNNNNNNNNNNNNNNNNNNNNNNNNNNNNNNNNNNNNNNNNNNNNNNNNNNNNNNNNNNNNNNNNNNNNNNNNNNNNNNNNNNNNNNNNNNNNNNNNNNNNNNNNNNNNNNNNNNNNNNNNNNNNNNNNNNNNNNNNNNNNNNNNNNNNNNNNUAAUACCAUAUAAAUCACUAUGAAAUAUAUUUCCAGAUCUAUAUUGGUACUCUCUUUAUUUUGUACUUACGAUAUGAAUUUCAAAAUUCAGUCAAAUUUAAAAUUGUUCGUCCUAUGAUAAAAUAAAUAGGACGUGCAUUUGGGAUGUAGGAAGUGCAUGUCGCGAAAGAGAAAACUAGCAUUUCCUAGGCCAUUAGAUGCUCAAUAUUUGCAUUGAUACAUUCUAUUUAUAUAAUUAUUUAUUUAAGCGAUCAGUUUUUGGGUGUUGAAUAUCAGGGAAGUGAGGAAGUUUUCAUGCUUUUUGUUAAUACACACAUUAUCUCGGACGGAGAACCAACAAAAAUCACUUAAUGGGAGCAAGAUGUGUGCAUAUAAGCAUACAGAGGUCAUUGCUUAAAUGGAAAUCUGCAAUACAGGGCAGUGAGCAAUGCAGUGAGUUAAACGGUCACAACGUUUACAUACGAGCAACAAAUUUUCCUAAUUAAUUUUAAAAUUGUGAAUGAAAAUAUUGGAUAGAAUUAUUAUUACUGGGAUAGGAGGGUGAACAAGGGAAAAAUGAAAGAAUAGCAUAUAAUUUCAAUGUCGUGUCGCAGGCCUCGAGGUCUUCCUUCCGUUGAGUCACUCAUAAAUGUCCUUAGCCACAACCGUAUAGAAAAUUAUAAAAAGUAUACUGAAUAUAGUACAAUCUUUUCUGUAGACAUACCAAUGGGCAAUGGCAAUGUGGUUCUGAAAUUAAAUCCAAUAAUAAUUAGUUGCGGGUCUACAUAAUAGACAAAAAACAAAUAUUACAAUAUAUAGUUAAUCUAGCCGCGCAAAUGCGCGGGUCACCCUGCUAGUCAUUUAUAAAACCCAAAAGUUGAGCCACAUACAUAUGAGUAACCUUGUGUGAAUUAUCUUGGGAUGGAAAUAAAAUUUUGUAAGCCCCAAAUAUUGGAAACCCUAAAAUCAUCUAAAGUUUAAAUGGAACCAAAAUGGAAAAUGGGAACUAAAGUAAAUCCCUCAAAAUGAGCUGACAAGCUAAAUAUUUGAAAUGGGCAGGAAAAUAAAAAUUCCAUAUAACUCGAAUAACAAAAUAGGUCCGAUUUGGAAAAUGAGCAUAAAACAAAUGAGAAUUAAUACAUAGGUCUUAAUAUUUUAUUAUGGCAGGAAAAUUUACUUCCAUAAAGCCUAAAUAAAUGUUUAAACUUUUGGUAGUACACCAAAAUGAAAUUGGAGCAGGUUUGCUUUUUGAAACCGAUUUGAAAUUCAUACAGAAACGAAAAGAGAAACAAAAUUUAAAACGACUAUGACCAGCCAGCCAGGCGAGCUAGCCCAGCAGGCCCAACCCAACAGCAGCGUGCACCCCAGCACCCAGCUAUCGAAGCGGUACAUGCAAUUUUAUCUGAGCAGCUGGAUCAGCAUCAGACGGCCAACGCGCCCACAGACCUCUUUCUUCUCUCUCUCUGUCAUUGUUAGGUGGGACCGCCCAUGUCGUCAUCAACCUCAUGCCGAGGUCCCCGUGCCUACGAUCUCGUCACGACCCGAGCGCAUGUCGCACGUUCCCAACGCCCCAGUCCACCCCCAGCCAUGUGGGCCUUGGCCAUGCGCUAUAAGAUCCUCUCCCGGCCUCGAGAAUGUACCCUGUACACCGAGCUAUCUGGUGCAUCAGAUGCUCCAAUAGCUCAUGGGCCACUAGAUGAGGAAGGAAGGGACCUGAUCCAUCUACAAGGGACCCUACUGGUACAUUUGCAAAACAGACCCUGAGGUGCAGCUAAAUCUAGCGAAUCAACUCCCCCAACCCAGUUCGUCUCACUCCCUUCGCCUUCCUGUACCACCGGACCAGGCUGAGCUAGCUAGCUAUCUCUCUCUCUCUCUCUCUCUCUCUCUCUCUCUCUCUCUCUCUCUGGCUUCUGGUGUUGAAGCACCAGCGUCCAGGAAAGAAAUCAUGUGGACCACCGGUAGCUCGAUGCGAUUAAUUGUGUCUACAUAGCGGCGUAGUGUUGUACCUCCGGAGAUAUCGACGCUACGAUUGAAUAGGAGCUGGCCAUCAUCCUUUACAACAUGUGAUUCGAGGUAUGAGCAUGAAUUUGAUUCUUCUAUUUUCCAUGUGCAUUAAUAUUUAGUUCUUCCGGUCAUCAGUUUUCCCAAUUCGUUUGCAACUAGUGGCAUUUGGGAAUAUGAAUGCCUCGAAGGGGAAUUGCUAAACAUAGGUUCACAUAGAUUUUUGGAUUCGGCUUUUCUUAUGUGUUACUGUUGUUUGUAGCCAACCUACUAUAUGUCGUGCUCAUGUGACAAUUUUUCCAAUUAGUGCAACCUUAUUACUAUGUGUACUGAGCACCAUUCACUCUUUUCCUCUGUGUUUUGUUGCUCUGUACUUUAGCAUCAUCAUCUUAAAUUUUCAAGGUAAGUGAGAACAUGCUCAUUCCCAAUAUAUAUUUUUCACAGUAGCAUCAGGAAUUCUUGCUCUGUACUAUAGCAAGUUCAUAAAAAAUUCUUGCGCCAUACUUCAGCAAGUGGAAACAUCUGCAGCAGUUCAAGAAUCUUGCGCGUAUUUGCUUCUUCCUUUAGCCAUGUGUCAAGUUCAUAUUCUAUUCUUAAAGUUCCAUCGCCAAUGUUUCCCAAAUUCAUUGAAUCAAUUGUUGGGAGACAUUGUGACUAAUGUUGUUUCACUUGACUUAAAUGCAUGAUGUUGUUGAUUGAAAAUAGGAAUUGUGUGACUGUUUGAGGAUGCAUGAGCUACAAGUAUACCUGUAUAAUCUUAUCCUCUAUCACAAUAGUCUGAAUGUAAAAGAAACAAAUGAUGCGCUCGCUGUUCUGAUUCUUGGUUUGUAUAAAUUGAAAUAGGAGGUGCACUUACGAAGUCCAAUUUGAAAUUUGUGAAAGCGGUACUAGUUGUUUCUGGUCGAGAUUUUAUUUUGCUGCAAUCCUCCAAAAAGUAACACCUUUGAUAUGUGCUGCUUGCCUGCUUGUUAGUAGGGUAUUCAUCUUACUUGUUCCCUGCAGCUCCUGAAUAACUAAGUAUCGUGUGAUAAGGACCAUAAAAAGCUUAUUUUAAUCAUGAAUCAACAAGGAUUUUAGGAGUAGGAAGUAAGAACCAAGAUCUAUGAAACAUAAUUUUACGUUUUUUUACAAAUACUACUGAACGUUUCAGCAAUACAGGCAUUAAUCUUGUCCAUAUAUUGUUUUGUUUAUAUUUUUGUAUGUACAUCUGAAACCUGAUGUUGUUCAUGUUUUUCGGCUCCUCUCUGAAUGUUCAGCAACAUGCUCAUCUGUAGAAAAAAAAUCCUGUUGUUCAAGCUAGUGUUCAAGUUGAAUAUUUUCCUCCUUCUGCAAGUUGUGGUAUCUCUUUCAGCUGAUCGGAAGAGCUACUUGUGGUGGUUUACUUAUCAUACUCUGAAUGCUUCAGUACACAGUGGGACCUGUUCAAAUAGAUGUAUGUGUGGAGGAACAAUUGCAGAUACAGGAGUUCGACAUUGUUGAUGUAGAGCAAGAACACUUCUGUUUUAAUUAGAAGGAUUUUUUGGAACAAAAAUUUUCCUUGUGAAAUUUAAUUACCCUUAUGGACACACUCAAUUCUGAACCCUUGUAUAUAUAGGAGUAAUAUAAUGUACAGAAAACUAGAUCAUGGUGUUUUUUUUAUCCCUGGUUAACAGUGGGCAUCCUUUUUAUGUGAAAACUUUCCAUUUGACAGAAAGCCGUGCUCAAAUUUUUCUCUAUAGCACAACUCAUAUGUAUGCAACCACCAAGGAUUUUAAUUUCGGAAACAAAAUAUUUCAGACCUCACUGAAAUAUGCGAAAUUUCAGAAAUUUUGCACAUUUCAUAAAUUUUUUCGGAUUUCAAAUAUCCUUAAUUUUAAUAAAUUUUAACAAAAUUUAGAUAUACUUUUAAAUCAGCUUGAAUGUGCAUCGAAAUUUCAGGGUUAGAUUUAUUUCGAACCCCAUUGAAAUAUGUGAAAUUUCGGAUAUUCCACUGAAAUUUUGUUCAGAUUUUAACCCUGGCAACCACAUCGUUUUCUGCAGUCAACUUUGUAGUGGCAAUGUCCAUCUGUGUCGUUGACUUAUGAUGUUGUUGCAUUCUGACAUUUAAAAAGCUCCCCAAAGUUGGAUUAGUUUAUAUGAAUCAAUUAAGAAACUCAAAGGUAUUUUCGUGGAACUCCUAGAAACAUAUACAAAAGUGUCAAUGUUGUUGUCCUUGGUUUCCAUGAGAUUUGCAUAGUGCAUUCAUACAUGGCAGAUUAGUUAGUUCUAAGCUCUCGUCAACAUGAUUUUUCUUCCUAACGUGUUGAGUGGUGGAGGAAAUGUAGACAAGCGAGCGAUGGGAACAAAAAUUAUCUAACUCAAUCUCGUUGGUACUGUCGUAAAGAACUGGCCAACGAAGAGUGAUGAGUUGGCUUUAGCAGAAUGCAUCACUGAUUUCAUAUAACUACAAGGGUUGUUCUGCAAAUGUGCCAGCAGGCUCCCUCAUACAGUCGUAGCUGGAUCAGGUCCCUUUCUUCUGCAUCUAGUGGCCAACGAGCUAUUGGAGCAUUGGGUGCACCAGAUUGCUCGGUGCACAUGAUACAUUCUCCCCUUUUCAAACCUGCAGUCCAUUCGAGGCACUAAACAGUGUAGUGCGCUCUAAAUUCUCACCCUAGUUACCAAUGCAGUGACAUAUUAUCCUCAUGUAGCUUUGAGAACCAUUUUGCCUCACAUUCCCCUCUAAACGAUUUCGUGAAUAUUUAAAGUAUCUGAAAUNNNNNNNNNNNNNNNNNNNNNNNNNNNNNNNNNNNNNNNNNNNNNNNNNNNNNNNNNNNNNNNNNNNNNNNNNNNNNNNNNNNNNNNNNNNNNNNNNNNNNNNNNNNNNNNNNNNNNNNNNNNNNNNNNNNNNNNNNNNNNNNNNNNNNNNNNNNNNNNNNNNNNNNNNNNNNNNNNNNNNNNNUUUGGAAGGAAAUAAUCCGUGAAAAGUUCAUACUUGUAGGUUUUGGGGUGAACAAUGUCCAUUUAAAGAUUUCCAAAAUAAAUUAACACCAUCUGCAUCCAUAAAAUUUUAUUACAGUACAAAUUUUAAUUGUCAAACUAAGAAAUCCUUUUUUAGAUGGCAAACAAAAAAACUUUGACAGCAUGUUUUAGUUGACUCAUCAUAGAGGCAAGUUCAUGCGUACACUGAAAAAAAUAUUGUAACCUAUUUCAUUAUUUGCGCCCAUCUCGGAUAAGAUAAAUAUAUAUGUGCACAAUAAUAAUGCACAUUUAGUAACCUGAUUUUUUCAAUAAAUAAAUCACAUAUUACUUUAUGUAUACCUUUAACGGAUGAUCUUUAUUUUAUUUGAAAUCGAUCCAUGCAGAAGACACACAGUAGUACUGCAAUUGUAAGUGAAUCCAACCUGCACAUAUAUGCGUACAAUGGGCAUUAAUCAAUAGCAUUUACGUGACCAAGGUAAUUAGAUUUAUGCACCAUACCGAUGCACUUAUAUAUAAAUCUCAACCCACCUGCACCUCCAACCAUCUCCUCCUUCCUCUCUAUUUUGUCCAAAUUGUAUAUUCUCGCUGCCGUAUGGCGGCAACAACACCUAUGGCUUCCAUGGCCAUCUCAACCGUCGUCGUCAUGCUCCUUUCUUCUGCCAUGGCUGCCCACGCCAGCGGUGGCGGGGAGAAGGCCGACAACACAAGCCUCGUGAUGGAGGCGUGCAAGAACAUCUCAGGCGAGCCAUUCAAGGUGGGCUUCCUGCCAGAAUUCUGCGCAUCAACGCUCCUAUCAGACCACCGGAGUGCCGAGGCCAAGGACUGCCGUGACCUUGCGCUCAUCACUGCUGACAUACUCAAGGUGCAUGCAGCCGCCAUGGUAGGCAAGGUGGACAACAUGCUCCGUGAAGGCGGCCGAAUCGCCACCAAGGAUAAGAUAGCAGCUCGCGCCCUCCGGUUGUGUCGGGCGGACUAUGGCGGCAUGGUGAACACGCUCCAGAUCUGCUACAACAUCAUCCAGGACUUCGGCCGCAAAGGUAAGCAUGGGCCGACGCCCUCGGAGCUACCAGAGUGCGUUGAGAAGACGACCAACAGCAUCAAGGACUGCACUCACGAGGUCUGUAGCACGUCGGUGGCGGGGACGAUGGCUAUGGCAAACGAAAUACUAGAGAAGCUGGCAAUCGUCAGCAAAGCCUUGAUAAAUCUCUUCUUGGCCGACAAGAAGGAUCGUAACUAGGAGCUAUCUAUAAUUAGCAUCGUGUGAUGUGAGGAUGGAAUUUAAUAGUAAAUACUACUCACAAAAAAUUAAUAAAUUACAAAACAGUAAGUAAGACGUAGCGAGCUAUGCCUCUCCACCUCGCACCCAUCCAAUUUGGGCAUGCACGGCCUCGAUUACCUCUGUCAUCCAUCCCUGCCCCAUUUUUACCGACAGCCUGUUUGUUUCGGGGGAAGUAAUAUUAGGGAAUCGGAAUUAGGCGGGCGUGGGGUUUAAAUUCCCUUGUUUGACUGGAGGACAGUGGAAUUGAUGAUGGACGGGGAAAGGGGCUGGUCAAACUCCCACUUAUCUCUUCCUGGGGGGGGGGGGGCUGGUAAUUGGAGGAGGGAAUGGGAAAUGAGAGAGAAAAAUGCAAUCGCCAUGUUCGUUGCUCCCAUCCCGCAAGCUGCGGAAACAAGAUUCCCACGACUAACUCCCACCCCCAAACCAAACGAGGGAUUGGGACUAAUAGUCCACUUCCCAUGUCUAAUCUCUCAGCUAACUCCCACUUAAAAAUUCCCAUGCCUUUUCCCUCAAGCUGUCAAACACGCUGCAAGAGUCAGCUACCAGUCGUAAACUAGUCCACUACUUUGCAGAACAACUUCAGGGAUUUCCUGUGAAGUGGGCCAACCGCACUCUGGGCCAGGGUAACUACGUUCACAAAUCUCAGCCCUCCUGUUUUUCUCCAUCAAUGAUGUCUCUUCUCCCCUCGCCGCGGGGGGAGGCUCCUCCCUCCCCCUCGCCAAUGAUGAUCAUCAGCAAGGGAGGUAACCGGAAUAAUCUAGUUGUGAGACUGAGUUUAAGGCAUGCAUUCUUUCUCCGCUUCUCAACUCCAUCAAUCUCCUCCUGAAGUCCCCUCCCAGAUCUCACAACCACAACUCUCGUUGUCUCAACUUGCUUAUAAUUAUGAUUUGGUAACAAGUUGUCCUGGUGUUUGCUUAAGUUUCCCAAACAAUUUGUUCAACAUACAUGUUAUUUACACAACUUGAUCCUUUUAUAGUACCUUUAUCCGGCGUCGGCCGCGCGUAGAAGUGCUAGGAUCCGAACAACCAAAAAAAUUCAUGAUGAGAUAUGAAAGGAAUUUUUUGGAAUAGCAGAGGUCUUAAGGACUUGGCUAAAAGAAGGUUUCUAGCGGAUGCUUCUAUUGAUCACAGUUUGGAUUUUAUUGCCCUGUCAGAAACUGGUAGGGACAAUUUUACCCCCCACUUCCUCAGUACUCUGUCAGGAGAGGUUGACUUUGAUUGGCAUUGUCUACCUUCAAGAGGAAGAUCCGGAGGGAUCUUACUUGGGGUUAAAUGCGACUCGUUGGAAGUUAGGAAUGUGGUUAUGGGAGAUUUUGCGGUCAAGUUUCGGGUUCGGUCAAAAGUAGAUGGGUUUAAUUGGGCCUUGGUGGCGGUAUAUGGGGCCGCACAACCAGAACUCAAACCCGACUUUUUGGCGGAUUUAGUCCGUAUUUGUGGUAACGAGUGAGGGAGUCCUGGACUAAGGGGUCCUCGGGCGUCCGGCCUGUUGGACAUGGGCCGGACUAAUGGGCUGUGAAGAUACAAGACCGAAGACUCUCUCCCGUGUCCGGAUAGGACUCUCCUUGGCGUGGAAGGCAAGCUUGGCGACCAAAUAUGAAGAUUCCUUUCUCUGUAACUGACUUUGUACAACCCUAGUCAUCUCCGGUGUCUAUAUAAACCGGAGGGCUUAGUCCGGAAACGGAGGCAGUCAUACAGGCUAGACUUCUAGGGUUUUAGCCAUUACGAUCUCGUGGUAGAUCAACUCUUCUAAUACUUAUAUUCAUCAAGAUCAAUCAAGCAGGAAAUAGGAUAUUACCUCCAUAGAGAGGGCCCGAACCUGGGUAAACAUUGUGUCCCCCGUCUCCUGUUACCAUCGACCUUAGACGCACAGUUCGGGACCCCCUACCCGAGAUCCGCCGGUUUUGACACCGACAUUGGUGCUUUCAUUGAGAGUUCCACUGUGCCGUCCCCAAAAGGUUCGAUGGCUCCUUCAAUCGUCAACAACGAUGCUGUCCAAAGGGAAACCUUCCUCCCCGGACAGAUCUUCGUGUUCGGCGGCUUCGCACUGCGGGCCAACUCGCUUGGCCAUCUGGAGCAGAUUGACAGCGACGCCCCUGACCACCAGGUCAGAUUUGGGAGCUUGAACUAUGUCGCGGACAUCCGCGGAGACUUGAUCUUCGACGGAUUCGAGACCAUGGCAGCUGCUCCCUAUCCCUACGAUGAACAUGACUUAAAUCUAUCAUCGGACCAUACUUAGGAAAUCGCACCUAUAACCGCUCCGGCCUUAGAUCAGGAGCAGAUCACGCCAUCCGAGGACGGGAAGCUCAACCCCGCCACGGAAGCCGCAGACCCCGCGGCGUUGGAGCCGCACGCAGACCUAACCUCGGGUGAUAUCUGUGUCUCCGGAACCUCGGACUCGUUUCCGGUGAUAGUUCCGAACCAUGUGCGUCCGCUUAUGUCGAGCCGGAUCGGUCAUCGAUCGCCGAAUUCAGCGCAGCGGACAUCUUCCGGCACUCGCCUUUAGGCGACGUGCUGAACUCAUUAAAAAAUCUGUCCUUAGCGGGGGACUCACAGCGGAACUAUGUCCGGUUCGAACUGGAGGCUGAUGACGGGGAAUUUCUCUUCCCACCCGCCACCCACUACAUAGCCACUGUCGAGGACUUAACCAACAUGCUCGAUUAUGGCUCCGAAGACAUCGACGGUAUGGAUGACGACGCAGAUGAGGAGCAUGGCCAAAACCCCCCGUUUAUAGGACGCUGGACGGCCACUUCUUCGAACGACGUAUACAUGGUGGAUACACCCAAAGAGAAUAACGGCGAGGACAAGGAAAAUCCAGUUGAGGAUGAGCCUCCUAAGACACAACCAAAGCGUCGGCGUCAGCGGCGCCGCUCUAAAUCCCGCCGCAGCAAGGAGAGCAACACCGGCACAGGAGACGAUCACACUCUGGACGGUGCCGAAGACAGAGAAGAUCCCGACGAACAAACGGCCGAACAGGACGAUCGGGAAGAUGGGCAAGUUAGCCCUGAUGAACAGGCCAUAAACGACGACUCGGAGGGCGGCACUUAUCUUCCACCCUCCGAGGAUGAGGCGAGCCUUGGCAACGAGGAUUUUAUCGUUCCUGAGGAACCUCUCGAGCAAGAGCGCUUUAAGCGCCAGCUAAUAGCCAUAGUAAGGAGCCUGAAAAAGAAGCAGCAGCAGCUUCAAGCUGAUCAAGAUCUGCUCAACGAUAGAUGGACUGAUGUCCUGGCAGCCGAAGAAUACGGCCUUAAGCGCCCAGCCGAAAGUUACCCGAAGCGCAAAUUGCUACCUCAGUUUAAUGACGAGGCGCCGGAGCCCGUACCAUCAUCGCGCAAUGCGGCUGACCGACCACCACGCGGUCGGGAUAAAGCGGCAACUCAAGCCGAACACCAGACCGCCCCACCUCGUCGUAAAGGCAGGGAUAAAACAGCUCGGGGUUACACAUAUGACCUUCGGCAGGACCUGGAUGGUAGAGCAGGACAUACGAGAUCGAUCUAUGGAUCGCGAGGACGUGCCUCGACACACGACGAAGGCUACCUAUUCGGACGUGACAAACCUAUUCAUGCCCGGGACGAAAACCGCAAACGGACUCCAUCGGAGCUACGUCGCGAUGCGGCCCGAUAUAGAGGCGCCGCACACCCUCUUUGCUUCACUGACGAAGUAAUGGAUCAUGAAUUCCCAGAAGGGUUUAAACCCGUAAAUAUCGAAUCAUAUGAUGGAACAAUCAAUCCCGUGGUAUGGAUCGAGGAUUUUAUUCUCCACAUCCAUAUGGCCCGCGGAGAUGAUCUUCACGCCAUCAAAUACCUCCCACUAAAACUCAAAGGGCCAGCUCGGCACUGGUUAAACAGUCUGCCUGAAAAUUCUAUUGGCAGCUGGGAGGACUUGCAAGAAGCCUUCCUUGACAACUUCCAAGGUACAUAUGUCCGGCUACCAGAUGCCGAUGACUUAAGUCACAUAGUUCAACAGCCUGGAGAAUCAUCCAGGAAAUUCUGGACUAGGUUCCUAACUAAAAAAGAACCAGAUCGUCGACUGUCCGGAUGCCGAAGCCCUAGCGGCCUUUAAACAUAGCAUCCGUGACGAAUGGCUCGCCCGCCACCUCGGCCAGGAAAAGCCAAAGUCCAUGGCAGCCCUCACGGCACUCAUGACCCGCUUUUGUGCGGGUGAGGAUAGUUGGCUGGCCCGUAGCAAAAACACAACAAGUGAAAUGAGCACCUCCGAGGUCAAAAAUAGCAACGGCAAGCUCCAACGCAGCAGACACAAACGCCGAAGCAAUGGUGACAACACUGAUGACACAACAGUCAACACCGGAUUCAGUGGCUCCAAGUUCGGUCAGCGGAAGAAGCCAUAUAAAAGAAACAAUCAGGGACCAUCCUUCCUGGACCGCAUACUCGAUCGUUCGUGCCAGAUCCAUGGCACCCCAGACAAACCAGCCAAUCAUACCAACAGAGAUUUUUGGGUUUCUAAAGAGGCCGACAAGUUAAAUGCCGAGAACAAGGAAAAGGGAUCGCAAAGCGAGGACGAUGACGAGGAGCCCCGGCAACCGAACACACGGGGACAAAAGAAGUUUCCCCCUUAGGUCAAAAUGGUGAACAUGAUAUAUGCCACACACAUCCCUAAGAGGGAGCGCAAGCGCGCGCUCGGGGACGUGUAUGCGAUAGAGCCAGUCGCCCCAAAAUUCAAUCCAUGGUCGUCAUGCCCGAUCACCUUUGAUCGCCGGGAUCACCCGACUAGUAUCCGUCAUGGCGGUUCAGCCGCACUGGUCCUCGACACAAUCAUUGAUGGAUUCCACCUGACGCGAGUCCUCAUAGACGGUGGCAGCAGCCACAAUCUGCUCUAUCAGGAUACAGUGCGCAAAAUGGGCAUUAACCCAUCACGGAUCAAGCCCACAAAGACUACCUUUAAAGGAGUCAUACCAGGUGUAGAGGCCCGCUGUACGGGCUCAAUUACGCUAGAGGUUGUCUUCGGAUCUCUGGACAACUUCCGAAGCGAGGAGUUAAUCUUUGAUAUCGUCCCUUUUCGCAGCGGCUAUCACGCACUGCUUGGACGAACCGCAUUCGCUCGAUUCAAUGCGGUGCCUCAUUAUGCUUACCUCAAGCUCAAGAUGCCGGACCACGCGGCGUCAUAACAGUUAAUAGAAACACGAAACGAUCCCUCCGUACCGAGGAGCACACCGCUGCCUUAACAGCAGAAGUACAAAGCGGCCUUUUCAAGCAGAACCUUAAUUCGGUGGCCGAGCCCCCAGACACCAUCAAGAGGGUCCAGACUAUUCUGCAGGAGGACAACUCGGCUCGUCAAGAGCUGGACUAGCAAUUUGGCCUCCGUCCCAGUCCCGAUGAAGUGGCGGCAUUCGCACCGCACGUACAUAACUACGCACUCAAAAUACCAUGGGCGCAGACGGAGGCAUAACUAGCUUGUGAUCCACAAUACGGCUUGACCGCUCUCGGACACAUAUACUUUCACUAUUUCUUUUCUACUUUUCAGGUUUCUUUUCCACAGGCCUUCCCUGAUGGCUUGAUCGCAGGUCCUUUCAAAUGACAAAUACACCAAGCCGACAGUCAGCUUGGACAUAGAGGGGAAUUUCUAGGUGGUUUCUUUAACGACCACUCUACCUGUUUCCAGGGCCCACACGCAGCUCUCCCUUGGUCGUGGCAUGUUAAAUAUCCUGUUGCUUAUCGCACUAUUUGUAUCAAUACGCUUUGACAUAUUAAUCAAAUUAUAAUGGAAACAGUUUGCGGCCCAAAUUUUAGGGCCCCUGCUCAUUGCAUUUGCUCCUUUUCUAUUUUCCUUUUUUAUUAAUCAGAUAGCACCCGUACACUGUGGUACAUUUCAAUUUGCCAGGGGCUUCAUAGCGCCCCACACUAUGGCAACAAAGUCCGAACACUUUUUAUAGUAUAGUUCAGCACCCCGAAUUUAGCACUAUAUGCAUUGGCUCCGAAUCAUGUCUUUGGUCAAUAGUUGGGUUGCCCGGCUCCUGUGCUUGCUACCUUACAUUCCGCUAUAUUGGCUAAGGUAGUAAAGGGAGCACUACUGCGAUUGUGCCCUGGUUUACCCGAAGGAGCACCUCAGUAGAGAAAGCCGAAAACUGACUGUCAUGAUGCGGCGAGAGCCGUUCAGCUCUUCGGACGUUUCAAAUCGUUAGAGAUUUUUUCCGCAUUACGCGAAGGAUCGGUACUUACCCGAUCAGGUGCUUAUAGCAUUCUAGUUCGGAUACUAGGGGCUGCGCCCACAUUUUUAUUGUCAAACUCCUAUGGCUAAGUGAGAGUGCUAAAGCCGCAUAGUCUGAUUGCCUGGUUCGUUGCACUAAACACCUCCUUCAAGGACCAAACAAUUGGAUCAAGAGCGUUUAUAUUCCAUCCCGAACACACCCCCGUACUACCUACGUGGGGGCAGAAGCCAACGACUGGCCAACUCUCAGAUUUCAUACAAAACGGCCGCACAGGAGGUAAAAAAAUUUAAACAUAACAAAAAUUAUAUUACAUAACAACAUUGUUUCAUCAUACAAGGCAGAGACAACAUGAAUGUAUUCAUUCAAAGAUAAUGUCUUUCGCACAUUGCGUCGCCACAAUGCGAGACCCCUCCAGGACGUCUUCAAAAUAUCGCUCGGGCGUGCGGUGCUCCUUGCCCUCAGGCAGCCCCUCGGUCACAAGCUUGACGGCGUCCAUCUUCGCCCACCAGACCUUGACGCGGGCGAAGGCCAUGUGCGCGCCCUCGAUGCAGACCGACCGCUUGAUGACGUCCACCCGAGGACAGACAUUCACCAGCCGCUUCACGAGGCCGAAGUAGCUGCUGGGUAUAGCUUCGGUAGGCCACAGCCGGAUUAUUAAAUCCUUCAUGGCCAGUUCGGGCACCCUAUGCAGCUCGACUAGCUGUUUUAGCUAAUCGGUGAAGGGCACUGGAUGUUCUGGCGCAAGGAAUUGCGACCAGAAUAGCUUCUCAGUUGAGCUCCCUUCUUCGGCUCGGAAGAACUCCGCAACGUCUGACACACUGUGCGGCAGAUCCGCAAACGCCCCUGGAGAACUCCGAAUCCGGGUUAGUAAGACAUACUUCUUCUUCACAUACUUGCUUUGCAUAGUAAACGCCUUACCCGCCGCGAUCUUCUCGGCCUCCUGGAUCUCCUGGUGGGUGCCCUGGGCCUCAACCCGGGCUUCUUCCGCACUUUGGCGAGCCUUGGCGAGUUUGGCCUCUCGAGCCGAAACAUCGCACUCCAAGGCCUCACAUUUCUUCACAACGUCCUGGAGCUCUUGCUGGACCUCGUUAAGCCUGGCCUUGAGCUUCUUACGGGCGGCUUGCUGCUUGGCGGCUUUCUCCUCGGCUUCGGCCAGGGCCUUUUUAAGGGCCUCGACCUCGGUCAUCGCUCCUACACAUAUCAUAACACUACGAUCAAUACACAUCAUUUAUUCUUUCCGAAUAUAUAGCGAGUUAUGACAUACCUUGCUGGUCUUCUAGCUGCUUCCUCGCUUGGCCGAGCUCCUCCUCGGCCCGCUCCAGUCUCUGCUUUAGUCCAGAGACUUCGGCAACGUGUGAGGUCGCGGCCAGCAACGACGCCUGCUCAUUCAUACAAGACAUAUUUAAUUAGUUUCCUGCAAAAAUGAAUUGAUCCUCUGUCCGGCCUUGCUUUCCGAACACCGGACAGUGUCUCAGGGGCUACUGACUAUAGUGGGAUUUUCUCUUUUGCGUCGCUUACCAAAACCUAUUAGCAAGCCGAUGCAGGCUUCGGUCAGUCCGCUCUUAACGGGCUGAACCCUCUCAAUCACCGUACCCAUAAGGAUAUGGUGUUCCUCCACAAUGGAAGCGCCUCGUAGCGCUUCCAGAAGAUUGUCCGGUGCCCCUAGUUGGACAGAGGUCACCGGUGGGAUAGGCACACCUCCGUCUUUCAAAGGAGGUUGCACGCCGGACUCCGGAGCCGUGUAGGUCUCCGGAACCGUAUUCGGAUAGGGGCCGAAUAGAACAUGGCCCCCAUCGCCAGUCUCCAUGGGGAUCUGCUCCCCCAUGUGUCCGGCGGUCGAGGUUUUGCCCUCUGGUGCUACCCUGACGGCCUUUUGAGACUCCCCCUGGCCUGGGAAGAUCCUUCGCGACAGCACCUCGGCGUCGCCCUUGGCCGUGGGAGAGUAAGCGGCCGGCGGUGACUCGCUGGCCAUCGCCUUUGAAUCCAACGAGCCUCUUGAUGAGGAUCGCUGGGAGCUGUCGUGGGCCGGACUGCAAUAACAUAAUUAACCAUAUUAAUACCAUAAAGAAGGGAAGCCGAAUACAGGGAUGCAUCUGGGCUUUUUUAGUACUUACAAUGCGGCCAGGGACUUGCUUCGGGGGGGUCGCUCUGGGUUGUUGUCGACGUCCCACGCGGAGUUAUCCGCGAGGGAGCCCUUCCCCCUCUUGGGCGCCUCCGCCUCCAGAUUUGUGGAGGCCACCCUCUUCUUCCUCCCCCCUUCAGGGGGAGAGUUGCUUUCCUCCUCCUCGUCAUCAUCUUCGGCGGCAGAGGAGUGAGUCUUGUCUUCGGACAUCACGUCCGAAGUGCCCUUACGGCGGGGGCCACCCCGGGCCCCCUUUGGCCUUCUUCUCCGGUGGCUGAUAGGGCGCCGAGACUAGCAUCUUCGCCAGGAGCGGGAUGACUGGUUCUUCGGGCAGCGAAGCCAAACAUUGAAUCCGCUCCGCCUUCUCUAUCCAUACCUGAAAGGAUAAAUUAGCAAAGUUUAGUUACCCUCCUUGGAUAAGCAAGUAGAGGGUACGCCUUGAGAUGUGAAGGACUUACCGCAUUGGCGGGUGCUACCUCUUGAGCACUGCGUUGGUUUUCCCUUGAAGAGGAAAGGGUGAUGCAGCAAAGUAGCGUAAGUAUUUCCCUCAGUUUUUGAGAACCAAGGUAUCAAUCCAGUAGGAGGCCACGCUCAAGUCCCUUGUACCUACACAAACAAAUAAGAACCUUGCAACAAACACGAUAAAGGGGUUAUCAAUCCCUUCACGGCCACUUGCAAAAGUGAGAUCUGAUAGAGAUGAUAAGAUAAUAAUUUUUAUAAUAAAGAUUAAAAGUAAAGAUUGCAAAAUAAAAGGUGAUAGAAAUAGCUUGUUGAAGGGACAUUAAUAUGAUGGAAAAUAGACCCGGGGGCCAUAGGUUUCACUAGUGGCUUCUCUCAAGAUAGCAUAAGUAUUACGGUGGGUGAACAAAUUACUAUCGAGCAAUUGAUAGAAUUGAGCAUAGUUAUGAGAAUAUCUAGGUAUGAUCAUGUAUAUAGGCAUCACGUCCGUGACAAGUAGACCGACUCCUGCCUGCAUCUACUACUAUUACUCCACACAUCGACCGCUAUCUAGCAUGCAUCUAGAGUAUUAAGUUCAUAAGAACGGAGUAACGCUUUAAGCAAGAUGACAUGAUGUAGAGGGAUAAACUCAAGCAAUAUGAUAUAAACCCCAUCUUUUUAUCCUCGAUGGAAACAGUACAAUACAUGUCGUUUCCCCUACUGUCACUGGGAUCGAGCACCACAAGAUUGAACCCAAAGCUAAGCACUUCUUCCAUUGCAAGAAAGAUCAAUCUAGUAGGCCAAACCAAACUGAUAAUUCGAAGAGACUUGCAAAGAUAACCAAUCAUACAUAAAAGAAUUCAGAGAAGAUUCAAAUAUUGUUCAUAGAUAAUCUUGAUCAUAAACCCACAAUUCAUCGGAUCUCGACAAACACACCGCAAAAGAAGAUUACAUCGAAUAGAUCUGCAAGAGAAUUGAGGAGAACUUUGUAUUGAGAUCCAAUGAGAGAGAAGAAGCCAUCUAGCUAAUAACUAUGGACCCGAAGGUCUUAGGUAAACUACUCACACAUCAUCGGAGAGGCUAUGGUGUUGAUGUAGAAGCCCUCCGUGAUCAAUGCCCCCUCCGGCGGAGCGCCGGAAAAGGCCCCAAGAUGGGAUCUCACGGGUACAGAGAGUUGCAGCGGUGGAAAUAGGGUUUUGGCUCCUGUUCUGAUGUUUCCAGGGUAUAUGAGUAUAUAUAGGCGAAAGAGGUCGGUCAGGAGAGCUAUGAGGGCCCACGAGGGUGGGGGCGCGCCCAGGGGGCAGGCGCGCCUCCCUGCCUUGUGGCCUCCUCGUUGAUUUCUUGACGUCCACUCCAAAUCCUCUGCAUCACGUUUGUUCCGAAAAUCACGUUCCCGAAGGUUUCAUUCCGCUUGGACUCCGUUUGAUAUUUCUUUCCUUCGAAACACUGAAAUAGGCAAAAAAAACAGCAAUUUGGGUUGGGCCUCCGGUUAAUAGGUUAGUCCCAAAAAUAAUAUAAAAGUGUAUAAUAAAGCCCCUUGAACAUCCAAAACAGAUAAUAUAAUAGCAUGGAGCAAUCAAAAAUUAUAGAUACGUUGGAUACGUAUCAAGCAUCCCCAAGCUUAAUUCCUGCUUGUCCUCGAGUAGGUAAAUGAUAAAAACAGAAUUUUUCAUGUGGAAUGCUACUUAGCAUAAUUUUCAAUGUAAUUCUUUUUAUUGUGGCAUGAAUAUUUAGAUCCGAAAGAUUCAAGAUAGAAUUUAAUGUUGACAUAAAAAAAUACUUCAAACAUGCUAACCAAGCAAUUAUGUCUUAUCAAAAUAACAUAGCCAAAGAAAGCUUAUCCCUACAAAAUCAUAUAGUUAGGCCAUGCUUCAAUUUCGUCACACAAAACGUUCUCAUCAUGCAUAACCCCGAUGAAAAGCCGAGCAAUUGGUUCAUACUUUUUAAUGUGCUUCAGCCUUUUCAACCCUUACGCAAUACAUGAGCGCAAGCCAUGGAUAUAGCACUAUGGGUGGAAUAAAGUAUAAUGAUGGGGGUUAUGUGAGAAGACAAAAAGGUAGAAAGUCUCACAUUGACGCGGCUAAUCAAUAGGCUAUGGAGAUGCCCAUUAAUUGAUGUCAAUGGGAUGAGUAGGGAUUGCCAUGCAAUGGAUGCACUAGAGCUAUAAAUAUAUGAAAGCUCAACAAAAGAAACUAAGUGGGUGUGCAUCCAACUUGCUUGCUCACGAAGACCUAGGGCAUUUUGAGGAAUCCCAUCAUUGGAAUAUACAAGCCAAGUUCUAUAAUGAAAAAUUCCCACUAGUAUAUGAAAGUGACAACAUAGGAGACUCUCUAUCAUGAAGAUCAUGGUGCUACUUUGAAGCACAAGUGUGGAAAAAGGAUAGUAACAUUGUCCCUUCUCUCUUUUUAUCUUAUUUUUUUCUUGGGCCUUCUCUUUUUCUUUUUUUUUCUUUGGCCUCUUUUUUUAAUCCGGAAUCUCAUUCCGACUUGUGGGGGAAUCAUAGUCUCCAUCAUCCUUUCCUCACAUGGGACAAUGCUCUAAUAAUGAUGAUCAUCACACUUUUAUUACUUACAACUCAAGAAUUACAACUCAAUACUUAGAACAAGAUAUGACUCUAUGUGAAUGCUUUCGGCGGUGUACCGGGAUAUGCAAUGAAUCAAGAGUGACAUGUAUGAAAAAUUAUGAAUGGUGGCUUUGCCACAAAUACGAUGUCAACUACAUGAUCACGCAAAGAAAUAUGACAAUGAUGGAGCGUGUCAUAAUAAACGGAACGGUGGAAAGUUGCAUGGCAAUAUAUCUCGGAAUGGCUAUGGAAAUGCCAUUAUAGGUAGGUAUGGUGGCUGUUUUGAGGAAGAUAUAAGGAGGUUUAUGUGUGAUAGAGUGUAUCAUAUCACGGGGUUUGGAUGCACCGGCGAAGUUUGCACCAACUCUCAAGGCGAGAAAGGGCAAUGCACGGUACCGUAGAGGCUAGAAAAUUGUGGAAGGUUGAGAGUGCGUAUAAUCCAUGGACUCACAUUAGUCAUAAAGAACUCAUAUACUUAUUGCAAAAGUUUAUUAGCCCUCGACGCAAAGUACUACUACGCAUGCCCCUAGAGGGAUAGAUUGGUAGGAAAAGACCAUCGCUCGUGCCCGACCGCCACUCAUAAGGAAAGCAAUAAAAGAACACCUUAUGUGUCAAAAUUGUCACACAACUUUUACCAUACGUGCAUGCUAUGGGACUUGCCAACCUUAACACAAGUAUUUCUCAAUUUCACAAUUACUCAACUAGCACACUCUAAUAUUACCACCUUUAUAUCUCAAAACACUUAUCAAGAAUCAAACUUCUCAUGAUAUUCAAUGAACUCAAUAUGGAAGUUUUUAUUAUGCUCAUCUUGGAUGCCUAUUGAAGGAAAUAUGGCCUAGAGGCAAUAAUAAAGUUAUUAUUUAUUUCCUCAUAUCAUGAUAAAUGUUUAUUAUUCAUGCUAGAAUUGUAUUAACUGGAAACUUAGUACAUGUGUGAAUACAUAGACAAACAGAGUGUCACUAGUAUGCCUCUACUUGACUAGCUCGUUAAUCAAAGAUGGUUAAGUUUCCUGACCAUUGACAUGAGUUGUCAUUUGAUUAAUGGGAUCACAUCAUUAGGAGAAUGAUGUGAUUGACUUGACCCAUUCCGUUAGCUUAGCACUUGAUCGUUUAGUAUGUUGCUAUUGCUUUCUAAAUGACUUAUACAUGUUCCUAUGACUAUGAGAUUAUGCAACUCCCGUUUACCGGAGGAACACUUUGUGUGCUACCAAACGUCACAACGUAACUGGGUGAUUAUAAAGGUGCUCUACAGGUGUCUCCGAAGGUACUUGUUGAGUUGGCGUAUUUCGAGAUUAGGUUUUAUCACUCCGUUUGUCGGAGAGGUAUCUCUGGGCCCUCUCGGUAAUGCACAUCACUAUAAGCCUUGCAAGCAAUGUGACUAAUGAGUUAGUUGCGGGAUGAUGCAUUACGGAAUGAGUAUAGAGACUUGCCAGUAACGAGAUUGAACUAGGUAUUGAGAUACCGACGAUCGAAUCUCGGGCAAGUAACAUAUCGAUGACAAAGGGAACAACGUAUGUUGUUAUGCGGCUUGACCGAUAAAGAUCUUCGAAGAAUAUGUAGGAGCCAAUAUGAGCAUCCAGGUUCCGCUAUUGGUUAUUGACCGGAGACGUGUCUCGGUCAUGUCUACAUAGUUCUCGAACCCGUAGGGUCCGCACGCUUAAAGUUCGGUGACGAUCGGUAUUAUGAGUUUUUGUGUUUUGAUGUACUGAAGGUAGUUCGGAGUCCCGGAUAUGAUCACGGACAUGUUGAGGAGUCUCGAAAUGGUCGAGACGUAAAGAUCGAUAUAUUGGAUGACUAUGUUCGGACACCGGAAAUGUUUCGGGAGGUUUCGGACAUUUACCGGAGUACCGGGGGGUUACCGGAACCCCCCGGGGAGUAAAUUGGGCCUAAUGGGCCUUAGUGGAGAAGAGGAGGGGCGGCCAGGGCAGGCCGCGCGCCCCCUCCCCCUCUAGUCCGAAUUGGACAAGGAGGGGGGCGGCGCCCCCCUUUCCAUCCCCUCUCUCUCCUCCUCCCCCCUUCUCCUACUCCUACUAGGAAAGGAGGAGUCCUACUCCCGGUGGGAGUAGGACUCCCCCCUUGGCACGCCCUCCUUGGCCGGCCGCCUCUCCCCGCUUGCUCAUUUAUAUACAGGGGCAGGGGGACACCUCUAGACACACAAGUUGAUCUGUUGAUCUCUCCCAGCCGUGUGCGGUGCCCCCUCCACCAUAAUCCACCUCGAUAAUAUCAUAGCAGUGCUUAGGCGAAGCCCUGCAUCGGUAGCAUCAUCAUCACCGUCAUCACGCCGUCGUGCUGACGAAACUCUCCUGCGAAGCUUUGUUGGAUCGGAGCUCGCGGGACGUCAUCGAGUUGAACGUGUGCUGAACUCGGAGGUGCCGUGCGUUCGGUACUUGGAUCGGUCGAAUCGUGAAGAUGUAUGACUACAUCAACCGGGUUGUGCUAACGCUUCCGCUUUCGGUCUACGAGGGUACGUGGACACACUCUCCCCUCUCGUUGCUAUGCAUCACCAUGAUCCUAAGUGUGCGUAGGAAAUUUUUUGAAAUUACUACGUUCCCCAACAGUGGCAUCCGAGCCAGGUUUAUGCGUAGAUGUUAUAUGCAUGAGUAGAACACAAGUGAGUUGUGGGCGAUACAAGUCAUACUGCUUACCAGCAUGUCAUACUUUGGUUCGGCGGUAUUGUUGGAUGAAGCGGCCCGGACCGACAUUACGCGUACGCUUACGCGAGACUGGUUCUACCGAAGUGCUUUGCACAUUGGUGGCUGGCGGGUGUCAGUUUCUCCAACUUUAGUUGAACCGAGUGUGACUACGCCCGUUCCUUGUGAAGGUUAAAACAACACUAACUUGACGAGCUAUCGUUGUGGUUUUGAUGCGUAGGUAAGAACGGUUCUAACUCAGCCCGUCGCAGCCACAUAAAACUUGCAACAACAAAGUAGAGGACGUCUAACUUGUUUUUGCAGGGCAUGUUGUGAUGUGAUAUGGUCAAGGCAUGAUGCUAUAUUUUAUUGUAUGAGAUGAUCAUGUUUUGUAACCAAGUUAUCGGCAACUGGCAGGAGCCAUAUGGUUGUCGCUUUAUUGUAUGCAAUGCAAUCGCCCUGUAAUUGCUUUACUUUAUCACUAAGCGGUAGCGAUAGUCGUAGAAGCAAUAGUUGGCGAGACGACAACGAUGCUACGAUGGAGAUCAAGGUGUUGCGCCGGUGACGAUGGUGAUCAUGACGGUGCUUUGGAGAUGGAGAUCACAAGCACAAGAUGAUGAUGGCCAUAGCAUAUCACUUAUAUUGAUUGCAUGUGAUGUUUAUCCUUUAUGCAUCUUAUUUUGCUUUGAUUGACGGUAGCAUUAUAAGAUGAUCUCUCACUAAAUUUCAAGGUAAAAGUGUUCUCCCUGAGUAUGCACCGUUGCCAAAGUUGGUCAUGCCGAGACACCACAUGAUGAUCGGGUGUGAUAAGCUCAACGUUCAUCUACAACGGGUGCAAGCCAGUUUUGCACACGCAGAAUACUCGGGUCAAACUUGACGACCCUAGCAUAUGCAGAUAUGGCCUCGGAACACUGAGACUGAAAGGUCGAGCAUGAAUCAUAUAGUAGAUAUGAUCAACAUAGUGAUGUUCACCAUUGAAAACUACUCCAUUUCACGUGAUGAUCGGUUAUGGUUUAGUUGAUUUGGAUCACGUGAUCACUUAGACGAUUAGAGGGAUGUCUAUCUAAGUGGGAGUUCUUAAGUAAUAUGAUUAACUGAACUUAAAUUUAUCAUGAACUUAGUACCUGAUAGUAUUUUACUUGUCUAUGUUAUUGUAGAUAGAUGGCCCAUGCUAUUGUUCCGUUGAAUUUUAAUGCGUUCCUUGAGAAAGCAAAGUUGAAAGAUGAUGGUAGCAAUUACACGGAUUGGGUCCGUAACUUGAGGAUUAUCCUCAUUGUUGCACAGAAGAAUUACGUCCUGGAAGCACCGCUGGGUGCCAGGCCUGCUGCAGAUGCACCUGACGACGUUAAGAACGUUUGGCAGAGCAAAGCUGAUGACUACUCGAUAGUUCAGUGUGCCAUGCUUUAUGGCUUAGAACCGGGACUUCAACGAUGUUUUGAACGUCAUGGAGCAUAUGAGAUGUUCCAGGAGUUGAAAUUAAUAUUUCAAGCAAAUGCCCGGAUUGAGAGAUAUGAAGUCUCCAAUAAGUUCUAUAGCUGUAAGAUGGAGGAGAAUAGUUCUGUCAGUGAACAUAUACUCAAAAUGUCUGGGUAUAACAAUCACUUGAUUCAACUAGGAGUUAAUCUUCCGGAUGAUAGUGUCAUUGACAGAAUUCUUCAAUCACUGCCACCAAGCUACAAGAGCUUCGUGAUGAACUAUAAUAUGCAAGGGAUGGAUAAGACAAUUCCCGAGCUCUUCGCGAUGCUAAAAGCUGCGGAGGUAGAAAUCAAGAAGGAGCAUCAAGUGUCGAUGGUCAACAAGACCACCAGUUUCAAGAAAAAGGGUAAAGGGAAGAAGAAGGGGAACUUCAAGAAGAACGGCAAACAAGUUGCUGCUCAAGAGAAGAAACCCAAGUCUGGACCUAAGCCUAAGAUUGAGUGCUUCUACUUCAAACAGACUGGUCACUGGAAGCGGAACUGCCCCAAGUAUUUGGCGGAUAAGAAGGAUGGCAAGGUGAACAAAGGUAUAUGUGAUAUACAUGUUAUUGAUGUGUACCUUACUAGAGCUCGCAGUAGCACCUGGGUAUUUGAUACUGGUUCUGUUACUAAUAUUUGCAACUCAAAACAGCAGAGACUAUGGAUUAAGCGAAGACUGGCUAAGGACGAGGUGACGAUGCGCGUGGGAAAUGGUUCCAAAGUCGAUGUGAUCGCCGUCGACACGCUACCUCUACAUCUACCUUCGGGAUUAGUUUUAGACCUAAAUAAUUGUUAUUUGGUGCCAGCGUUGAGCAUGAACAUUAUAUAUGGAUCUGUUUUGAUGCGAGACGGUUAUUCAUUUAAAUCUGAGAAUGAUAGUUGUUCUAUUUAUAUGAGUAAUAUCUUUUAUGGUCAUGCACCCUUGAAGAGUGUUCUAUUUCUGUUAAAUCUCGAUAGUAGUGACACACAUAUUCAUAAUGUUGAAGCCAAAAGAUGCAGAGUUGAUAAUGAUAGUGCAACUUAUUUGUGGCACUGCCGUUUGGGUCAUAUUGGUGUAAAGCGCAUGAAGAAACUCCAUACUGAUGGACUUUUGGAAUCACUUGAUUAUGAAUCACUUGGUACUUGCGAACCAUGCCUCAUGGGCAAGAUGACUAAAACGUCGUUCUCCGAAACAAUGGAGCGAGCAACAGAAUUGUUGGAAAUCAUACAUACUGAUGUAUGUGGUCCGAUGAAUAUUGAGGCUCGCGGCGGGUAUCGUUAUUUUCUCACCUUCACAAAUGAUUUGAGCAGAUAUGGGUAUAUCUACUUAAUGAAACAUAAGUCUGAAACGUUUGAAAAGUUCAAAGAAUUUCAGAGUGAAGUGGAAAAUUAUCGUAACAAGAAAAUAAAGUUUCUACGAUCUGAUCAUGGGGGAGAAUAUUUGAGUUACGAGUUUGGUCUACAUUUGAAACAAUGCAGAAUAGUUUCGCAACUCACGCCACCCGAAACACCACAGCGUAAUGGUGUGUCCGAACGUCGUAAUCGUACUUUACUAGAUAUGAUGUGAUCUAUGAUGUAUCUUACUGAUUUACCGCUAUCGUCUUGGGGUUAUGCUUUAGAGACGGAUGCAUUCACGUUAAAUAGGGCACCAUCUAAAUCCGUUGAGACGACUCCUUAUGAACUGUGGUUUGGCAAGAAACCAAAGUUGUCGUUUCUUAAAGAUUGGGGCUGUGAUGCUUAUGUGAAAAAGCUUCAACCUGAUAAGCUCGAACCCAAGUCGGAGAAAUGUGUCUUCAUAGGAUACCCAAAAGAAACAGUUGGGUACACCUUCUAUCACAGAUCCGAAGGAAAGACUUUUGUUGCUAAGAAUGGAUCCUUUCUAGAGAAUGAGUUUAUCUCAAAAGAAGUGAGUGGGAGGAAAGUAGAACUUGAUGAGGUAAUUGUACCUGCUCCCUUAUUGGAAAGUAGUUCAUCACAGAAACCGGUUCCUGUGACACCUACACCAAUUAGUGAAGAAGCUAAUGAUGAUGAUCAUGAAACUUCAGAUCAAGUUACUACCGAACCUCGUAGGUCAACCAGAGUAAGAUCUGCACCAGAGUGGUACGGUAAUCCUGUUCUGGAGGCCAUGUUACUAGACCAUGACUAACCUACGAACUAUGAGGAAGCGAUGAUGAGCCCAGAUUCUGCAAAAUGGCUUGAGGCCAUCAAAUCUGAGAUGGGAUCCAUGUAUGAGAACAAAGUAUGGACUUUGGUUGACUUGCCGGAUGAUCGGCAAGCCAUCGAAAAGAAAUGGAUCUUCAAGAAGAAGACAGACGCUGACGGUAAUGUUACUAUCUACAAAGCUCGACUUGUUGCGAAAGGUUUUCGACAAGUUCAAGGAGUUGACUACGAUGAGACCUUCUCACCCAUAGCGAUGCUUAAGUCCGUCUGAAUCAUGUUAGCAAUUUCCGCAUCUUAUGAUUAUGAAAUUUGGUAAAUGGAUGUAAAGACUGCAUUCCUGAAUGGAUUUCUCGAAGAAGAGUUGUAUAUGAUGCAACCUGAAGGUUUUAUCGAUCCAAAAGGUGCUAACAAAGUGUGCAAGCUCCAGCGAUCCAUUUAUGGACUGGUGCAAGCAUCUCGGAGUUGGAAUAAACAUUUUGAUAGUGUGAUCAAAGCAUAUGGUUUUAUACAGACUUUUGGAGAAGCCUGUAUUUACAAGAAAGCGAGUGGGAGCUCUGUAGCAUUUCUAAUCUUAUAUGUGGAUGACAUAUUGUUGAUUGGAAAUGAUAUAGAAUUUCUGGAUAGCAUAAAAGGAUACUUGAAUAAGAGUUUUUCAAUGAAGGACCUCGGUGAAGCUGCUUACAUAUUGGGCAUCAAGAUCUAUAGAGAUAGAUCAAGACGCUUAAUUGAACUUUCACAAAGCACAUACCUUGACAAAGUUUUGAAGAAGUUCAAAAUGGAUCAGGCAAAGAAAGGGUUCUUGCCUAUGUUACAAGGUGUGAAAUUGAGUAAGACUCAAUGCCCGACCACUGCACAAGAUAGAGAGGAAAUGAAAGAUGUUCACUAGCUAGAGACGGUUUAAUCUCAUCAAAAGAACUUUAGAGACGGUUUGAGCCUAGCACGUACGUAGAUCCACAUGAGUCACGAACUCACGAUUCACGUCACGUAGUACAUGUAACCGGGCCGGAAUCGGAACCAGACAGCUAAGAAGCUGCGUCCAUGGCGACGGCGAGGAGGCGCAAGGCGAAGGCCGCCAGGGCAACGGCCGCGGAAGCCAUGAAGAAAGCCACGAACAAUGCUUAUGCCGCCAUGGUUGUAGCCGAUAAGGAGUCCCGGAAAGCCAAAGCGGAGGCCAAGGAGGCCACCACGACGGCCAUGGUGAAGGCCGAGGAGUCCAUGCAAGCUGCCAGGACCGCCAUGGUGAAAGCCGAAGAAGCCGCCAUCAUAGCCAACGUGAAGGCCGAGGAAGCCAAGAAGGCAACAGAAGCCUACCGCGAGGUGUGCCGGUAGGAGGACGCGAAAGCGGAGUGGGCGCAGUGUGAGGAGGAGCUCUUCGCCACCCGGUUCCGACGCUACUGGAAUAAGCUCGUCGCCCGCCCCGGCGUCACCUUCCAUGAAACCAGUAAGAUAUAUAUCAGCAUACAUACAUAUAUUUGACCAGUUAAUUGCUCGUUUGAUUUCAUACUUAAUUGAUGCACACCAUCCGAUGAACGCAGCGUCGAUCCCCGCCAUGCGGUACACGCACCCCGCUCCCCAAGAUAGCCCCAAGGCCAUGGAUACCCUGCAGAUCACCUCGGUGAAGAUUGCGGCGGUCGACCAUUGCCUGUGAUGGCCGCUGCAGGUGUAUGGCAUCAUCGCGGCACGAGAUGUCUUGGAUCACAAGCGCAACAUUCUUUUCCACCGACCGAGAGGUGGCUGUCAAAUCAUCACUCAAGUGGCUCGUACAUACAUACAUUCUAGCCGAGUUAGUGAUUAGUCCCCUCGCUCCCCGCCAUGGCGAUGCUCGCCGCAUCCCCGCCGACCACGCCGCCGCUCCCAUCACUCCGCCGCGCAUGCUAGAGCGUCGGUGCGCCGGGAUCCGCUAGGUUCCACCCACGCUGCUCCAUCUCACCACCGCCGCUAUUCCGCUACUCAGAAGCAGGGAGGAGAUCUGCGCCGUGAAUCUCAUCAGAUCGGAGGUCCGGGUCCACGACUGCCUGCAACGCGAAUGGAGUCUGGUGGCGAAGGGAGGAGGGCAUCAGACCAGGAGAUCGCUGGUUUGAUGUCGGAUUUGGGGAGGAAACAGCGAGCAGCGGCGAGGGCCGCGCGGGAUGCGUAGAUCGCGGCAGGUCAGGUACGAGACGCGAAGAUGCUGCUCGCGCUACGUACCAUGCCGCGGACAAAUCAGAAGAGAGGAAUCGGAUAUUCGCGCUGGGACAGUCCCUCACUCCAGGGGUGAUUUUGAAUUGGGCAUCGGAAGAGGCUUGUUCUUCCUCCCGGGCUUAGAGGGCAAAGUCGAAGAUCUUCAGAGAGCUGCAGAUCUGACUGCAAAUAGUGACAGCACUUGGAGGAAGCGAGUAGGGCUGCGACUGAAUCGGGUUCGUCUUGAGGUACGAUCAAAAUCUCCUCAUCUCUGUUGAGGAUCUCAUACAGAGGAUGCGAGAGAUGGGGUAGUGGUGCCACCAUUGUUGGUCUUCGAGAACCUAGGUGGAUUCCAGUUCAAAAAUCUGCCUGAUCCAAGAGAUAAAAGCCGAGAUGACGAAGUCAACGUGGCCGCUAGGUCAGCACCUCAGACAGGGCCCAGUGUUAGUGAGUUGGGUAGAGAGAUUGGAGGUGACUUCUUCAGCCAACUGUGGGUGGAUGAAGGGUAUAAAUCAGACGCCUCCUCUAGGGUUUCUAACCAGAGAGUGGCGGCGGUGUGGAUCCGCAGAUCACUGAUAGAAGCCAAAAAAAUUGGGGUUCAGGAUUGCCACCCGGUCCCGGAGAGCAAGAGUGUUAGCCAAGUGGCCACCCAAUUCAGCAUCUCAAGUUCGGGGUGGUUCCAAGAUCGAAAGGCUGUGUUUGCUGCGAUUCUUGAGAAGGUGAAGAAGGGAGAAGGAGGCCGGGGAAGAGGCGGAGGAAGGGGGCCGGACGAAACCAAAAAAAUCCGGUACCCCAAGAUGAGUUUCAGCACUUUGGGCCGCCGGUGAUGUAUGGAUUUCGUCCACCCAUGACACCACAGUUUGGAUUCCCAGGCGCCCCUCCUUGGGGUUUCCCAGGUGCCUAUCCCCCAUACCCACCUCCCCCAAAUUUCCCAGUGAAUAAUCAGUGGGUGCCCCCAGGGCAAUCUCAUGCACCCCCGGGAAAAGGCCAUCAGGGUGGAUUCCAACAGCAACAACAAACAAGUGCAGGGGGCAGAAAAACCAGUCUGGAAAGGAUAAACAGAAGAAGAAUCUGAACAAGACUGGCUCUAGCAACAGUGCAGAAAGUAAAGAGAAGAUGGAUGUGGACUUCACUGAGUAUAGUCAAUCCAUGUGCUAUAACUGUGGUGAUCCAGGACAUCCACAGACUGAGUGUGGAAAACCUAAGCUCUAUUUCAUCUGCAAGAGUGCCACCCAUGCUGUAAGUGAGUGUCCUGUCAGGAAAAGGCCACAUCAGAUGGCUAAAUUUGUUGGUAGAGCAGUUGAAGAUUGGGAUUCUAUCACAUAGAAGUGCCAGACAUUGGACAGAAUGCUAUUGGAAGCUUUAAAAACUGUGGGGUUGUGUAUAAUGAAUCAGGAGAAAUCAGCAAGGAGGACUUGGCCAAGGAGUUUGCGAUCAUCUAUAAAACAAAUUGGCCCUGGCAGAUCAGAUCUUUUGGGAGGUGGUCUUACCUAGUGAAAUUCUCACCACAUAUCUCAGUAGAUCAGGUGGCUGGAUAUCCUUGUUUUGGUCUGUCCAGAGAAGAUAUCACUGUAAGGUGGUAGCUUGGAAAGAAAAUCUAGAAAAAAGGGACAACCUCAUUGAAGUCUUGGUCCAAUUGAGAAAGCUUCUUCCCAAAUGGUGUGAGUGGUCUUCUCUUGACCAAAUCACAUCUGUGUUUGGACUGCUUGUGGAGGUAGAUUGGCAAUAGAUGUUCAAAAGUAUGUUUGAAGUGGUCAGAGUCAAAAUCCAAUGUAGGGAUCCCAACAAAAUACCUAAUGAAAGAUUGUUCUCUUUAGAAGGCAAACUGGUACAGGGUUAGAUCACUGUAGAAGUACCUAAACCUAUGUCUGUAGAAAUGAUUCCUACAAGCUCUAGUGACAAGGAUGGAGGAGAAGAUACAGACAAGGACAACAACAGUAGCAUGGACAUGGAUGGUAGGCUAGAGGAAGGAGGGAACAACCAGAGAACUCACAAUGGCAGUGGUGGAAAGGAAGACAUGAUUGGGAUAGGUGGAGGCAGCAAUAGUGGUCAGAGGAAUCAUUCGUUGGCUGACACUGUGACUCCACUUAGUGAGAAAGCCGUUUGGGAGGUCUUUAGGAAGGAACAUGAGGUAUCUAAAGGAGAAGCAAAUGAAUCACACACUGAGGGGUCUGAAGUAGUACCUGCAGAAGAACCUGAAAGGGAAGUUACCAGAUUCCUGUUUGUUGAGAUGAAUGAAGAACUUGAGAAAACUGAGGAGGAAAUUAGCCUGUCAGAAAAAAAUCUUCAGGGGGAUGUGAAGAGAUGGUGCAUGAUGAAGAAAAAGAUGAUGAGGAGGCCUAUCUUCCUGAUGAUAUCAUGCCCACAUAUGAGGAAGAGGAGGCUAUGUUUGAACAUAAGUGCGGGAAGAAUUCAAAGAAACAAAAAAUCUGGGGUCCAGUUCAACCUGAAAGGAAGAGCACUAGAGUGAAAGGGAACAUACCUAUCAUGGAGAAUGCUGAAUUACUCAAGAUGAGGAAAAAUCUGGAGCUGCCAAAAACAACUGUGAAAGGUAUAAUCCAUUCAAACCCUUUUAAUGUUCUACCUGUUGAGGAAAUAUUAGAUAUGACUGAUGUGAUGGGUGUAGAGAUUAGAGAGGAUAUAGAUCAUAAACAAUCAUCUACUCCCCUGGAUGAUAAUAGUCUAAGUUGUAGGAACUUGGUAGGAAAGAAUAAAGGUAAAGAUAGAGGGGGAAGUAUCAUCAGUAAGAAUAGACAGGGCAAGCACCCUAGUAAGAAAGGUUCCAAAUGAGAUACAUCUUCUGGAACAUUAGAGGGGUUGCGGCCCCUGGUAGACAGAGAUGUAUAGAGGAUACUAUUAUUCCUUUAAAUCCUGCUUACAUAGGCUUUCAAGAGACUAAGAAACAAACUUUCUCUAAUUCCUUUCUUAAGAACCUAUUAGGUAAUAGAAAUUUUGAGUGGAACUGGCUAUCUGCCUCUGGUUCUGCUAGUGGCAUCUUAGUAGGUGUAGAUUUAGACAUGUUUAAAGUGGUUAGCUGGGAGAUACUUAAAUUCUCUGUGAGUGUAGUGGUUUGUAAGAAAGACACUGAGGUGAUCUCUAGAAUUACCACAGUGUAUGGCCCUGCUUACGAGGAGAGUAAACAGGAGUUUAUUUCUGAACUACAUAGUAUUUUUCUUAACUGGAAUGGCCCAGCUAUUGUAGGGGGAGAUUUCAAUCUGGUUAGGAGUCAAACUGAUAAGAACAAUGGUAGAGUAGAUUUUAAGUGGGUUGACAGGUUCAACUCUUGAGUAGAUUUUUGGUCCUUGGUAGAAACUAAUAUGUCUGGUAGGAUGUACACUUGGGCAAAUAAUGAAACAGACUUGAUUAUGUCCAGAAUUGAUAGGAUUUUCUGUACAACUGAGUUUGAGGCCAUCUUCCCUUUAGCUAAUGCUAGAGUCCUCCCUAGAAUUGGGAGUGACCAGACCCCUGUUAUUUGGGAAUCUGGUUGUGAUGAAAAUCCUAAAAAGAAUAGUUUUAAGUUUGAAAAGUGGUGGCUAAUUGUUCCUGAAUUUAGAGAAAUAGUCUCUAAAGCUUGGAAUACUAAGUGUUUUAGUUCCAACCCUAUUGAUGUUUGGUAGAGUAAAGUGAGAGCUUUUAGAAGAAUAGCUAGAGGGUGGAGUGCCAAUUUAGAGGUUUUUCUUAGGAAACAUAAGAAGAAGCUCAUAGAAGAAUAUGAUAGAAUAGAUAUAUAUACAGAAUCAAAUGGGAUGAAUGACAUUGAUAGGGAUAGGAUGAAGGAGAUUUUAAAGGAGCUUAGUGAUAUAUGGUGCAAAGAAGAGACUAAAGCUAGACAAAGAUCUAGAGACAGAGAUAUUCUAGAAGGAGAUAGGGACACAGCCUAUUUCUAAGCAGUGGCUAAUCAGAGAAGGAGGGAUAAAAUGAUCUCUGUACUGGAGGGGCCUGAGGGUCCCACCUCUGAUCAGGAUAAGAUGAUGAAAAUAGCUUUGAAUUUCUAUAAAAAUCUGUUUAAAGCUGAAUAGAGACCUAAUAUUGCUUUGAAACAAGACUUCUUCAGUAAUGGGGAGAAGGUUUCUGUAGAUGAUAAUAUUAAACUAGAAGCUAGAUUUACUGAAGAAGAAGUUAGGCAAGCAGUGUUUGAAUCUUAUUCAGAUGGGGCCCCUGGCCCUGAUGGACUUCCAUUUAUGUUCUUCCAGACCUUUUGGGACAUAAUUAAAGAUGAUCUUAUGGCUAUGUUUGAGGCAUGGUAUGACCAUGACCUAGACAUUUUUAGGUUGAAUUUUGCCAUGAUUACCUUGAUCCCUAAAGAAGAGGAAGCUAAAGAGAUGAGGAAAUUUAGACCUAUCAGCCUCCUUAAUUAUUGUUUUAAGAUCUUCACCAAGGUGUUAACUAAUAGAUUAGCUUUGAUUAUUGGUAAAUUGAUUUCUGAAAAUCAAUCUGCAUUCAUUAGGGGGGGUACAUUUUGGAAAGUGUGGUUACUGCACAUGAAGUGCUGCACACUACACAUUCCUCUGGUAAGAAAGGGAUGAUUUUUAAGAUAGAUUAUGAAAAAGCUUAUGAUAGAGUUAACCUAGAUUUUGUUUAUGAGGUCCUUGAACUGAGAGGUUUUGGUAGGAAAUGGAUUAACUGGAUUAAAAGUAUUACCCAACAGGGAUUCAUUUGGAGUCAAGGUGAAUGGAGUUGAGAGUGAUUUCUUUAUUACUAGUAGUGGGUUAAGACAAGGGGAUCCUUUCUCACCCUUACUUUCAAUCUAGUAGUUGAUGUGUUUGCCAAGAUGGUAGUUAAAGGGUCUCAAGCAGGGUUGAUCAAAGGAUUAUGUCCCAAUUUCUAUCCAGGAGGGGUUACCUGCCUACAAUAUGUAGAUGAUACUCUGCUCUUUGUAGAUAAUGAUCAUAGGGCGGCUGUUAACCUCAAAUGGGCCCUGACUUGCUUUGAAGUAGUAUCUGGUAUGUCUAUUAAUUACCAUAAGAGUGAAUUAGUCCCCAUCAAUUUAGAGGAGGAGGAGAUCCAAACUUUCCUGGAGAUUUUCAAUUGUGUUAGAGGAAAGUUCCCAAUCAAAUAUUUGGGUGUCCCACUGCAUUUUGAUAAACUCGGAAGAGAAGAUCUGCAACCUCUUAUUGAUGCCCUUCUGGCUAGAAUGGCUGGUUGGAGGGGUAAACCUCUGUCCUUAUUAGGGAGGGUCACUCUAGUUAAAACCUGUCUAGCUAGCAUACCUAUAUAUAUAUAUAUAUAUAUAUAUAUAUAUGUUAUCUUUCUUUAAAUUUCCAAAAUGGGCAAUUUCCUUGAUCAACUCCCAAUUAUCUAAUUGUCUCUGGAGUGAUGAUGAAGGAAAUCAAAAAAUCCAUUUGGCCAAUUGGCAGUAUCUGUGUAUGAAGAAGGAAUAUGGAGGUAUGGGGAUUCCAAACCUUCAAGACUUGAACAUAUGCCUGAUAGGGUCUUGGAUAAAAAGAUAUAUUUGUAGUGAGGGGUCCCUAUGGAGGAGAGUUAUUGACUCCAAAUAUAAUACUAAGAGACCAAAUAUUCUUUGCUGCAAUGACCCACACCCAUCACAAUUCUGAAGGGUGUGAUGUGGGCCAUGAAGGCAAUUAAGAUUGGAUACAAAUGGUCGGUAGGAAAUGGUAGAUCCAUCCUAUUUUGGGAAGAUAUCUGGUUCGGUAAUGCUCCUCUUGCCACACAAUUCUGGGAUCUGUAUUGCAUAACUAAUAAUAAGAACAAAACCAUAGCAGAAACUUGGGAUGGGAAUACUCUUAGAAUUUCCUUUAGAAGGAAUUUUUGAUGAAGAGCUUAUGUAUCAAUGGUUUGACUUGGAAACGAUUGCUAAAUCAAUAGCCUUUAUUGACCAGGAAGAUAGUAUGAUUUGGCAAUAUGAAUCAAAAGGCAUCUACUCUUCUAAAUCUUUAUAUGCUAUUGUAAACUUUAGGGGGAUCGACCCAUCUAUACACCUGCUGUGUGGGACCUGAAGGUCCCACCUAGAAUACAGGGGUUUCUAUGGCUUUUCUCUCAGAACAAAAUUAUGACCUGUGAUAACCUGAGGAAAAGAGGCAUUCCAAAACCUCUGGAAUGUGUACAUUGCAGCGAAAUAGAACCGGUGCACCACUUAUUUUUUUAUUGUGUGUUAGCUAAGUUGAUGUGGAAAGAAGUGGAGUAAGCUUUGGUAGAAGCUUCCACUCCUUCUUGGAGCUAGCUGCCUGCUGGCUCUGCAAUAAGAAAUUUGCUCAUUUAAAUUUGGUUUCUUCUGCGGUCCUGUGGGGGCUGUGGAACACUAGAAAUUCCAUUGUGUUUAAUAGAGCUAAAUGGACUUCUGUCAAACAGGUCUGGCAGAAGAUAAGUCAAUAUUUAGGGGAUUGGGUGAAACCUCACAAGGAACUGCCGGAGGGGGAGAUGAAAAAAUUCAGAGAUCAUCUGCAGGGGAGAUUGCGAUCGCCGCUGGAGCUGGAACCAAACUGAAAUGUCAAGAAAACCUGCAACAGCUGUCCUGGUCCAAGACCAUCCAAGGAAUGGCACAUGGAGGGCGCGCCACCCUGGAGCAGGUGAAAGAUGAUCCAAGGAAAGCGGAGGAGAUCCAUGUGGUUUUCAUCCCCAUGAGCUGAUAUGCUCGCCGGUUCCUGUGUUUGGCUUUUCCUGACCUAGUUUCUUGUGCUGGAAGCUUAUCGCAUUGAAAACUUUAUAUUGUAAUUCUCUUAGUGCUAUGUUGAACAUGGGUUUAGACCAGAAGAUCUGUUUUGAACUGCUGGUUUCAUUUUAAUAAAAAAUGGAACCGGGGGGGCUCCCCUUUGAUCAAAAAAAUACAUUCUAGAACAAUUGGUCGCUCCCCUGGUUACUGUCCGGAAGUUGGUACGGGACAUGUCAGACCACAAUCCUCUCCUACUGUCAUCGAAUUCGACUGUACAGAGACCCACGCGACAAUGUGAGUUCAGAUUUGAACUCAGUUGGCUUAAAAAUGAAGAGUUUUAUCCUAUUGCUAAGAGGAUAUGGGAGCAACCAGUUGCUUCUGAUGACCCCAUUGACAUCCUUAAUAUCAAGCUCAAAAGGCUGAAAAAGUAUUUCAAAGGUUGGGGCGCCCAUUUGUUUGGCCACGCGAAGAAAAGAAAAAAAAAGAUAUUCAAAAGGAGUUGGAAGAGAUUGAGACCUUAGAAGAAGAGGGCCCCCUUGACCUAGAGACUUAUGAUAACAGAACAACCUUGCGGAUGGAACUCGAUGGCAUCCUAGCUAAUGAGGAGCUCUUCUGGCUCCAACAAUCCAAUGAGAGGUGGUUGCUGAAGGGGGACCAGAAUACAGCCUUCUUUCAUCGCGCGGCCAACGGCAGAAAACGUAAAGACACAAUCCACUCCUUCACGGAUGGAGAGACGGUGAUUGAGGGCACAGAUAACCUAUUGGCUCAUGCCACGACUUAUUAUAAAAACCUUUUCGGCCCGGCCAGGGGAAAUAUUUUUCAUUUAUCUGCGGAUACCUGGUCGGAAGAAGAAAAACUUACGGUGGAGGAUAAUAUACUUCUGACCAGUGAAUUCACGGAGGAAGAGGUCAGAAAGGCUUUGUUCGGCAUGGAUAGCAAUAGGGCCCCCGGCCCAGAUAGCAUCCCAGCUGAAUUCUACAAGCACUGUUGGGACUUUGUUAAAACAGAUAUUAUGCGUUUGUUUCACGCUUUUCACAACAACACCCUGGAUGUGGAGCGCCUGGACUAUGGGGUGAUCACCCUGAUUCCUAAGACCAAUGGUGCUAAGAAAAUCCAGCAAUACCAUCCCAUCUGCUUACUUAGAUGCCCAUACAAGCUAAUCAAUAAAGUGAUGGAUAAUAGAGUAGCCAUCUUUGCUGAUAAACUUAUUAGCAAACACCAAAAUGCUUUCAUUAAGCAUAGAAACAUCAUGGAUGGGAUCCUCACCCUCCAUGAGAUCUUACACCACACACACCAUAAAAAGAAAGUUGGGGUGGUUCUGAAGUUGGACUUCGAAAAAGCAUACGACAAAAUUAACUGGGACUUUCUCCUUGAAUGUCAUAGUAACAGAGGCUUUGGUGAUACCUGGUGUGGUUGGGUGAAGAAGAUUCUAAGUAAUGGCACAGUCAGCAUCAAAUUGAACAAUAUGACUAGGCCUUACUUCCAAAGCCACAAAGGGGUGCGCCAGGGCGACCCUCAUUCCCCUUUUCUGUUUAAUCUUGCGGUGGAAAACUUGUCUAAGAUGAUUCGUAAUGCCCAAAAGGAAAAGAUGUUAACUGGGCUGGCCCCAGACCUCAUUGAAAAUGGCGUUGUUGUUCUGCUGUACGCCGAUGAUACGGUUAUUUGUUUUGAACAUGAUGAAGAAGCUGCUGUCAACCUGAAACUCCUCUUAUACAUCUUUGAACUUAUGUCUGGCUUAAAGAUUAAUUUCCUUAAGAGUGAAAUCAUGUGUGUGGGUGGAGACAACAACAUCCUGGCAACCUAUGCGGAUAUCUUUAACUGUCAAACUGGCCACUUCCCAAUGAAAUACUUGGGGUCCCUGUGAGCUAUUCAACUCUGCGUAACCUGGAUUGGAACUUCGUUGAUGAUAAAUUCCUCAAAUGCUGUGAAACUUGGAUUGGAAAUGCUGCUUCAUCGGGGGGAGGCUCAUUCUCCUGAACUCUUCUCUCUCUAGUAUUGUCUAUUACUACAUGGCCAUGUUUUUGCUUCCUAAGAUGGUGAUCUAUAAACUGGACAAACAUCGGAAAAAGUUUUUCUGGCAAGAAACCAACGGCAGGAAACGUUAUCACCUUGUCAAAUGGACCAGGAUUUGUAGAUCAAAGAAAAAAGGGGGGUUGGGGGUGAAAGACCUCCAUAAACAUAAUAUUAGCUUAUUAGUUAAAUGGUGGUGGAAACUUGAGACACAACAAGGGCUCUGGCAGGAUGUUAUCCGGGCCAAGUAUCUGAAGAGAGACUCUGUUGCCUCGGUUCGAUGUAGAUUUGGUGACUCGCCGAGCUGGAAAGCCAUUAUGAAAGUUGAAGAACACUAUUUUGCUGGGAGGGGGGUGAAUCUGAAAGCUGGCAACCUGGCUAGGCUGUGGAUCGACAAUAUUGAGGGAAAUCCUCCUUUGCGAGACAAGUUUCCAGAGUUAUAUGAUAUUUGUAACAACCAAGAGAUCACUGUGGCCAAAGUCAAGGGCGAGGGGAAUCCUGAUCUUUUUAGAAGACGAUUACACCCUCGGCUUGCAAAGCAAUGGGAGAGGUGAAAAACAUGGUGAAUUCCUGGGCGAUUUCUGAUGAGCCAGACCAGGUUGUGUGGAACCUUGGAAAGAACAAGCGCUUUACAACCAAAUCUAUGUAUAAUCAUCUAGAAAGUCGCCUCGCUGGAUGUGAUUAUAGGUGGAUUUGGAAAGCCAAACUGCCUCUCAAGAUUCAAAUAUUCCUAUGGCAACUAUUCCAAGAUGCGGUGUUGACACGUGAUGUCAUGAAAAGACGUAACACUUCUGCUUCAGUAGACCCCCUAAUCACAUUGAUGACUGAGAUUACCCUAUACCCCUUCAUAAUAAAAGACAGGAUGGUCUUUUUUUCAGAGUACUUAGUCUGUGCUGGUAAUUCCGGUAAGUUUUUAUUUUUCAGAGAAGAGAACUCCGGUAAGUGGUCCACGUACGAUGCUACCUGGGCAAGAAGUCAACGUUUUGCACCUGGGCGGCUCACCUGGGCCGGCCCAUUUGUGGGUGCGCCGCUUUCAAUGGGAGAAAAAUUGCGAGAAAAAAAUGAGGGUGAUGGGAAUCAAGCCUGCACGUUCCAGUUUAUGUGCACGCUGUGCUAACCACUGGGACUGCCAAUCUGCUAUGUUAGACUUCUAGCGCAAAUCAUUAAUUAAGAAACUAAAGGUCGUGGCAAAAAUUUAAACAAAAGUUCACAAAAUUAAGAUAAACCAAAAAUGUGCAAUAGGAAUCGAACCGGGGACAUCACAAUAUUCAACCACGUCAGUAGCCACUAUACUAACUGGGAUUUGGGUGUCCAAAAAGGUAGCCCAGUCUAUAUGAACCAUAAGCCGCGAAAUUAUUUUUAAAAAACUCGGACCUCAUUUUCUUAUUGGAAAACGUAAAUAUUUUUAGAAACGAAGUCAUUAAAAAAUUUGUGAUAAUUUCAAAAGAACUAGAAGAUUUUGUGAGAAUGUGAACGUUUUUUGGGAUCAUAAAAGGAACAAAACUGAAAAUGAUAACAUUUUUUGGAAUAGGGAACAAUUUUUUAGGAAAUGCGAACAUUUUCAAAUUUGUGAUUUAAAAAAACUAAAACAUUUUAUGAAAACACAACACUCUCAAACAUUUGUUUUACAAAGGAAAAAACAUUGAAAAGGAAAAAUUUGUUGAAACAAGUGACUAAACUGAAAACAUGAACAUUUUUCAAAAUUACGAAGAAUCAUUUCAAAGUGCGAACAUUUUCUUAAAUUUCCGCAAACAUUUAUUGAAUUUGCGAACAACUGUUGACAUCAAGAAUAUUUUUUGUACUUGGGAACAAAUUUUGUAACCUCAUCGUCUUGAUUACGCUGCUUGCCAUCUGACUACGACAGCUUGUGAUAUUUAAAAGCAGGAAAUGUACAAGUGUCAACCACCAAAAUUUUCCAGAAUUUGGGCAUGCACAACGUUGUCCCCCAUGCAAAAUAUGAACAAAUUCGAACACCAAACGCAUGUUGCGUCACGUCUGGCCUGUGUUCUAGAGUUUUUCAUCGGAAAAACCCUAGAAAAAGCAUAUAAUGUCUGAGACCAACGAAACUUGGCAUGCACCAUGUCCAAGGUAAUGCUAAUGUGUGAGAAAAAAUUGGGUGCCUUCGGAGGAGGUGGAAAAAAUGGUUCGAGAGUUGCACUUUCAGCCUACCCGAACGCACCAGGCUGUACACGGUAUGUUUGGUUGCAAGCAUGGAAUGACACCAAUGUUGCCAGCAGUUGGGCAUGCCCAAGGUUCUCCCCCACACAAAAUUUGAAUGAUUUCGGACACCGAAUGCACGUUGCGUCACGUCCGGCCUAUAUUUUAGGGUUUUUCCCCGGGAAACCCCUAGAAAAAGCAUAGAAUGUCUGAAACUAACAAAACUUGGCAUGCAUGCUGUCCAUGGUAAUGCCAAUGUGAGGAAAAAUUUGGGUGCGUUCGGAGGAGCUGAAAAAAAGGUUCAAGACUUGCCCUUCCGGCCUACCCAAACGUACAAGGUUGUACACGGUGUGUUUAGGUUGCAAGCAUGGUAUGACACCAAAUUUUGCCAGCGGUUGGGCAUGCCCAAGUUUGUCCGUCAUGCAAAAUUUGAAUGAAUUCGGACACCGAACAAACAUUGCGUCUCGUCCGGCCUGUGUUUUAGAGUUUUUUCACCGGAAAAACCUAGAAAAGGCAUAGAAUGUCAGAAACCAACAAAACUUGGCGUGCAUGCUGGCCAUGGUGAUGCCAAGGUGUGCAAACAAUUUGGGCGUGUUCGAAGGAGGUGAAAAGAAAAGUGGUUCGAGACUUGCCCUUCCGGUCUACCCGAACAUACCAGAUUAUACACAUUGUGUUUGGUUGCAACCAUGAAAUGACACCAAAUUUUGCCAGUAGUUGGGCAUGCCAAAGCUCCCCCCCCCCCCUGCAAAAUUUGAACGAAUUCGGAUACCAAACGCACGUUGCGUCACGUCCGGGCCAGUGUUUAGGAUUUUUCCAACGGGAAAACCUAGAAAAUGCAUGAAAUGUCGAAGACCAAGGAAACUUGGCAUGCAUGUUGGGCAUGGUGAUGCCAAGGUGUGGAAAAAAAUUGGGUGCGUUUGGAGGAGGUAAAAAAAGGGGGUUCAAAACAUGCCUUUCCGGCCUACCCGAACGUACCAGAUUGUAGACGAUGUGUUUGGUUACAAGCAUGAAACCACUGAAAAAGUUCCAUGUGCUCAUGAUUUUUUUCUAAGAAAAUCACAAAUUUGAAAUAAAAUCACAGACUCAAAAAAGUUCAUGAAUUUUAAAUAAAAUUGCAGACUCGAAAAAAAUCAUGAGUUUGGAAAAAGGACAUGAGUUUGGGAAAAGUUCAUUAAAAAAAAUCAUAAAUAUUAAAAAGUUAAAGAAUUUUAAAAGGUUCCGUGAGUUAAAAAAAUGAAAACAAAAAUAGAAAGAAAUAAGGAAAAUGAAAAAUAUAUAAAAAAACAAAGAGCAAGGGCUAAACUGAAGAAAAUCAGGUGGGAAACACAUGCUUUUUUAUUAGCGUUAUAUAUUCGGAUAAGAAGUGGGAAAGAAGCUCAAUUGCAAGACAGUCGAAGUAUCGCAGUGGUUACACUACUAGAUGUUGACAGUCUGGGUUCGAAUCCUGCGAAGCUCAACUUCUAUUUUUUUGUAGUUAAAUACUGAAAAGAAAGAAGAAAAAACCUAAAUGGGCCAGGCCCAUCUAAGGAGCAACUAACACUGUAUUGACGUCUACGCUAAUGUACAGUCGUACAUAUCCGGUGGUGUACGGUAUGUCAAAGGUCUAUAUUGCCCUUUAUACAUUUUGUGAGGGGGGUCUACCGAAGCGCUUCUCAAGACGUAAAUGGGCUGGUAACCCAAAGUGCUCCUUCUGUCAGAAUAGGGAAACCUCUCAACACCUCUUCUUCACCUGCCCAGUUGCGAGGGUGGUUUGGAGGACGGUGGGUUGCGUGUUUGGCACAGAUUUGUGCCCUGAUAACCUAUGGCAGUAUUUCUCCUGGUGCUAUACUUUUUUACCUGAUGGUGCUAAAUUCUAUACUUUCGGCCUGGCUGCGAUUUGCUGGGCCAUGUGGAUUUGUCGCAAUCGGGCCACUUUCGAAUGCAAAAAACUGAGAACUCCUUUUGAUGUGGUUUUCUCUGCAUGUGGUUACAUGAACUAUUGGGCAGGUCUGAUGGAGGGAGCUGAUCGUGAGGCGAUGCAGCGCGGCGCUAAGAUGCUCAAGACCAACACAGCUGCCAUGAUGAGGAUUUGCGCGGCCCCAGCUAGAACGGCGAUGGACUGAGGAUGCGGCCGUUGAUUCUGCCUUCACCUGCGUCUCCUGUUGCUACUACAUUCCUAGUACUGUUUAAGUUGAUGCUUUUGCCCCUGCGUGGGCUUUGCCUGAUGCUCAUAUGUGAGCCAUUCCCCCUUAGUUUGGAGACUACCUUCGGAUUUCUCGUUUCUGCUCUGGUUAGGAUAGGUGGUUUUAGAUGGCACUGGGUUUUCGCCCCAUGGUGAGCUGCUCGAUGACGAGUGCCUGCAGUGGGUUUCCCAGUGGUGUCUUGAACUCGCUUUCCCCUUUCCAGUUUCCUUAAAACUUGGACUUUGUAUUUCCGUUAUGUCAAAGUAAUGGAAAAGGGUAAUGCCCGGUUCAAAAAAAAAUAAUUUGGUCGCCAUGUAGUGUUAGGUUUACUGUUUUUGGUCGCAAGUACCAAAAUUUGUUGGUUGGCAAGUUUCAUUUUUUGCUCUGCUGUUGAAGAUAGUCUUAAUAUUAAUAUUUACAUGAAUAAUUGUCAUUCCCAUGCAGGAUCCGUACCUAGCAUUGACUAGAUCCAUUGCUCUGCUCAUGAACCUAGUCGUGCCAUUGCUGUGUCGAGGGACCUUUCAUACAUCGAGGUCUCGCUCAAGGUGAAGGGUGCCACAAGAACUAGAUCCGAGGAAAGAGAUUUGAGCGAUCUGGUCCUGAGAUACAGGACGGGAUUAUGUCUCGCAGGCGUUUACCCUAGCAGGCUCAGCACACUUGAACUAAAAUCCAGUCACAUUAAUCGCUCCGUGGAGGCCACGGUCCGCAUCAAAAUCACCCGCGGGUCGUGGCCGGAUGGUUUCCGAGGCGUGUUCACUGCCGGCACCGGCAGCAACGAUGGCCUGGAAGUCGAGCUGCUUGACUCCAGACAUGACAGGGUGUUGCCCGCCGACUCUGGCGGCGUGGUCAAGCUCCAGCGCCGCGUCGUCCCGGUCUACAUCGAGGGGAUGCUCAAGGUUUCCGUGGUGGCAUGUCCAGUUGACGAGGAACGGGGUUUCAUCCAGAGAGGUGAGGCGGUUUUCAAACCAAAGAGACAAGGCGUGAACCUCCAGGAGAUUCAGGUUGGGUCUUGUAGUAUGCAGAUCACCGUGGCUUUGGUCCUGUUUCCGCCAUGAGUAGUCUGCUCAAGUUAAACUGUUUUUCCGAGUGGUAUUUUGUACUGGAGAGUGUUCAUAUAUACAGUCUGAUCCUGGAUAUUUUGUGCUAUAGUGUCUAGUCAAGAAAUUUGCUGGUGGUAUUUCACAGGAAACACUCAGCAAGUCGAAUAGAAGAUGUAAGAAUUUCGUAGAGAACAGUUCGGUUCCUGCACACCAAAAGAGUCUCUAAACAACGAUUUGGAAAUUCGUACGUUAUGGCCUCCUUUGGUUUAUAGGGUAGAAAACUAAUAGGAAUAGAAAAGUUAUAGGAACUGAGAUGGCACGUAUCUCAAAUCCUAUGAAUAGUAAUAGAACAGAAGAUGUCCUUUGAUUCACAUUAUUAAAAAAAUCCAUUGACUCUGAGCUAAUGUUUAUUUUCUAUGAAAUGUGAAGGAUAAAAAGAAUUCCUCCGUAUACUAUUUCUACAAACAAAAGGGCUCUAAAGAAUUUUCCUAUAGAAAUCAUAUCCUACGGAAUUUCAAACCAAAGGAGGUCUAAGAUGGGCUUUUCAUUGAACCAGGUUUUCUGGGUGGCUCUAGUGGUUUAUUUCCCAGCCUGGUCAACAUAUUUUAUAGGAAGCAUUAUCUCUCGCUCAGAGCGAGACCUAGCAUGCACUCACAUCAGGCAUCUGUCCAAAUGGGAAGGAAUUGCGCGGGAGGACAUAGGACAGAGCCUAGUUUUUCUUUCAUUUUUUUUUGCCCUUUUAAUUUUGUUUAUACUUCCAAAUAUUCUAAAUAUAUACUCCCUCCGUCCCAAAAUUCUUGUCUUAGAUUUGUCUAGAUACGGAUGUAUCUAAUACUAAACCGUGACUUGAUACAUCCGUAUUUAGACAAAUGUAAGCCAAAAAUUUUGGGACGGAGGGAGUACUUUGCUUAAAACUAUCAAAAAUGUAAAUAAAGUAUUCGAAAAUUGUGAAAUUUGUAUAGGAAAAAUAUUUCUUAUGUCUGCAAAAAACUUAUACAAAAAAUAUACAGUGUCAAUGAAAAAAGUUGAUCAUGUAUUUAAAAAAUAAUCAUCAAGCAGUUCAUAAAUGUUAGAAAAAAAGUCCAUUUUACUCCCCUGAAUAAAAUGGGUUGUUCGCAUAACCCCUUGAAUUUUUUUUGGUUCACUUAACCCCCUGAUCUAUCCAAUACCGUUCAGAAAUAGUCUUGGGCGGAUUUUAUUAGGUGGUUUGCUGACGUGGACAUUGUCAAAGUGGUUUGUUGACCAACGGGGCCCUGUGGUCAGGUGAAGAGCGCAGCCGGCGCUCAGUUCAUGCCGAUGGUGCUGUCGUUCUUCGUCCGCGUGGCUAGCGCCUCGUCCUCAUGUUGAAAUCUUGUCCAAGAGUUUCACCUCGCUCAGCUAUACAUUCUUGGAAAAUAAAUUUCUUUGGGUCGCCGCAAAUCACCGUCACCCAUGUCUUCUUCCUUGCCUCAGGCAUCGACCACUGCCACCUCGAUCUCUUCGUCCGGUGACCCCUGAUUCUCCUCCCCGUCUUCCCGAGCACCAUCGUGCUCCCCUGAAGCUAAUCAUCCCGUCCAUCUGGAGCAGCGCGUCCCCAAGGACCUCUUCCCGCAUGGCCAAGCUCUGGCGCCCGCAAUAGUUAUUUUUCCGCGCGGCCAGCGCCUCCUCCUCGAUGUGAAACCUUGUCCGAGAGCUUCGCCUUGAUCCACUACACAUUCCUGCCAAAGGAAUUAGUAUGAAUCGCUGUAAAUCGCCCUUGCCCAUAUCUUCUUCCCCGCCCCCGACAUCGAGCGCCGCCUCCUUGAUCUCAUCCUCUAGUGACCCCUGAUUCUCCUCUUCUGGUUCCCAGGCACCAUGGCGCUCCCCUAAAGCUGACGGGCUAGUCCAUUUGGAGCCACAUGCCCCCGAGGACCUCUCCCUGCAUGGCCAUGCUCCGCUGCCCGCUGCUGCCGUCGAACACGACAACCAGUGCACCGGCCUGCUCCGAUGCACCCGCCGUCCCUGCCAUCUCCCCAUCCCCCCUUGGCCUCUGCUGAUGCCGCCAUGCCCAUCAUCAGCCGACGCCGCCGACCGCCCUGCCCGACCCCGCCGUGGCCCCUGUUGUUCCUAGACUUCAUGAACCGGAUGGGAGGACGCGCCGCAUCAUAGGGGUCACUCCGAUGGUCGUAGCUCCGCCGGGGGUGGCCAGUGCCACCGAGACGAGCGCCCGAGCUCCUCUCUGUCCCGCGGGCGAGCAACAGGUGAAGGAGACAGACCUGCUAGGUGGGCCCGCCUCCUCUAGGCCCCACCCGUCAAUCUCAGCCGCACCUGACAAGGUAGGCCCACCCACAGGUCAAAACCACCGUUUGACCAAUACCACAUCAGCAGCUAGUGGUGACAAACCACCCAGGGGGUCUUUCAUCCGGUAUGGGUUUGUUUAGGGGGUCAAAGGAACAGAAAAAUAGAUGAGGGGGUAAUGUGAACCACCAACUUUAUUCAGGGUAGUAAAAUGGACUUUUUCCUAAAUGUUAAUGAUAUAUUUAAAUAUGUUAAUCAAGCAUUUAAAAUUGUUAACUGUGUACAGUAAAAUUCUUUGUCAUGUAUACAAAAUAAAAUAAAAUGUAUGAAAAAUGUUUAUAAUGUAUUUUAAAAGAAUUAAACGUGUAUAAAAAUAUGUUCCUGAAAUAUAGAACAUACAUUAAACAAAGUAGAUAUACAAAAAUUAUAUUUUUAAGUACUUAAUUCUGUAUUUCAAAAUGGUUAAACAUAUAUAGAUAAAGGUUUCUGCUGUAUACAAAAGAGGUUAUUACCAUUAAAGAAUGAUCACCAUGUAUUUGAAAAUAUUGACCGUGCAUUCAAACGUGUAUCAAAAAAUAUUUCAAACACACGAUUAAACAAAAUAUAAGUUUAGAAAGAUGUUAAUCAUGUAUAUAAAAAUGUUAAACAUGUGCAUAAAAUUUGUUUCAGAUGUAUAGAAAAAAUGUUGAAUGUGUAAUGAAAAAGUUGACAUGUGUUGAACAAGAAAGAAAUUGAUUAAAACCAAUUAAACCCAAUAAAAUAGAGAAAUAAAACAAGAAAAUAAAAUAAAAACCAACAAAAACAAAUUCAAAAAAAUGAAAACAGUGAAAACUAAGAAAGUAAUAAGGAAAACUGAUGAACACCAAGAAAGAAACAAAAAGCAAAAGAAAGGAUGAAAACUGAGCAAGAAAAAAUAAACAAAAGAAUAAACUACUUAAAAUCAUGAAAGAAACAAAGAAAACUGAUAAAAAUGGAAAGUAGAUAAAAGCAAUGUAGAAAUUUAGAAAACCGAUAAACAACAUGAAAAAAAAAAUGGAAGAAGCGGGCGUCUAGGGGACCUCCUAUAUAGAGCCCUACGCGCUGGUUAACCAGCCAGCGCAUACUCUCUUUACAUAUUCAAAAAUUAAUGAUUUUGAAACUAAAUGUUCAAAAUAAAAAAAUGCUCAUAGUUUUAAAUAACUUUUGUGUAUUCAAAAAAUAUUUAUUAAUUUGAACAAAAUGUUUACAAAUUCAAAAGCAUGGUCAUGAACUUAUUUAAAAAAUCACCAACUUAAAAAAAUGUUUAUGAAUUACAAAAAGAGUUCAAGAAAUGAAAAUUAAUAAUGCAUUCAAAAAUGUCAUGCAUUUACAAAAAAAUUCUAAAAAAAUGUACAUGAAUUUCUAAAAAAAUCCCAAACUCCAAAAGAUGAUCGUGGCCUCAAAAAAUGGUCACCGAUUUCAAAAAAAGUUGAAGAGUUUCAAAAACAUUCAAAAUUUCAUUGAUAUCUUCAUGAAUUCCAUAAAGUUCAGGAUCCCAGAAAAUGUCCACAAUUUCAAAAAAUAUAUUCAAGAAUUCGAAAAGAUCUUGGCAAAAUGAUAAAGAAAAAGAAAAAUUGGAAAAGUAAGUAAAUAUAUAAAAUAAAAUAUAAAAAAACAUGAAAAACAGAAAAAUAAAAUAGAAAAAAGAAAGGCAGGAAAGAAAAUAAAGAAAUUACCAAAGGUAAAAUACCUGAAAAACUUGGUUUGUGAAGGUUAUAGAACCUUCCCAAAACCGGAAGCGAGCAAGUUGGGCCUUCUCAAUUUAUACAUAGUGGGAAACUGCCCGGGGGUUGUGGGGGUAUGCACUAGGUCCCUAACUAGUGACCUACUCGCCAAACAGAACUGGCCAGCGAGCACGAGCGAGCGUCUCGAUCGAUCAAACAGCUGGAAAGAAAGACGGCACCGGCCCGGCCUAGUAGCUGCAAGUGGAGGAAAACCAGGCGAGAAGCGAGAUUUAGUUGUGACGAAAUUUCCGUAGGCAGCUCAUAUUUUGCGCCAUUAGCGCCGUGGAAUACUACUGGUGCUCACUGCAACGCCUAGUGGGCGGGCUCAUGAAGGCGCAACGCAAGGAAUGUAUUGCAUCAUUAAAAAACACCAAAAUAAGAAGCUGCUGGAAGAAUCAAAAUCACGCCCUACAUUCCUGCAGGUGUUUGGAUAACCACUGGAGCAUUCCAUUGCAAGUCACCGAGGGAAGCGCUCAUUGUUUAAGAAUAACUAUAGCCGCUCAUACGUGAUUUUCUUUAAGAAAAAGUGAAAAAAUGUUUAAAAUUCAUAAAUUUCGGAAAAAGUUCAUGAACAUGCAAAAAAAGGUGCCAUAUUCAAAAAAGUUCACGAAUUAUAAAAAAGUUCAUGUAUUCAAAAAAGAUCAUGAUAUUUAAAAAAGUUAACUCAUUUGAAAAAAGCUUAAUAAUUUUUAAAAAAAUGUUUAUCAGUUUUGAAAACAAAAGUUCAUCACUUUUUAUAAAAAAUUCAUCAAUUUGAAAAAGUUCAUUCCUUUGAAAAAAGUUUCAUCAAUUUUGAAAAAAGUUCACAAAUUAAAAAAGUUCAUUUUUUUCAAAAUAUAGGUUCACAAAUUUUAGAAGAACUUCAUCACUUUUGAAAAAAUUCAUCGAUUUUGAAGAAAAUUUUCAUUAGUAUUGACACAAAUUUGAAAAGUUCACGCAUUUAAGAGAAUAAAUAUAAAAAUAAUAAGGGAAAAGAAACAAAUAGGAAAACUGCUGCGUUUUUUUGGGUUGCAUUUUAAUAAUAAUAAAGGAAUCUAGCAUAUCGGGUGUGGUGGGCGACUCGGCCAGUGCUCGCUCGGUGUUAAAACUGGAGCAUCGUGGUUUGAAUCACGUUGUGCACACCUUUUCUGAGGAUUUAAACGAAGAAAAAAAGUAAAAAUGGGUCGGCACCGAGUGGAAGGGGGUGUGCACCAGGUUGCAAAGUGAACUGUAAGGGGCGCUUAAGGCUGUGACAAAAUAUUGCUUGUUGGUUGGCAAGUAGAAACUGGUUGCCCGCCCAUCCGUUGAUUUUACCAGAGCCCCAAAACUUCCCUAUGAAAAAUCUGUUGAUUUUCUCCUUUCGAAUUCGAAUAGGCCAACCCUGAGGAUUUAAACGGAGAAACCAAAGAAGUAAAAAUACGCCGGUCUAGAGUGGAAGGGGAUGUGCGUCAAGUUGCAAAAUGAACUGUCAGGAGUGCUUAAGGCCCUGACAAAAUAUUGCUUGUUGGUUUGUAGGCAGAAACUGGCGGCCCGGCCUAUCCAUUGAUUUUACGUGAGCCCCAAAACAUCCCUAUAAAAAAACAUGAGCGCCAAAACAAGCAAACAUUUCCACUCACUUUUUUCCCCUUUCGAAUUCGAAUGAAGUGUGGGCCCAGGCGACCUAGAGAAUAGCACAUAAUUGCUUGUACGUCACCACUAUUACCAAACCGGCCUAGGAUCAUCUCAAAAUGGAAGAAAACUGGUCAGGGAGUACUGUUCAACACACUUUCAUGUAAUUUUGUUCAUGAGUCUAGAAACUCGAAUAUUGAGUCUCGUAGUCUAGCUAGGCAUGCAGUUGGUUCAGAUCAGGGACACCAUCUCUGGAUGGGUCACUCUCAUGAUCCCAGUGUAAUACUAGAUUAUGAGAGCUUGGCUAAUAGGAACGAUAUACUACUCAUAUUAACAAGGAAUUUCUUCUUUUUCGGGAGCUCAUUCGCAAAGAACUUCAAUGUACAGUGUGCUCGGCUUGGAGAGAUUUGAGGAUAGAUGACCAACCGGGAAAUGUUGCUUUCGGGUGCGCACGAGUGAGGACAAAGUGCGCAGAAAAGACGGUUGGUCUGUGGGGAUAGUCUAGAUCCCGCCAGGCGUGGAACCAUGGCUAUGACCAGGGCGUUACAAUUGGUAUCAGGCCAACCCACGUUGUUACACGAGCAUGAAUGGGUCAGGUGCGUGAGCAUGUGGCGCAUGGCGCGUGUGGCUCAUUGUGGCACACUGCAUCGGACAUGCGCCGGCGUGGACGCAGAUACAUGUGCCAAGAGGAAAUCAUCCUGAUGGGCCGACGAGGAUGUCAGUUCAUUUGAGUGGGGUCAUAUGUGAGAUCCUGACUUAAUAGGAAUGAUAGACUACUCAUAUUAGUAAGAAUUUUUUUUUCAGGAGCUCCUUCACAAAGAACUCCAAAAUUAAGCAUGUUUGGCUUGGAGGGAUUUAAGGAUGGAUGACCGACCGGGAAGUAGCUCUCAGAUGUGCACGAUGAGAACAAAGCACAAACAAAAGACUAGUGUUGGUAUGUCGGAAUAGUCUAGAUACCGCCAGGCGUAACGGCAUGGAACCGGUAGCUAUGACCGGAACAAAGCACGCAAAGAAGAUUAGUGUUGGUCUGUGGGAAAGUCUAGAUCCCGCCAAAUGUUCUCAGUACCAAUUAAUUAACAAAGCUCAUCGAAAUUUCUCAAAAAAAUGAACACGCACUCUUCGCAAAAUAGAAAAACACGGCAUCUUUCGGCAUGGGACUGCUACAAUAUUUUUCUAGUUGUAAAGUUUGUUAUUGUCAAAAGUAUAAGGACUAUGCAGUGCAUAACUACAUUGACCCUUGACUUUUUGAUGGGGACACUAGUGCACAUUGCAUAUGCAUCUUUGCUUACUACGUUGACCUUUGCUCAUGAUUUAUCCUAAUAUGGCAUAACAUCCUCUUUAUUUCACAAAGCACUACGGCAACUCCAACGCGCCGACGCACUUGGUCCGCGCGUGUUUGCUUAGUUUGAAACAAACAGAAACGCCGGCCCAACACGCAGAUGCAAAGCCAAAUCACGUUCGCUCGCUAUCUAUCUGGACGCAUUUCCGACCCAUCUUUGGGCCUAAUUUGAAUCCACGCUGACAUGAGACGGACACGCUGCGCGUCCUCUCGGUGUCCCCCUCGGGCCUGUCUGUCAGCCACCCGACCACCACCGCGGUCGUAAUCAAUGCCACCCACUCACCUCAGGCCUGCACGGCAGCGUGCGGUGUGGGGGUGGGGAAGCCUCAUCCACUUUUCCUCCCCACUCCAGUCCACAUCUGGCCAUGUGUGCUCCUUGGUCGGCCUAAACAAGCCCUAGUCCGCCAUCGUAGCCAUGGGCUUCUUCAACAAAGGUGGUAAGCGUGGCAAGCACAACCACGAGGCCGGCUCAUCGCGAGGUCCUGCCAACUUCAUGUUGGCGCCGCAAGGGGGGAGGGGGAGGUCGGCACGGCCACGCGGCCGGUUGUACAUCCUGGUGCACCAUGUGCAAUACCAUUGGGAGAGGAAAGCAGCGAAGGAUGAGGAUUGAGGGGGAGGGGGAGGAAGAUGCAACAUUGCGUAGGGACCUGAAAGCAGCUUCACGAAGGGGCAUAGACAGAUGAACACAUGGCAAAACGGUGAACUGGUGAAACCGGGCCAAAACAAAAAACCGGCUGAAAACCAGGGCUGCACCAACAACAAAAGCCAAUCCACGUGUCAAUAAACAAAGGAGUUAUCUACAUCAGCAGCAGUGAAGGACCUUAUCCUCUCCCUCCCUUGUCGCGCCCGUGGGCGACGGGGAGGAUCCCUAGCCGUCGCAGCCCGUCUCUCCCCUCCCGGCCCUCCUCCUCCUCGCCGCUGCCAGGGGACGCGGCUGGGCGAAGCCCAGCAAGCUUCGGUGGCAGCGGGACUUCUCGCCUCCUCGCGCAGGGGCAUCGGUGCGCGCCGGCGUCGCUGGGUCGGGACUCCAUGCAGUUGCGGGGGGUGGAGGCGUAGCAGAAGCUCUCCGACGGUGGCGCUCUGUGCUUUGGGUGGCAUUGCUAGCUGCGAAGUGGGGGGCGUGCCUGCGGUUGUGGCGGACGCAUAUCUGGCGGUUGGCGGCGGCGGGCGGCGCGGUUGCGGGCGGUGUAGGCCGGCGGCGGCGGUCGCAGGUGGACAAUGUGGGUUGUGCGCGGUGCCCGCUGCAGCUGGAUCCUUCCAGCUGGGGUGGGCAAGCGGCGCGAAGUGGAGGCAGCGGCCCGGCGUGGUCGUGGGCUACGACGUGGUGGCCUCACAGUGCUUGGUCGGGCCGGCGUUGCGGCGACGGCUAGAGUAAGGUUCGGCGUCCGUUCGUUCGUAGGUGGCCUGUGUGGAUGCCCCAGUUGGUUGUCUUCGGCUUCAGCUAUGGCCGAUCCGGCGAUCCCCGCGUUGCUGUGCGGGCGGCCGGUCAUUGCCAGAUGCAGAUUCAGGCCGGAGCAGAGGUUGGGCGUCAAGGUGGCGUUUGGAAGAGGUGGUGGGUGUGAUAGGUAGCUCUGAUGCGGUUGGGCCACCCAUCACCGGCAGGGGUGUUGAGCGUUGACGUGGUCCGCUCCCACUUCACCUCUUCUUCGACCUGGUGGCUCCCCGAUCAGUCUGGUUGUUCCGCUCGGCGGCGGCUCUGUCCACGGUCGGAGCAAGCCGUACGGUUCACCGCUCGCAGCUUGAAGGACCUAUGGGUUGUCUUCUUUCCUGGGCGGUGGCCUGGGUGGCGGGAGUUGCGGUGCUCGUGGGCUGAGCUCACGACUCAGGUGCGGGCGGCUAGCGGUCAUGGCCGCGUGGGCGGUGUGGUGGCUGGCAGGUUGAUGUUCUAUGGUGGUGUGUCGUUUGGGUCUUGUGCCUGGCGCACCUUGAGCGUGGGUGGAGUAUGAUUGCUGGGGUGAAAAUCCUGCCUGGCUUUGGCCAGGCCGACGGAGGCGGCACCCAUGGGCGUCGUCAUCUUCCUGAAGUCUCUGUUGUGGUUGCUCAUUUCUCUUCGCCGUGCUCCGGAUGAAAAUCUAGAUCAUUGGAUCGAGCGGUGGCGGCACUUUGGUGUUGUGUCCUUCCUAAAGGCACCGUUUUGGAGCUCACGGUUCGUCGACUCUUAACUUCACCUCUUCGCAGUGUCCUCACCGGGAAGGGCUCCAGCGGCUCCAUAGUGUUGCUUAUAGUCAUUCUUUAGUCUACUUCGAGUCGUUCGGUGUGUUGUUGUUGCAGGUCCUUGGCACUUAUGUAUCUGGCUUUGAGUGUGUGUUGGUGUGGUGUGUUGUGGUUUGUAUCGGCCCGGAUGUUGGUUGUUGCUUUACAUAUAAAGCGGGACGAAAUCUUUUUUAGUAAACAAAGAAGUUACUGCCGGAAUUGGGAAUUCUUAUAUAUAUGCAAUAUAUGCGGGUCCAGGCCGGCUGGCCUUUAAAACUCGGAUUGUGAGAGUAGUUUCUUUCACAUCAGACACCUUUUUUUUGAGAAUCUUCACAUCCAACACCUGGCUACAUGCAAAACAGUGUGGGGAAAGAUGCGGGAGCAACUAGUAUAAAAGCUGAGCUUACAGUGAAAGAAUAGAAAAAAGAAACCUGGGCUGUUGGAUUAAACAUGGACGGCACAGAUUGGAGUGGAGGCAUCCCAGACAACUUAUGGUACAUUUCACGAAAACCCCCCUACUACCAGUUAGAUGUAAAACAUGACUUUUGCAGUAAGAUCCCCAACUUUCUCAUAUCCAAUCGUUUGAUCCUAAGUUCAAGUCUUCACAUAGUUGAUGCCCAAAUUGUACAAUAUUUGCUUGUACUAGAUCACGGAUUAUGCAAGAAAACUUAAUAUGGCUAAGCCAAUCUGAAUCUGUUCCUACUUCAUCCCAAGCUGGACCACCCCAAACACAGAUAUGAGAAUACAUGUCAAGCACAAAUUUCUGAAUACAUGUCUAAGUGGAUCAUCCUGGGCAGAAAUAUUUAAGUGCAUGUCAUCUAUCUUAAUUCGGGUACACAAAAGGCAUACAUAUAUAUAUCACGUGGUAGUAUAAAACAUGACAUGGUCAUUUUGUAGUACAUGAACAGCGAGCCCCGAGUAUGGACUGAAGUGAUGCCCGCUGAAUAAACAUUGCUACCAAAACUUGCAUCAGGUUUGUUAUCUUGAUAGCACAUGAAAGAAAAAUAUAUUCCCUUUGUCUCCAGUUAUAGUGCUCCUUGCUCUUCAAUCUUCAUGUUCAGGAAAUGAUGACACCAAACAAAUCAUUCAGUUUGCAAGGGUACCUAAAGUAUUUGCUCAUGAGCUAAUCAAAUGAAUAUGCAUCAACAAUACAUUGUACUAGCAGGAACAUAUCUGCUCACUGCUAGCAGAAAAAAAAUACUUAUUCCCCAAAUUAUUUUUACCACCUUGAUUGUCUAACUAGAGAGAUGAUAUGUUAAGCUUAACAUCCAGUCCUUCAUUUUGUUAUGCAGAAGCUAACAGAUAAUCGACCAAUCCAUCACAAGCACGGGGAGGCGCUGAAACAAAAAAUGAUUUAUCCUUCAUUGCACUGAAGUUCUUAUUCUGAUUGAUUCCAUUGGGCACCAAGCAUUACUUUAAAAAAAUGCAUGGUUAAAACUUAAAAGGAACACUUUUCUAGAGGACUGAUAUGACAUUGCAAUGCCAGCACUUUCUUAUUGCUGCCCACGAAUUUUGGUACUAAUAAAAGAAAACUGAAACUCUAACAGCAACAAACAAAUAAAUAUAUUAAGAUGUCACAAAGGCACAUCCGCACACAGAUCCAAAGCAACAAAACAUGAGUCAAAUACAUGGAAGAGAACCAUUUUCUGCUCUUGUAUGUAGAGACUAGAGAUUCGUAAAAAAAAUCUUGCUUCAAUACCGGCGACGCGUCUGCUCGUACUGUCGAUCGAUAGAGAGAGAUGAAUGCCGGGUAGAAACGACGGACGGAGCAGUGUUUUCAAAAUCGGCGGAAUAUAGGUGUAUUUAGCAAAACCGGUGUAAAACAAAUACGACCUGAAACAACUAACCAAUCACGUAAUUAAAGGCUGCCCAUUUUAUUUUCGGCAGAAAAACUACGUUCCAAUCAGGCCUUGAAGCACACAAGAGAGAGUUGUAUAGGUCCGCUGUUUGAAACAGAGAUAGAAAAUGUGAAUGGGAGAUGAAUUCUAAUCAAGCUUGAUGUGAUUUUGAGUCUUCUGAAAGGGGUUGUGGUUGCCUAGUCAUGUGAAAGCGAUGGAUACGCUACUUCCUGAACAUAUCACAGUACAAAUAUGAGCUAUGAUGACACUUGUUGACAAUGUGCAAUCUUCAGACCAAUGUGCUUUUGGAUAUCAUACAACAACAAACAGCAUGCUUUGUUUAAACUAUAAUGAAACCAGUCAAAGCCAUCCAAGUUGUUCACUGGUAGGAGGGAGAGGGGGAGGGGAGUGGGAGAAACGGUGCUGACCUUGAUGCUGAGCCUGCGGGGCGAAGGAGGCGAGCAGAUCGAGCACCACCAGCUUUGCCUACGGUGAGAUACUGCUGGAUCUAGGAGUACCGGGGAGGAGGCAACUGUGGAGGCACCACCGCCCACUCGAGCACUAUCAGCAUGACUCCGUUAAGGUACUGAUGGGCAGCUGAGCGGGUGGGGCGCCCAUGGUCAUUGGGGUGGGGGAGACCGUGGCGGCGGCGGCCCGGUCCCUGACGAGGAUUUGCAGCGCGUCGUCGGGAUGCUCGGUGGAUGGAGCCAAGAGACCUGGAAGCCGGAGUGGGAGGGGGAGGAGGCACAGAGCAACUGCCGUGGGAAUAGUCGUCGUCCACCAGGUAAGCACCAGAUCUGUGCAGCCGCCACCGUCGACGAGCGAUAGGGGAACAGGAGGGCUAGGGAGAUCAGUCGUUUGAAGAAGAAGGACCUGAAGCAGAUUAGUUGGGAGCGAAGGGACAUUUUUGCACAAAAUUAUAUACUUAUGAGUACAGACCCCUCCGCUCCGAUCUGUGCCAUACGCCCCAAAUCCAACGGUCCAGAAUCAUUUUUCUAUUUUUGCACCUGAUGUGCAGAUUCUAUACUAGUCGCUCGGGUUUUAUUUGUACUGGCCCGUACGUACAAAUUCAGCGCUGUAGAUCUGCCAUGAUGUCAUGUGGAGUAUCUCCAGUAGAAGAUGACUGAGAAAUUGUUGACCUAGCAGCUAGCUUCCUUUUCUAUUUCCCGGUGAGAGAUGCAGCUUGCAAAGUGGCACAUGCAUCCGUUUUCAAAAAAGUGGCACAUGCAAUGCACGAGCAAUACUGUAGAGUACAACACAUCUGCUGGUUCCACCUACGUUUAUGGCAUUACUCGCGUGGGGCAUCGCGUCACUGACAUACAGAGUACCCUUGUACAUUUGGGCUACUUUUUUUAAGAUGCAUAUUCGGUGACAAGUAUGGCAGUGAUCACCACCAUUGACAGAGGUCCAGGAGUCACAUGUCACCGUUUUCGUAUGUACAUGUGUACACUAGAGAGCAUCUGCUCCAUCGUAUAUGCUCUCUCAGUCAAUUGGGUAUUAAUCAACCUUCACAAACCAAGUUAGCACUAUUGAGUUCACACAUGUACUGUACUAACUAGCUAUGCAUCGGCCAGCCUCGGAAAUUUGUCCGGAUUAGGAAAGGAUCAGCUGGCGAAUAACAUCCUCGAACCAUGCAUGUCAAUUGAUUAAUUAACUACGGUGGAGCAGAUACUUCGAGAGAGUUACAAAGAAGAAGAAAACUAAGGUAGGUGAUACUAUCGACUGGAGGUACAAGUCAUCAGCAACUGAUUGACCAUUGAUUAAUCAGAAAUAGUACUACUGCCUGUAACCACGGUGUCAUGUAUCUCUAUUGUUAAAGGGAGUUGGUGUUUGUACGUCAUCAAAUGUGAUCUCGUCACCCACACCACCCCUCUCCCCCUAGUUUUGAAUAAUGUAAACCAAAUCGGUGAUUUCAUUUUCUUAUCCUACCAGAAACCAUGUUAUGUAUUACCGUCAUGAAAUCUUAUAAAAUCAUUUGCUGCAUUAACUCAAUCAAAUUAAAUAAAAUCUUACCAACUAAGUCAAAAUUUGCUUGCCUUCCCCUACCCAUAUCUAAAUCAAAUCAAAUCUUAACAAAAUCUAGAAUAUGGUGGGUGUAACAUAUAUGUCAGACACGAUUAAUGUUGAACCACUAGAAUCUGGAUGUACGCCCCUAUUGCAAUGUACGGUCAAUUAGCUCGUUUUUUAGUGCUCGGGCUACCUUGCCCACCAACUUUUGGUGCUAAUGAACUUCAGGCCUUUUUCAUGGUGUUAUGCAUAUAUUCAAGUCAAUGCAAGCAAAAUCACUUUUUAACAAUGUCCAUUCCCUCUUGGUGAAUCUGCCUGUAACUUUUUAUGACAAUAAAUCAUUUCCUGUUUCUCUUUUGGACUCGGCAUCCAUCGAUGCACAGUAGGUACCAACGCGUGGAACCUAGUUAGUUGUAGUUUCCAUGUGUCGGCAAGAAAGUGAAGGUCGGCCCGGUCAUAGCCGGGUGAUAAGCUAGCAUGUGGGGGGGGGGAGGGGAGGAGCAGAGAAAAUCAUAAUAAAGUGGUGCAUGUGUGAUACAUAUGUGUUGGUCACCAGUUGAAAGAGGCUCACAGCACUGUACGCCAAAUCUGGGCAACGCGUCGAUUCGAGCGUUCCUUUUUUUUUGAAGUCGGAGGAGAACUGUCAAAUUCAUUGAUCAAAGAAAGAAGAAAGAAAGAAAAUAUCCUUCCGGCACCACCACAACCCCAAGCUCCACCAGCAACCGUGCACACCAUCGAAAUCUAUCGCCAAGGUCUCCAAGAUGAUGCCUCAAAGGAGGAAGUGAUAUCGAGGACAUCACCGUCACCUGAUCUAACAAAGCCAGAUUUUAGGUUUUUACCCGGAGACCCAAGCCAUGUGGUAGGAAGAACAACAAGCUCUACAACGAUACUUCCAAGGAAGAAGACGACAUCCAUAGAUGCCAUUACCGUCGGCAUCGACAAAGUCAAUGCAGGAUUUUCAUCUAGAGCCGAGUCUUCUACCAACCAUCCAGGAUCUGGGACCAACCAAGCGCCAUCCGGCAAAACAAGAUCAACCCAAACACGAAGAUCAUCACCGCGGCACGCAGAAACCAGCGAGCUCACGCCACCCUGACCGGUCCACACCACCGCACGCAGGACCUGGGCGAACCAAGUUGAAUCUGGCCAUCCUCUGCCUCCAUGCACAAAUCUGGGCGAGAGAUUGCACCGCAGCGUAACAGGAAAAGAAAGGUGGAACCAAACAGACCGACCCGCGCCUCCGCGCGUUGGAACUGGGUGAAAACCAGGCCAAAAAACUAACAGGCCCGCACCGCCUGCUGGUUCCACUUACGUUUACGUCAUUGCUCGUGUGGGCAUCACACCAGUGACAUAUAGCAUAUCCUUAUACAUUUUGACCACCUUUUUUAAGAAGCAUAUUCGGUGACAGGUAUGGCAGUGAUCGCCACCAUUUUGACAAAGUUCAAGAUUCACAUGUCACUGUUUUCGUAUGUACAUUACAUCAGAACAUGUCUACACUAGAGAGCAUGUUCUCCAUCGUAUAUGCUCUCUCAAUGAUUUGGUAGUUAUUUGGAUUCAAUAUGUUUUAAGACUCAAAAGGGUAGAAGAACUUAGCACUAUUGAGUUCACACCCAUCCUAUAUGUACUAGUACUAACUUGUUAUGCAUCGGCCGGCCUCUAAAAUUUGUCCGGAUUAGCAAGGGAUCAGCUGGCGAAUGACUCCUCGAAUCAUGUCGAAGUGGUUAAUUAACUAUUACUACCUUAGGCGACAGCACCGUGGAAAUAAAAACAAAGUAGGUGACACAGGGUGCAGGUAUAAGUCAUCGGCAACUGAGCAUUGAUCAACCGAAAGUACUCUCUCCAUCCGAAAUUACUUGUGGGAGAAAUAGGUGUAUCUAAACGUAUUUUGGUUCUUAGUACAUCUAUUUUUAUUCAUUUCUGCGGCAAAUAAUUUCAAACGGAGGGAAUAGUAUAUGAUCAAGUCAAUAUAGUACUACAAGAAAAGACACCUUUUGGUGCUCCAUUCUCUCUUGAGGAAGUUGUCCAUAACUUUCGUGAUAAUGAAAUUCUAUCUCAUUUCUCUAUAUUGCGAUGACAGAUGAUGAACAAAUUGGAAGUUCUUUCCACAAAAUAAAGAAAGAAAUCCUUUCUCGUUUCUCUUUGGGCCUCCGCUUCUAUCGAUGCACAGUACAUAGAACCGCGUGGAUCCUAGCUAGCUACAAGUUCCAAUGUGUCGGCAAGAACCUAAGGACAGUCAUGGGCGACUGGGUAAAAUAAAGUGGUGCAUGCGUGAUAUACAUAUCUGUUGGAGGCCAACGCGUGCAUGUGUCCGCGUCGAUCUAUUAUCAACCUUGCUAGAGAGAGACCCGGCUGCUCGAUCGUGUCUAGCCUGACCAUGACACGUCCAUGAUGCAUCACCUCACUCAUGGCCCCCAUGCACGUCAACCUAACUACACAUAUAUAGCUAGCUUCUACCUCAAUUAGGCCCCAUUUUCAUCUGUCUAUAUCAUCUUUCUAUCUAACGCGUGUCCGGUUGGUUUUCGGCAAUGCCUUUAUACGCAUAUUCUCCUUAAAAAUAUAGAUGGAUACCUAUACCCCUAUAGUUCUUCAACAGUAUGUUUCCUCUUGCUCUUGAGCUAGUAGCACUAGUAGAAAAAGGGUCAUCUGUCCCGGUUGGUAAGGGUCUUUUGUCCCGGUUUUUGAACCGGGACUAAAGGGUCGUUACUAAUGCCCUAGCCCUUUAGUCCCAGUUCUUACACGAACCGGGACAGAUGGGCCUCCACGUGGCCGGUGCGGCGAGCCCAGGCAGGAGGGCCUUUGGUCCCGGUUGGUGGCACUAACCGGGACCAAUAGUCAUCCACGCGUCAGCAUUUCAGGGGCUGGGGUUUUUUUUUAANNNNNNNNNNNNNNNNNNNNNNNNNNNNNNNNNNNNNNNNNNNNNNNNNNNNNNNNNNNNNNNNNNNNNNNNNNNNNNNNNNNNNNNNNNNNNNNNNNNNNNNNNNNNNNNNNNNNNNNNNNNNNNNNNNNNNNNNNNNNNNNNNNNNNNNNNNNNNNNNNNNNNNNNNNNNNNNNNNNNNNNNNNNNNNNNNNNNNNNNNNNNNNNNNNNNNNNNNNNNNNNNNNNNNNNNNNNNNNNNNNNNNNNNNNNNNNNNNNNNNNNNNNNNNNNNNNNNNNNNNNNNNNNNNNNNNNNNNNNNNNNNNNNNNNNNNNNNNNNNNNNNNNNNNNNNNNNNNNNNNNNNNNNNNNNNNGCUACGUACUAUAUACGUAUAGAGAGGACUAGACACGCUAGCUAGUAAGCAAAUGAAGGAAACAGAAGAUCGUCAUGAACAUAUGCAUACAGAGAGAAGUGAUAUCGACCACCUCUCCUUCUCCGAGAGAUUGGUCGAACAACAAGUUCUCGUAUAUCUAUCCGACACUACCGGCUACAUAUAUACAAUAAUUAUCUCUUACAAUAUAAUCUCCUAAUUAUAUAUGAACACAGGGUCCACAUAGUAUUCUCCGUUCUCAGCGAUCACGUGGUCAAGGAAGAAUGCCGUCAAUUCCUCUUGAAUUGCUCGCAUACGAUCUGGUGCUAGGAGUUCGUCCCACAUCCGAAAGAUCUAAUUUGAAGAAGGGGGUAAAUACAUACAUACAUAUAUAUAUAUAUAUAUAUAUAUAUAUAUAUAUAUAUAUAUAUAUGAAUAAAUGAAACUCAACACAAAUGAUGGUAAUAAAAUAAAAUUGUGAAUAUUAUUGCUUACGCACUUCAUAUUGUUCGUCAGAGUAGCCCCGCUCACAGGUCAUGUGGCGGAUGGACUCGCAAACGUAGUAUCCACAGAAAUCAUUCCCUUGUUCCUGCCACAACCACUUUACAAGAAAUAGAGGUCAAUCAAACUGAUAAGCGAGCAUGCUAAAUGGUAUUGAUGAAACUAGCGCUUGAAUCACUAGGAGAUGCGCGGAACAUGCUACUAUAGUACUUACUUUCGGGUGUCUAAAUUGCAGGUUCUUCGGCAGUCCCGGAGCUUUUUUGGUGAAUUUUCUCCAAACCCUGCCAGACAAACAAAACAAUUACUUGAUAUCAGGAAAUGAACAAAGUUGCUGAUAUGGUGGAUAAUGAUCGAUUGAACUUACUUCUCGAGCAUUUGAGUCAUGUCCGCAUAGUCCUGGGGAUCUUUUCGUCUCGAGUCUAAGACGGUUACUAGUCCCUGCUCAAACUUAAUCUCUAGGAGAAUAUAGUGGAAGCUGCGCACGCAUGCAUAAGUCAUCAAUUACAUUACUAUAACCUGGACUAAUAAGGGAAACCGAAUAUGCACAAGACAGUAACACUCACUUGAAAUUGUAAGGAAAGAGUAUUAUAUCUCUGUUUUCAUUUAUUACCAACGAUCGUAGCAAGUUGGCCUCGGUAUUUUCGGCAUGAUAUUUAACCUCAGUUGCAUCUAUGAGAUUUGUGUUAAUGAAUCCAAUAUCACGAUUUGUCUUUUCUUCAAUUCAGCGAUAUUCAAUCUGCAUAAUAUAGUGAGGAUAAUUAUAAAUACAUGCAAUGAAAGAGCUGACCUAUAUAGAGAGACUUAAUGACAGAAGUAGUACUACUUACAGACAGUAGCAAGUGACCGUUGAUUUAUCGAGGGCCUUUUGAUUGAAAACCCGAAAGAACUCCUCAAAUGGAACAUUCAACAGUUCAAUUCCAACGAGGUCAUGCUCCUCUUUAACUCUCAGCGUCAAAGUAUUCCUUCCCCCAGACUCUCUGCAGGUUUUCAUGUACCAAUCAUGUAAUCUUCGCAUCAUCGUUGUUAGAGAUCUUUCAUCUUUUACGAGAGGCUUCCCGUAAUGGUAUUUGUGUUCGUCCACCUCCAAGAAAUCAUAAUGUACAUCAUCGGGCAGGUAAUCUCCAAGAUUGCUAUAACCGGGCACCAUCCUCGGAUCAUUAGCGACGAUGUCGCUAGACACCUUGAGCGGGGGGCACGAUUGGUUCGCUUGUUCGCCGAGCUGGGCAAUUUUUUUCCCAGCUCGUCGUUCUUUUAACCUUUGAUCACUGACAGUACUUCCCGACCACUCUGCUUCGACAAAUGUCUUUGCAAUAAUGCGCUCAUAGUUGCCUUUCGGCGGAGACUUUGGUGGUUUUGUCAGGGCAGCCAGAGUGCGCUUCGCUUUCACCGGAUCUACCUUCUCCUCCGGAGGUGGAUGUUUCUUUGCUUUCACCCCUUCAAAGAAGUUCGUCACUUCGGCUCGCACGAUCUUCGUGGUUUCCUCCUCGGUCCUCUCGUAUGGUAACUUUUGUGGAGUCUUCAUAGAAGGACCGAAUCUGUAUUGCCUCCCGCCUCUGGCUGUACUGCUAGACGCCGGCAGAGCAGACGGAGCGGCUGCGGCUGUCUUCUUUCCUUGCUUACGAGGCGGAGGAGAAGGACUACGACGCGCCGGAGCAGCCGGAGCGACGGCGGGUCUCUUCCGCCCUUGCUGACGAGGCGGAGAAGGAGGAGGCUGGCUACUCGGGCGCGCCGGCGUAGGCAGAGAAGGAGGCGGAGUGCCGCCAUGCGCCGGAGAAGGAGGCUGAGUGCCUUGAUCACUCGCCGGAGGAGGAGGCGGAGGAGGAGGCGGAGUGUCGCCACGCGCCGGAGAAGGAGGCUGAGUGCCCUGAUCACUCGCCGGAGGAGGAGGCUGAGUGCCCUUACUCGCCGGAGGCGUCCAGUUCGGAAGGUUGAUGAGCUCCUUCCGCCAUAGGCAUGGAGUCUUCACAGCAGAACCUAGCCGAGUCUCCCCUUCAUCGGUAGGGUGGUCAAGCCGGAGGUCCUCAAAUCCCUCCGUUAUUUCGUCCACCGUCACCCUAGCAUAUCCUUCUGGAAUCGGACGACAGUGAAAAGUUGCGCCGGGUUCAGGAGGUCGAACAGAGCCGACAGCGGCCUUGACUUUGAAGUUCUGCCAUUGCGUCAUAAGGUGGCAAUGUUGAGACUCCGUGAUAGCAUCCACGGGGUAGCUAGCAGGAGCCGUCAAGACAUGCUCCGGCUGAAGCAGCUCGGUCAAAGCCACACUUCUUCUCCGCUGAGAUGGCGGGGUAGCUUCGGGGGUAGUUUCGGCAGGUCGAUUGCUGCGAGCUACGUCUCGUUCCUCUAGCGCUUGAACCCUUUCGUACAGCUUCUGGAUUUGGGUCUGCUCCACUUUUUUCCUCCUCUCCUGGAUUUUGUAACCGCCUGCGUCCAGAAAACCAGCCUUCCACGGAACGGAGCCUGGCGUGCCUUGUGUCCGUCCAGGGUGCUCAGGAUUCCCGAGGGCCAUUGUGAGCUCGUCAUUCUCUCUGUCUGGAACGAACGUCCCUUGCUGCGCUGCAUCGAUAUAGUGCUGAAGCCUCUUGACUGGUAUUCUCAAAAGCUCGUCCGUCCAAACGCACUUCCCUGAUACAGGGUCCAAGGUUCCGCCAGCCCCGAAGAACCAAGUCCGGCAACGGUCUGGCCAGUUCAUUGUCUCUGGUUCGAUCCCUUUAUCAAGUAGAUCAUUCUCAGCCUUGGCCCACUUAGGUCAGGCUUUGAGGUAGCCACCUGACCCCGUGCGAUGGUGAAGCUUCUUCUUCGCAACACUUUUCUUGUUUGUCGCUGACAACUUCUUACUCUUUUCCGAUGUCUUGUGGGCCACAAAUGCGGGCCAGUGAUCUCUGAUCUUCUCAUAUUUGCCAAUGAAUUCUGGUGUCUCUUCUUUGUCGACAAACGUUUUCUGCUCAUUCUUCCACCUCCUGAAUAGGUCCGCCAUAUUCUUAAGAGCAUGAUACUUGAUUAAUUGCUCUUUAACUGGCUUCUCUGGAUCCUCCUCUGGCGGUAGGGUGAAAUUUGCCUUCAGCUCAGUCCAAAGAUCAUCUUUCUGCAUAUCAUUGACAUAAGACACCUCAGGGUCUUCCUUCUUAGGCUUAUACCAUUGGUGGAUGCUGAUCGGGAUCUUGUCCCUAACAAGAACCCCGCACUGAGCAGCAAAUGCUUCCUUUGUCCGGAUGGGUUCAAUCGGUUGGCCGUCGCGCAUGAUUGUUGUGAUCUCAAACCUUUCAUCCGAGCACAACUUUCUCUUCGGGCCUCGUCUCUUUACCGAAGUUGUGCUCGAUCCGGAGGGCUAGAAAAAAGAAGAAAGACGAGAGUUAAUUAAUAUGUGUACAUACCAAAACAAUGAAUGCAUCAAUUAGCUAGUCAUCACAGGCUUAACUAAUAUAUUUACCUGGCCGGACUCUGUUCGGUCAUCGGAGCCGUCACCACGGGCUCCUUCUUGCACCAGCAUUGGGUCACCGGAGCCAUCAUAAUCAUGUCUUUCCUCCUCCACUCUUCGAUCACCGUAGCCUGCUUCUUCACCCUGUUCUUCCAGACCAUCAUUGUCGUUAAGAUACGACAAGACAUCACCUCUGGCUAAGAUUAUGUCCCCCAACACCUCUUCUGCUUCCUCGUCUCGUCCGUGCUCCAUUGUUUCUGCAAAUAUUACAACAUGGCAAUUAUUACACAAACAUGACAGCAGGUGGAUAUAUUAGUGCAAACGUAGACCUAGCUUAUUCCGGGUUUGGGGUGGCCUCGGCAACGCUUCAAGGGUAGGGGCGCGGCGGGAGGGGGUAGGAGACCGACAUCGUUUAUUUCUAGGGUUUGGGUGUCCUCGAGAGUUUUGGUCGAGCGAGAGGGCCGGGGGGUGCUCCCGUGGUAUAAGUUAUCACGGUCGAAGUUAUCCGGGAGGGGGUUAUAUCGAUAACGACGACAUACAUACAUGGGAAAAUAAUGUUAUCGGGGAGGGGGUAGGUCGAACCCCCCCUCGUGUUGAAGUUAUCGGGACACGGGGUAUAUCGACAACGACAUAUCCGAUAAAAAAAUAAGAAGACGAAGAAGAAAUAAAAAGAGGAGAAGAAGAUAUUAAUACAGGAGAAGAUUGAAGAAAUAAAAAGAGGAGAAGAAGAUAUUCUUCUUUUUUCUUCUUCUUAUUUUCCUUUUUCCUCUCCUUCUUUUUCUUUUUCUUCAUUAUCUUCUUAGCUAGAUAUAUAAUACUUUUCUAAAAAUGUAACUUUUGCAUAUAUAAAACUUUUUCUUCUUCUUCCUUCUUCCUUCUCUUCCUUCUUUUCCUAAAUAUAUAAAACUUUUCUAAAAAUGAAACUAACCUAAAAUGUACCCAAAUGUACUAAAAAUCUAACUUUUAUAUGCACAGAGAACAUACAUACAUAUAUACAUUUUUAUAAAAAUGCAAAAAACAAAUCAUCAUAUAUAUGAAUAAAAAACAGAGAGGAAGGCCGGCGGCCGGACCGAACGUGGCGGCNNNNNNNNNNNNNNNNNNNNNNNNNNNNNNNNNNNNNNNNNNNNNNNNNNNNNNNNNNNNNNNNNNNNNNNNNNNNNNNNNNNNNNNNNNNNNNNNNNNNNAAAAAUUUACAAGUCCUGCUUAUAUAUGGAGAGCAUUGGUACCGGUUCAUGGCAGCAACCGAGACCAAUGCCCCUUUUAGUCCCGGUUGGUGCCACCAACCGGGACCAAAGGUCUCUUUUCAGCAGCCCAAAGGGCGGGAAGCGGCGGCCUUUGGUCCCGGUUGGUGGCACCAACCGGGACUAAAGGGGUGCAUUGGUACCGGUUGGUGGCGUCCCGGUUGGUGCCACCAACUGGGACCAAAGGCCUUGUGCUGCUGCGCCCGCGUCAAAAGUUUAGUCCCACCUUGCUAGUUGAGAGGGGCGCGCAGUGGUUUAUAAGCCCCACUGCCGCUCCCCUCCCGAGCUCCUCUCCAUUGCAGGCUUACGGGCCUAAUUGUCAUUGCUAUGCAUGAUGGGCCUACUGGGCCUUCUGCGGGCCUGCAUCCUGGCCCAUCGAUGGGUUUCUAGUCGUAUUCAGGCCGUGGUGGCCCAGUAGGUGGCAUAUUUUUUAUUUUUUGCCUUUUUUUGUUUUAUUUUUUUCUUUAUUUAUUUUGUUUUGUUUGUACUGACAACAAAAAACUUAUUUAUUUUAUUUUUUUGUUUCUAAUUACUUAUUUAUUUUACUUUAUGAUAAUUCUUUUUGCUAUUAAAGUUUCUAACAAAAAAAGUUCUUUAUGAAAAUUCUUUUUGCUUUCAAUGAUUUUGAAUAGAAAAUACUUCGAUAAUUUUAGUUGCAUCAAUUUUAUAUAAUUUUAGUUUCAAUAAUACUAGAGGUUGCUUAUAAUUAAUGUUUUGAACAGAAAAUACUUUGAUAAUUUUAGUUUCAUAAAUUUUAUUUAUGUUAUUAAAGUUUAUUUUAUUUUGUUUGUACUUAUAUAUUUUAUUAAAGUUUAUAUUAUUUUGUUUCUAAUUACUUAUUUAUUUUAUUUGUUAUUUUUCAUGCACCAUUUUUCAUGCAUUUACUGAUUAUUUUGAGCUAUAAAACCCUAAAAUUGAAAAGCAUUUCAAAUGAACUCUGAAAAGGUUGAAAGUUGGCAUGGUAUCAUCAUUUCAUCCACAUAGCAUGUGCAAGAAAGUUGAGAGGGUUACGGCAAAAAUUGGAUGCACUUCGUGUACAAAACGGACAAUCUCUUUCAAAGUAUCAGGAUUUCAUACGGAAACUCGUCUGUUACAAAGGGAUUUUAUUUUUUAAAACUUAUUUGAACUCCUUACUUUUUGUGUGUUCAAAAUGCACCAUUCAAAGCCACAUCAUCAAUUUUCAACCCUUUCUGACUUCAUUUUUAAUUUUUCAUGCAUUUAUUGAUUAUUUUGAGCUAUAAGACCCUGAAAUUGAAAAGCAUUUCAAAUGAACUCUGAAAAGGUUGAAAGUUGGCAUGGUAUCAUCAUUUCAUCCACAUAGCAUGUGCAAGAAAGUUGAGAGGGUUACGGCAAAAACUGGAUGCACUUCGUGUACAAAAUGGACAAUGGUAUCAUACUCGUCUGUUACAAAGUUGGCAUGGUAUCAUCAUAAUAGUUGCGGGAGAAAGUCUUCACUUUUUCUUCGCUUGUGUCAUUUUCUUAUUGCGCCAUAACCAUGGAUAAUCUUCAUCGUUUAUCAGGAUGGUUGGGUCAGCCUUGACUUUGAAGGGAGGAAUUUCAUGAAACUUUUCAUAAUCUUCAGACAUGUCUGUCUUGCCCUCCACUCCCACGAUGUCCCUUUUUCCUGAAAGAACUAUGUGGCGCUUUGGCUCAUCGUAUGAUGUAUUCGCUUCCUUAUCUUUUCUUUUUCUCGGUUUGGUAGACAUGUCCUUCACAUAGAUAACAUGUGCCACAUCAUUGGCUAGGACGAAUGGUUCGUCAGUGUACCCAAGAUUUUUCAGAUCCACCGUUGUCAUUCCGUACUGUGGGUCUACCUGUACCCCGCCUCCUGACAGAUUGACCCAUUUGCACUUAAACAAAGGGACCUUAAAAUCAUGUAUGUAGUCAAGUUCCCAUAUGUCCACUAUGUAACCACAAUAUGUGUUCUUUCCCCUCUCGGUUGCUGCAUCAAAGCGGACACCGCUGUUUUGGUUGGUGCUCUUUUGAUCUUGGGCGAUCGUGUAAAAUGUAUUUCCAUUUAUCUCGUAUCCUUUGUAAGUCAAUACAGUCAAAGAUGGUCCCCUGGACAACGAGUACAGCUCAUCACAAACAGUGUUGUCACCUCUGAGCCGUGUUUCCAACCAACUGCUGAAAGUCCUGAUGUGUUCACAUGUAAUCCAGUCGUCGCACUGCUCUGGGCGUUUGGAGCGCAGACUGAUCUUGUGUUCAUCGACAUACGGGGUCACCAAGGUAGAGUUCUGUAGAACUGUGUAGUGUGCUUGAGACCAAGAAUGUCCGUCCCUGCAUAUUAUUGAGUCCGCUCCUAGCGUGCCUUUUCCAGUCAGUCUCUCCUCAUACCGCGAUUUAAGGAGACCUAUCUUCUUAAGGCCAGGAAUGAAAUCAACACAAAACCCAAUGGCAUCCUCUGUUUGAUGGCCCAUGGAGAUGCUUCCUUCUGGCCUAGCGCAGUUACGGACAUAUUUCUUUAGGACUCCCAUGAACCUCUCAAAGGGGAACAUAUUAUGUAGAAUACGGGCCCCAGAAUGACAAUCUCGUCGACUAGAUGAACUAGGACGUGCGUCAUGAUAUUGAAGAAGGAUAGUGGGAACACCAGCUCGAAACUGAUAAGACAUUGCGCCACAUCACUCCUUAGCCUUGGUAUGAUUUCUGGAUCGAUCACCUUCUGAGAGAUUGCAUUGAGGAAUGCACAUAGCUUCACAAUGGCUAAUCGGACGUUUUCCGGUAGAAGCCCCCUCAAUGCAACCGGAAGCAGUUGCGUCAUAAUCGUGGCAGUCAUGAGACUUUAGGUUCUGAAACUUUUUCUCUGGCAUAUUUAUUAUUCCCUUUAUAUUCGACGAGAAGCCAGUCGGGACCUUCAUACUGAGCAUGCAUUCAAAGAAGAUUUCUUUCUCUUCUUUCGUAAGAGCGUAACUGGCAGGACCUUCAUACUGCUUCGGAGGCAUGCCGUCUUUUUCGUGCAAACGUUGCAGGUCCUCCCGUGCCUCAGGUGUAUCUUUUGUCUUCCCAUACACGCCCAAGAAGCCUAGAAACUUCACGCAAAGGUUCUUCGUCACGUGCAUCACGUCGUUUGAAGAGCGGACCUCUAGGUCUUUCCAGUAGGGUAGGUCCCAAAAUAUAGAUUUCUUCUUCCACAUGGGUGCGUGUCCCUCAGCGUCAUUCGGAACAGCUAGUCCGCUGGGACCCUUUUCAAAGAUUACGUGUAAAUCAUUGACCAUAGCAAGUACGUGAUCACCGGUACGCAUGGCGGGCUUCUUCCGGUGAUCUGCCUUGCCUUUGAAAUGCUUGCCUUUCUUUCGACAUUGAUGGUUGGUCGGAAGAAAUCGACGAUGGCCCAGGUACACAUUCUUCCUGCAUUUGUCCAGGUAUAUACUUUCAGUGUCGUCUAAACAGUGCGUGCAUGCGUGGUAUCCCUUGUUUGUCUAUCCUGAAAGGUUACUGAGAGCGGGCCAAUCGUUGAUGGUUACAAACAGCAACGCGUGCGGGUUAAAUUCCUUCUAUUUGUGCUCAUCCCACGUACGUACACUGUUUCCAUUCCACAGCUGUAAAAUUUCUUCAACUAAUGGCCUUAGGUACACAUCAAUGUCGUUGCCGGGUUGCUUAGGGCCUUGGAUGAGAACUGGCAUCAUAAUGAACUUCCGCUUCAUGCACAUCCAAGGAGGAAGGUUAUACAUACAUAGAGUCACGGGCCAGGUGAUGUGAUUGCUGCUCUGCUCCCCGAAAGGAUUAAUGCCAUCCACGCUUAAACCAAACCAUACGUUCCUUGGGUCAGCUGCAAACUCAGCCCAGUACUUUCUCUCGAUUUUUCUCCACUGCGACCCGUCAGCGGGUGCUCUCAACUUCCCGUCUUUCUUACGGUCCUCACUGUGUCAUCGCAUCAACUUGGCAUGAUCUUCGUUUCUGAACAGACGUUUCAACCGUGGUAUUAUAGGAGCAUACCACAUCACCUUCGCAGGAACCCUCUUCCUGGGGGGCUCGCCGUCAACAUCACCAGGGUCAUCUCGUCUGAUCUUAUACCGCAAUGCACCGCAUACCGGGCAUGCGUUCAGAUCCUUGUACGCACCGCGGUAGAGGAUGCAGUCAUUAGGGCAUGCAUGUAUCUUCUGCACCUCCAAUCCUAGAGGGCAUACGACCUUCUUUGCUGCGUAUGUACUGUCGGGCAAUUCUUUAUCCUUUGGAAGCUUCUUCUUCAAUAUUUUCAAUAGCUUCUCAAAUCCUUUGUCAGGCACAACAUUCUCUGCCUUCCACUGCAGCAAUUCCAGUACGGUACCGAGCUUUGUGUUGCCAUCUUCGCAAUUGGGGUACAACCCUUUUUUGUGAUCCUCUAACACGCGAUCGAACUUCAGCUUCUCCUUUUGACUUUCGCAUUGCGUCCUUGCAUCGACAAUGACCCGGCGGAGAUCAUCAUCAUCGGGCACUGGUUCCUCUUGAUCUUCAGCAGCUUCCCCCGUUGCAGCAUCAUUGGGCACAUCGUCUGGUUCCUCUUGAUCUUCAGCAGCUUCCCCCGUUGCAGCAUCACCGUAUUGAGGGGGCACAUAGUUGUCAUCGUCCUCUUCUUCUUCGCCGUCUUCCAUCAUAACCCCUAUUUCUCCGUGCCUCGUCCAAACAUUAUAGUGUGGCAUGAAACCCUUGUAAAGCAGGUGGGUGUGAAGGAUUUUCCGGUCAGAGUAAGACUUCGUAUUCCCACAUUUAGGGCAUGGACAACACAUAAAACCAUUCUACUUGUUUGCCUCAGCCACUUCGAGAAAAUCAUGCACGCCCUUAAUGUACUCGGAGGUGUGUCUGUCACCGUACAUCCAUUGUCGGUUCAUCUGCGUGCAUUAUAUAUAAUUAAGUGUGUCAAAAACCAUUACAGAACAUCAUGAAUAGAUAAUUAAGUGACCAAAUUAAUAGAAGUUCAUCAUCACAUUAAAACCAAAGUACAUACAUAGUUCUCAUCUAACAACAUAUAGCUCUCCAGAGCAUCUAAUUAAUUAAGCCAUACAUUGAAACUAUGUAAAACAUUUCAAUGCGAAAACAAAUGCGAUCAUAAUCGCAACCAAGGUAACAAUUGAUCCAACGGCAUAAUGAUACCAAGGCUCGGUAUGAAUGGCAUAUUUUCUAAUCUUUCUAAUCUUCAAGCGCAUUGCAUCCAUCUUGAUCUUGUGAUCAUCGACGACAUCCGCAACAUGCAACUCCAAUAUCAUCUUCUCCUCCUCAAUUUUUUUUCCUUCAAGAAAUUGUUUUCUUUUUCAACUAAAUUUAACCUCUCGACAAUAGGGUCGGUCGGAAUUUCAGGUUCACAUACCUCCUAGAUAAAUAAAAUCUAUGUCACGUUGAUCGGUAUAAUUUUCAUAAACAAUAAAUGAACCAAUAGUUAUAAAGAUAAUAUAUACCACAUCCGAAUCAUAGACAGGACGAGGGCCGACGGGGCGGAUACCAAAACCAUCGCACUAUAUAAUAACAAGCAAUAAAAUAGUAAGAAAAUUAGACAAGUAUCUAUCUAAAGUAAGAAUUUUUUUCUUUCAGAAAGAAGAUAAGAACAAGAGGCUCACCACGGUGGUGCCGGCACGAGAUCGGCGCGGGCGAUCGACGGCGGUGAAGACAGGAAUGGGACGUGACGGGCCGCUAAACCUAGACAAAUCUCGAGGAAAAUGGAGCUUUGAGGUCGAGCUUCGAGAGGAGAAAGCUUAACUAGUGUGGCUCGGGCAUUUCAUCGAACACCUCAUGUGCAUAGGAGGUGAGCUAGAGCAGCACAAAGCCCUGCCCUCGCCGGCCAGAGAAAAACAGAGCACUGGAGUGCUCUGCUCGCGGGCGAGGGGUAUAUAUAGGCACCUCAUUUGUCCUGGUUCGUGGCAUGAACCGGGACUAAAGGGCAGCCUGUGGUCCCGGUUCAAGCCACCAACCGGGACCAAUGGUGGUGGGCCAGGAGCGAGGCCCAUUGGUCCCGGUUCGUCCCACCAACCGGGACCAAAGGGGCCAGACGAACCGGGACCGAUGCCCCAACGAGGCCCGGCAGGCCCCUGGCCUCACGAACCGGGACCAGUGCCCCCAUUGGUCCCGGUUCUGGACUGAACCGGGACUAAUGGGCUGACCCGGCCUGAACCAAAACCCUCUUUUCUACUAGUGUAGCUGAAUUCUCCCGUAUCAAAAUAUAAGACGUUUUUGUACGGCGAUGCCUUUAUACGCAUAUUCUCCUUAAAAAUAUGGAUGGAUACCUAUACCCCUAUAGUUCUUCAGCAGUAUGUUUCCUCUUGCUCUUAAGCUAGUAGCUGAAUACAAAAACGUCUUAUAUUUUGAUACAGAGAUGGUAGUUGUCAAGCUUGGGGACCGAUGUAUGGACCUUUUCUACCCAUCUCCAAUGUUUGGACCUACAGGAUAUACGUAUAUAUGAUAUAUUUCCUUUUCGCUGCGUAGUGCAUACAUAGAGAUCACAAGGCUAUGACAUGAACACAUCACCUAGUUAGGCUGCGGAUGCUAUAGCCUUACUUUUGUUGCUUUAUUGCAUCCCUGUAGCUAGAUAGAGUAGGGUUGCAAUGGUGCAUGCACGCAUGGGCGAUGGCGCAAGAGUACACACGCGUCCUGUUUGCGGUCCAUGCAUGCUUUGGAUGGUACAUAUAGCAGCAACAAGAGCUCUGACCAUGACCUCCAACUAAAUUAACGGGCACUGCUAUCCAGUAUAGGCUGCGUAAUAGGUCAUGGUCAGCAAUCUUCAAAUCAUUCAAAACAAAAGUCAGAUAUCGUGUAGUGCUAACAAGUGUAGUAUCUUGCUGCUAUUUUUAAUAAUAUAAUCACAACCAAACAGUAAAAUAGUGUACUGUCUAGGUUUCACAGUAGUGUAGUGCAUAUAGAUUUUUUUUCAAAGGUGUCAAACUUAGCAAACUUUGAUCAAUUUUAUAGAGAAAAUUUAUCUAUAUCUACAAUACCAAGCAUAUGCAAUGUGGACAUAUAUCUCAUGAUAUGUCUAAUGAUAUGUAAUUGGUAUUAUAAAUAUUGACAUUUUUCACUAUACACAUGAUCAAACAUUACAAUGUUUGACUUUUGAAGAAAAAAGUGUAGGCAGUACAUUAUGGAACAAAGGGAGUAACAACUUUUAAAUAGGUUAAAAUACGUCAUAGUGCCACAAUCAGAAAUUCGCAGGGGCACGUAAGUGCGGGGCACUCACCUGCAAGCCAUGCCGCUCGCUCGAUUUGCCUCACGAUUCACGAAGUAGUUGAAUCUCACAUGAUGGCACGGUAAAAGAGAAAAUCCCUCAAAAAGCUUUAAAUUUUAACAAUGAAACUAACAAUUUUUGCAUUAAAAUGCCCAUUUUCAGCAAGUUUCAGAGAUAUAAUUUUAAGCAAUUUUUUUUGUCAGUCGUCGACACAAAAUAAUUGAUUUUUAUCGGUCGGUCGUACUAAGUUUCAACAUUGAAACUUAACAUAUAUAUUUAAAAGUCAUCAAAAUAUAUUCAAAAUGGACCUUAUUUCAAAGCGAUGGUCAAACGAAACACGAAUAUGAAAACAUAACUUAAUUUGGAAUUUACGUUUAAAAGAUAUAGAAAUUUAAAAAUCAGAAGCCAAAAUAAAGGGCCGGCACCACGGACCUGAGUGCCCCCACACUUGCGUGCCAUAAAUCCUCGUCCGUGCCACAAUAGGGGUUAAGAGGUAAAUUUUCUCUUCUUUUUCAGAUGGGGUUUUUCAUAUAAAAAUGUUGAUGGUGCGAAAGCCGACACUUUGGGACAGAAAAUCUGCGACAUCUAUAAUAGAAUUGCUAUUUCGAAGUCUUUCUUGUGACAAUGACAUAUUUGUUGUCGUAAGGAGAAUAUUGAGAGAAAUAUUAGAAAUACAUGGCUGAAUGUCAGCCUAUAUAUAUAGACACACACACACAUUGUGCACUCAUAGUGCAAUAAAAAAAUAACAAAAAUAGUAUAAAGAAAACUGUGGCAGCAAACCAAAUGUAAUUUCCAUGGAUUUGUUUAUCGAUAAGCUAAUGAGCCUAAACUUUCCAAUCUCCCUAUCUUAAUUUCCUAUUUUGGUCAUGUUAGCCAAGUCAAAAGGAGCAUCUGUCUUUACUAGGAGAGGAAUUAAUUCUUUAUAAGUAGGAAACAUCAUAUUUCUGCUAUUGAUAGCUCGACAUAUAUAGGCCCAUGAAACCUAAUAGUGAUACAAUUAAUCCAUCCCUUGAUUGCACUACUAUAGGGACCCUUAUCAGUGACAGGCCCAAAGGCCUAUCAGUGACAAGUGAGCCGCCCAUCACUAGCGGCCACUCAUCAUCGCAAAUGGGGCUACUAGUGAUGGGCAGACAUAAGAGCACCUCACUGGUAGUUUGUUUAGGCCAGACCCAGCUACAUUUCCAAAGACGCGCAACCAUAUCGUCAAUCAUCAUUGGUGCCUUUUUGGGAUUUUGAAAAAUAGUCCAAUUAUCAUUACACAACUUAACUAAGAACAGUAUGAACAACAUUUUAAUUAUACAUCACCUAAACUCCAAAUUAAUCAACAUUGUAUGCCCUCCGUUCACUAUUAUAAGAUGUGUUUGAUAUAUCAUUAUGGAGUACAUAUGGUCUAAAAUGAGUGAACAAACACACUAAAAUGCAUCUAUAUACAUUUGAUUCAAAAAAAAAAAUAGAACAUACACAGUGAACAGAGUGAAUACUCAAUAGAAACAUUUCUCUUGUACAUUGCACACACACAUUUCAUGCGAGAAACUGGACACCAAAAUUUUCAAGUCUCUCUUGUUCGAUUUGCAAAAUUCGAAACAUGAACCGUCUACGAUGUGGUUAUGCUAAACAGUGUCUUUCCAAGACCCUGAUUUAUUUGUGACAUUCUGAACAGUAAUCUUGGCUCGUCUUCAUCCUCAUGAGCUUCGCUCGGACAUCGUAGACACCACUCUUGACCAUUCAUCCACUUUUUUGAGAGAGGAGAUUUUUACCAGCUCUGUCAUCAGCCCUAGAACAUCCGACACCUUAGACCCUCGCCAACUACGCCAUCCGGAAUUUCCGAAUCAUACUCAAUGUGAUGUGUUCUUCGAAUGAAGUUGUUUAUACUUACUUGAGGGUUGGAGCUUUUGUAUAGCUUCAUCAAACGAUAAUAUCGUCACGCUGUAAAAUUCCAGUUACACUUUACAAAACACUCGUCGAAAAAAGUGUCUAGUGUAGUGCACCAAAACGUCACAAUAGCGACGAGAUGAAAUUGCAAUUUCUCUGAUAUCCUUGUUGAGAUAUAAAAUUAACAACAUAUUACGUUUUGUUAUAAUUAUGUAAUAUUCAUGUACGAUCAUCAUUAGUGUUACAACUAUAAUCACCUAAGUUCACCCCUAGGAGAACAAAUCUAAGACAGACUCAUGUACGGUUGAUUUUGUGCAAUAUAACUUAAAUAGGACCCAUGUUAGCAAAAUACAACCUAAUUUAUUUGUCUAAGAAAAAGUAUGCAGAAAGUUGAGAAAUACAAGUCUCGAUGCUACCAAUUUGUUUGUGUACGGUGUUGUGCUCUUGAUGAAAUAAUAAUCUAACAAAUGUUAUAAGUACAUCACAUAUUACCCAAAUAACCACAAAGCUUAUAUUUUAGACUGAGUUAGAUUUAAUGGAAAUUAAAUCAAAUCCUAGGGCCUAAACUCUAAAUCAUGAUGUAUUUUAAUGCAGAUUUUUUUUUUGCAUUCCACAUUGCUCGACAUGAGGUGAGAGGGAACAGGAAAGAUAAGAAUGAAACAUACAAGGAUGAAUCCUAAAAUGCUACCAUAUAUAAGAUGCCACAAUCAUAACACAUCUAUAUAGUAAUUCAAGCAUUCGUCACACUAUUUAGGACAAAUGAACAUAUAUACAGCCAUUCUAUACUAUUUUAUACAACAAAUUCAGUUCAUAUAUGAGUAUAUAUACAAAGCAACAUCUUGGGCAAAUUAACAUAUAUAUUGUUUAUAUAGCAAUUCAAACAAAUCAACGUGCUCGAUAAAGAGGAAAAGGAGCUCACCUAUCUGGCCGCAAUCGCAACUGAAUCAUUUCAGUACCAUUGUCGGGCCUAUGACCCUGCACGACGCGGGAGACCUGAUAAUAUGGUAGGUGACACCCACGGGAGGCUACGGGACAGAGCUGCGUCGAUGACGGUUAUAACCACGCGGUAGAGGUUUUACAAAGAGGGUUAAUUUGAUUGGUCAAUAGGUGGGGAGGCGGCCCACCCCCUUUUAAAAUCAGGGGGGCAAGUUUGUGAUUGGUUAGUAGAUGAAAAGAAUCCUAGUCAGUGUGUAAUUACGUGUAACUCUUUGUAUGAUUAGCAUUAUUGGAGGUUGACUCUAGCAGUAGGGAACGCCCACCUGAGUUCAUAACUCUGCCAGUCCGUGACGGUCAAGGCCCGCUUCUGGUUUUGGCCAAACAUGCUUGGAGCUGAUCCGUGACCGUCAAGGAAUGUCGCGGAUGUUGUAAUACAUACGAAAUUUCAUUUCCAAUAGUGAAUGCCAUUAAUUAAUUAAUAAAUAAAGCUUGUACUGCAAAACACCAUAUCUAUGAUCCAUAUGUAAUGAAGGAAAUCUUUGCACAUAAUUAGCACCAUGAUCCGUCUUAACAGCGUGCGAUAUAUUCUUACUUUGAUUUACUCACCAGGCUUACACAAAAAUAAGACAUGAUGAUCACAGACAGUGCAUCGUGGAUGGAUGUGUGUCGCAAGGGAUCUCCUAUUUUUCCGGCUCGGGACAGCAAUGGAAUUUCAAUUGUUGACCCUGACCACCAUUCACUCACUCCACUCUAAAAGGCACAUGCUGCAACACCUCCUGGCUUGCUUAAACUUGUAUGCAUAUUUUCCAUGUGAACAAAAGCUACACCUGACAACACAUUACACAUGGUACACCAACAAUCUUUUCACACCUCAACUUUUCACGCAUGCACCCUGGUUGACGUGUGUCAAAUCAAAUCUGAUCUGGUCUAGACACUCACUGCUGGUACCUCUAGCUGAUAUCUGUAAAUAAAAUUAAAUUCAUGCACCGGUGUGUGCAACUUUUAACAUUAUGAUAAAAGAAAAUUGGUGUAUACAUAACCUAUGUAAAGUCUUGAUGAAAACAAGCUAGCUAGCAUAGAGGCAGCUAGCAUGUUUGCCUUGCCGUCCUGUAAUAACAUCAGAGCGAUCAAUGUCUUCCUUCCAUUAUGCUGCUACUACAAAAGACAAAUUCAGCGGCUCCAUAUUAACUAGCUUUCCAGUGCUCCAAGAACGAAAGAACAAAAAGCAGUAGGCGCCAUGCAGCAUGAUCACACUGCACGCAUCGUCGACCAAGAACGUACGCUCCGCUCCAAGGACGGUUAUAGAUGUCCAGUCCAAUUGACGUUACUGCUGUCCUCUCUCCUACACACGCAAGUAGUAUAAGUUAAUUUAAAAGUAAUCGAUUGGAAUUAAAAAGAUAUUUAGAAAAGAAGUUAACAAAGAAAACAAGAACAAAANNNNNNNNNNNNNNNNNNNNNNNNNNNNNNNNNNNNNNNNNNNNNNNNNNNNNNNNNNNNNNNNNNNNNNNNNNNNNNNNNNNNNNNNNNNNNNNNNNNNNNNNNNNNNNNNNNNNNNNNNNNNNNNNNNNNNNNNNNNNNNNNNNNNNNNNNNNNNNNNNNNNNNNNNNNNNNNNNNNNNNNNNNNNNNNNNNNNNNNNNNNNNNNNNNNNNNNNNNNNNNNNNNNNNNNNNNNNNNNNNNNNNNNNNNNNNNNNNNNNNNNNNNNNNNNNNNNNNNNNNNNNNNNNNNNNNNNCGUCAGGGGCUCAGGGCACGUCUCCGGACAAGGCCCGUGCGGCACCGACAGUGACGGGGAGGUCCUGAUCUGCCGGCAGCUUGCUUGUGGAGGCGGCAAAGGGUUGCGGUGGGAUGAUGAAGGAGAUGUGUGCUUAGGUGGUUGUCAUCGUCAGACGGUGCUCGAUGGCGGCAUUGGUGAUCUAGUGUGACAGUCUUCAACGGCGGCCUGGCCUGGUUAGGUCAUCGAAGAAGAGGGAGUUGUGAUCCAGGACGGCGGCGAGCUUGACAUCAAACCCAAACCUGUCGUGAAGCGGCACGGAUGAUUCUCUUCAGGUUUUAUUUAAGGAGUCUUCGAGUUUGGUUCGGAGCGGCGAGGCGGCAAUGUUGUUCCAAUGUAGAAAUAAUAUUCUCCCCGCUCCUUCCCUGUUCCGUUGGUGUGUUAUCACUGGCGGAGGGUGUACCAAGCGGGUCUUCCAAGUCCGGUCGGUUGAGGUUUCCGGUGGAUCCGUUUGGAUUCAACUGGCUAUUGUGGUCUUUGGAGUUUCUACAUCCCUUGUCGGCAUUUUCUUCUCUGGGGCGGCGAGUUACUUCGCAAAUCGCAGUUGUCGACUUUUCCUGGUCUGCAUUGAUGACUUUUCGGACACUACUUCUACAAGCUUCUCGGUUUAAAAAGUUUGCUCUGCCAAGGAAGAGGCCCAAAAGCGGCAUUGAGUUAUGCUCACGGUGCACCGCCGGUGGAUCGAUGCAAGAGUAAGAAGACUUCGGCACCCCAAGGAUUUGAAUGUAAUUUUAUUUUCUGUAUUGAUGGAAAUGUUUGCAAGGACACGUGAUGCUUUAUAAAUAGCCUUAGGCCUUUUGGGAAAAAAUGAAACAAAGAUUUAGCAGGGCGAAGAAAAUCAGGGAUAUUUAGUGGCAGGAGGAAAUACAUUAUAUCUGUACAUAUCCAUGCAUAAUAAUAACGGUGAAAAAAAAGUAAUUACUCUGGAAUGGAUAAGAGGGUACUGAUUACCACUGCAUGCUAAAAAAGAUUAGCGCUGACAGCAAAGAGAAGCGCAUGAAAAAGGGAAAGUGUUGGAUUAUUUUAACCACGUGCCCACUCGAUCGGCGCUGGUAUAUAUCGGCCGGCCGCCUAUAUAUACCAAGCGUCAGUCCUCGCAGCGUCAGUACAAAGACCACACGAGGCGCUAGGCCGCUAGCAAAGCUCUCGGCCAAACAGGCAUCACGCGUGCUGUAGCACCACCGGUUGGUUCGUUCGCCGGCGACGGCACCGCGGUGAUCAGCGAUGGGGGAGUUGGCGUGGGCGGCGCUGGCGGGGCUUCUGGUGCCGCUGGCCGCGGUGGCGCUGGACGCCGCGGUGCGGGCGGCGCACGCGUGGUACUGGACGGCGUCGCUGGGCGCCGGGCGGCGCGGCAGGCUGCCGCCGGGAGACAUGGGGUGGCCGCUCGUCGGCGGCAUGUGGGCCUUCCUCUGCGCCUUCAAGUCCGGCAGGCCGGACUCCUUCAUCGACUCCUUCGCCCGACGGUGAGCCGGUCACUCCCUUUUCCUUUCCUUUCCCAUCCGCACCAGCAAUGUCCACGCUCCCUCACUCUCCCCCAUGUCCAAUGCAUGCGCUUUGGUGCGGGCCGGGCCCGGUCUUUGGGCCUGGGCUUCGGCCGGCCCUCGGCCGAGGAUUCCAAGCUGGACCCGGACCACCGUAGACCGCGCUGAGGACAUCAAACACUAGUUUUUUUUUCAUUUUGUUUCUGGUUUUAACUUUUUGACUGGUGUCUUCUUGCAAUGCAUCAGACAAGUCUUAGCAUGCAAGAUACCCUCUCCUAGAUUCUCUUUAAUAAUAAUAAUAAUAAUAAUAAUAAUAAUAAUAGUGACCAAUUUUUUUUGUUAUUUAUGGGAAUUCAAAAGGUUUGAUUGGUCCUGGAAAGAUAAGCCGAACCUUUCUUGCUUUGGAGAUGUGUUUGUUUGUCUUCGGCAAAAAUGCGCUUUGGAGGAUUUGUUGUUGGUGAAAGGAUGGAUCACAUGAACUACUUUGGGGGCAUGCAUGACCGCCGCACACAUCACUAAGAUGCUCCUCCUUUUGUGCGUGUUCAUGCAUACAAACUUGCACACUCCCUCUGUCUCAUAAUAUAAGAUGUUAUUACGACCAAUAUGUGUGUGUUUUUUUUUCUUUAUUUGAGUGAGUACACAUCAGUUCAGGCCGUGUUGGAAGGCAGUGGCAAAGAUCCGUCGUCAUCAUCAACAUCUAUCACCUAGUAGCUAGCAUCCUAUCUUCUUCAGUCAGUGGGAUGCUCUUUUCUUUUGCACCCAUACCAUCUGCUUGUUCGCAUCUUCCCUCUUGGAAAAAGAUAUAGGAUUCUGAGUUGUCUUGUUCUGAAUUCUGAUGUAUCUGUUUUUGUAAUCUAGUUCACAACUUGGCAUCCAUCUAGAUUAGAUUUAACCUGACCCAUCCAUCAGACGAUGCUCUUCAGAGAUGACAAUCACCUUGGGUGGCUUCAGGCAUGCAUCCAAAACCCCCUUUCAGUUUGCUUAGAUGUUGCAAUGUACUAUGGUCCAGAAAUGCAAAUGAAGGAUUUUGGCUGCAAUUGCUGUCGAUUUUCGAACCUCAUUUUCAUAGGGUUGAUGUACACAUUGCAUUGGUCAUCAGUCUGAUAUGAAAUGCAUGCUGGCUUGGCACCCACCCACACAAACUGUCCAGCAAAAUAUCCACCACUGUCUACUCUUUGCAGCAGCACAAAUCUCUGUUUCUACUUUCUUAACUGUGCCAGGUGCUUGCUGAUUUCCUUUUUUCUUUGUCAUCUAGCAGUGAUCGAACAAAUCCGGUCGGCAUUCGUGGCCAGGGCUUCUAAAUUUAGUCCGGUCUAUAUGAAAAAAUGUGGAUGCAUAUUCUCUGAUAGAAACAGUAAUUCGGUUCUUGAGUGCAGGCCUGAAAAGGGAAAUCGGUGACUGCUUCUUUCUGCCUGCAUAUCUAUCUUGCUGCUAUUUAGAAAUAUUAAUAUUCUUCGGCAUUGAUGCUCUCUGCUUAUACUUUCUUUUUUUGUGAUAAAGAGUAUGUAUAAAAGGAUGAUUUGACACUGGAAAAGUAGUUUUUGCACCCAUGGCUCCCAGCAAAAUAUCGGCAGCAGAUUCCUUCCAUGGCACAGAUGUCUGUGGCUACUUUUAUUAAACUGUACCUGAUGUAGAUAUGGCCUGCUUGCUGAUAUGUUGUUUUGUCAUCUACUGUUAGUCGAACAAAUUUGGUCGGCAUCAGACAUUGUAGUGAACAAACAAUUGUAGUAAGUAUAUUCUACUGCAGGCAGUAAUGCUAUUCCAUAGAGCAGGCCAGGAUAAAAUAAGUGAUCUAGUGAUUAGGUAGGUACUUUGAUGAUUUAUUCUUUCAGCCUCUACAUUUUCUUCUUCAGACAGGCACUUUGAUGAUUGCAUUCUUCAGAGAUUGAUUCUCUCUGUUUAUUUUAUCUUUUGCAACAAAGCGAAUCAAAAUAUGAUUUAUUACCAAAGCAGAAAAAAAGUUGUGUUCAUGAAAUUAAUGGAGAUGGUGACAAGAAUCCAUGGCAGGACUGGACUGGUUUUUUUUCUGUACUUGUCUGACGAACAAUAGCACUGAACAAAGCAGAAAAAAAGUUGUGUUCAGAUAUUGAUUAUUUCUGUUUAUUUUAUCGUUUGUAUCAAAGAGAAUCAAAAUGUGUUGAUUAAAGUGAUGAAGAUGGACAACUGAACAGAGUGAUGAUGCUGAAUCUGCAUUUCCAUGUCAGGUUCGGGCGGGCGGGGCUGUACAGGGCGUUCAUGUUCAGCAGCCCGACGAUCAUGGUGACGACGCCGGACGCGUGCAAGCAGGUGCUCAUGGACGACGACACGUUCGUCACCGGCUGGCCCAAGGCCACGGUGGCGCUCAUCGGGCCCAAGUCCUUCAUCAACAUGGGCUACGACGAGCACCGCCGGCUGCGCAAGCUCACGGCGGCGCCCAUCAACGGCUUCGACGCGCUCACCUCCUACCUGGGCUUCAUCGACCACACCGUGGUGACCACGCUCCGGGGCUGGUCGGACCGGGGCUCCGACUUCGAGUUCCUCACGGAGCUGCGCCGGAUGACGUUCCGGAUCAUCGUGCAGAUCUUCAUGGGCGGCGCCGACGAGCGCACGGCGGCCGAGCUGGAGAGCACCUACACGGAGCUCAACUACGGCAUGCGCGCCAUGGCCAUCGACCUACCAGGGUUCGCCUACCACAAGGCCAUCCGCGCGCGCCGCAGGCUCGUGGCGGCGCUGCAGCGCGUGCUCGACGAGCGCCGGGCCAGGGGAGCCAAGACGGCCGGGGUGGACAUGAUGGACCGGCUGAUCGCCGCGGAGGACGAGGGCGGGCGGCGGCUGCAGGACGACGAGAUCAUCGACGUGCUUGUCAUGUACCUGAACGCCGGCCACGAGUCCUCCGGCCACAUCACCAUGUGGGCCACCGUCUUCCUGCAGGAGAACCCCGACAUCCUCGCCAAGGCCAAGGUGUGCCUACUGCAACUCUGCAAGAGCGCCAUGGAUGGACACUUCACAAGAUCACCAUGAAUAAUUGUUGAAUCUUCUUCUUCUUGCUGUUGUCCAGGCGGAGCAGGAGGCGAUCAUGAGGAGCAUCCCGCCGGGGCAGAAGGGGCUCACCCUCCGGGACUUCAGGAAGAUGGAGUACCUCUCACAGGCAACAUUCCUCUGCAUACACUCUGCCACUCUGAAUUUUCGUUCACUCACUCACUUAUGUCUGAACAAUGCUCUGCAACCUGAAAUCAAAAGCAAAAAAUGUGAUCAUCUUCUGAAAGAAACAUGAUGCUUUUGCAGGUGGUCGACGAGACGCUGCGGUUCGUCAACAUCUCCUUCGUGUCGUUCCGCCAGGCGACCCGCGACGUCUUCGUCAACGGUAUGCGCUCUACUCUAUAGAUCAAUCCACCAUCAUACACACAUCCUGUGUUCAUCCUCAAUGCAUCACAUUUGAGUUUCAUGGUUGACUGAACCUCUCUGUAACCUGACAUGAACAAAAUCUUCAGGUUAUCUGAUACCCAAGGGGUGGAAGGUGCAGCUGUGGUACAGGAGCGUGCACAUGGACCCUCAGGUGUACCCUGACCCCAAGAAGUUCGACCCUUCAAGAUGGGAGGUUGGUCACAUUCUUCAGCACUCAACUUCUGAACGAAAUCUGCAUUUCCUCACAGUUUGAAGUGAUUGUUUUCUUUCCUCCUUAUUCUCAGGGCCCGCCGCCGAGGGCCGGAACGUUCCUUCCUUUCGGGCUCGGCACGAGGCUGUGCCCGGGCAACGAUCUCGCCAAGCUUGAGAUCUCUGUCUUCCUCCACCAUUUCCUCCUUGGAUACAAGUAAGCUUCCAGACCACCACAGUUAACUGCUCCUGCAACAUUGCAAUGCAACAACUGCAACCAACGGUGACUGUGCGUUAACAUUGACUUUGUAUCUGAAUGCAGGCUGACAAGGAAAAAUCCAAAUUGCCGGGUGAGGUACCUGCCGCACCCCCGGCCGGUGGACAAUUGCCUGGCCAAGAUCACCAGAGUCUCCUCCUCCCAUUGACGAUGAUGAAAACAGAGAAUCCAAAACCCUAGACGGCGUCGCCCAGAAGCGCCAAAUUUAGGAAAACUCAUGUGUCCAGACAAAUAAAAUAAAUAAAUAGCGAGGCGUUAUUGCUGCAGAUGAGUCAAAGUUGCGUCAUUCCUUGUUUUUAGCUCUGUCCUAGGACUCAAAAAUGUUAUGCUGAAAAAGACAUUUGUGUCGAAACAGAAAUGUCAAUAGUGUUGCCGCCGAAGUAACUUGCAUCGAAACCUUGGGUGAUUCUGCAUGCCGAGUGGUCACGCAACUAUUAUUCGAUUAACUAUAUCAAUAGUGUUGGCGCCAAAUUAAUUUGCACUUAAACCCUGGGUGAUUCUGCAUGCCAGGUGGUCGUUGCCGAACGCAACAAUUAUUCGAUUAACUAAAACAUAAUACUAUACAAAUACUUGAGAGGCGAGAAUCCUUGGAUGGAAGGAUGGAAGAAAUGGAUAUCCUUGCGAGCACUGAUGUCACACCAUCACCUGGAUGGCGCUCCUGAUAAGUUGACUUUUCAAUCACGAUUUGCAAGAGAACAAAAUCUAAAAAAGACAGAGAGCUUGCAAGAGAAAAAAGUAUUAAAAGUGGUUUGUCAUGAGCAUUGAUGCCUCAACAAUCAGCAGCAACAUUAUUAAGGCAAAGUCAUAUGUACUGCAUCUAUUCUGUGAAAACGAAAACAAAAUAGUUAUCUGCAAAUGGGGAAAAGACAUUGAGAUGUGCAAAGUAGACGCGAGUGACAUGGCUUUAGUCUUUAGGACAUGUACAUUCAUUGACAACCUAAACGUGUCGCCAAUUUUAGGAGAAUUCAUCUUGCGUGAGAACCGAAUAAAAAUGAUAAUAAGUUGUGAGUUGUCAUUGUCAUAUAUUAAUCACCGUCAUUUCUUGUCUUUUGUUCCGUCCUAGGGCUUAGAACAUGCUGAAUUUUGGGUUAUGUGAAAAGGAUGUCUGCUUCGAGACAAAAACAUCGAUAGCAACUUGAUUUGUCGACUCGCCAAACUAACUUUAUGCCAAAACUUUGGUCUGUUCACCACAUGGAUUGGCGGUUAAAGGAUGCAAUUAUACAGCUAAUUUAAAACAUAAUAUCAUGUAAUAUAAUACCUAAAGGCGAGAAUCCAAGCAUCACUGUUGCCUCACGAUGAGCAAGAUGGUGCUCCUAAUAAUCUAUUUUUUAUUACAACUUACAUUAGAAAUAAUUUUUUCUCUAAUAAAAGGAAAGCUUGCUACAGAAAAGAAAUAGAAAAUUGUUUACAUGAGCAUCUAUGUCUCGCUUUAAGCUGCAAUAUUACUAUGGCAAAGUCAUAUGGGCUGCGUGCAUUUUUUGGAAUGAAAAAAGUAAGAAAAAUGAUGAAAUUGAAAACCCUAAAUGCUAUAUCUCAUCGUCGAAUCCACGAGAGAAUUCUCCUUGUUUGCUAACAAAAUAAAUAAAAUUGUGAGGCGUCGUUGCCGUUUAUAACACAAAGCUGCCCUCGUCUCUUGUUUAUUGUUCUGUCCUAUGACCCUGAAUUGCCUGAAUUCUAGGUUAUGCAGAAAGAGACAUAUGCAUUGAACCAAAAAUAUCGAUAGUUAUUUGAUACGUCGACACAUGGUUGGUUCGGCACAUAGGUCGGCGGUUCUCUAGUUAGGUUAUUCUAUUGUUAAUUAAAUUAUAUUACUAUACAAAUAUACCAAAAAAAAUGCGACAAUCCAAACAACUGAAAGAAACAGAUAUCCCUGCCCACGCUGAUUGGUGCCUUGCUGUCAGCUUGUUUUCUAAAUACAACUUGCAAGAGAAAUGAAAAACUGAAAGAAAUAGGAGAAUUUGCAACAGAAAAGGUUCUUUUUUUUCUGCGAUGAGCAUCGAUGCCUCACUCACUAUCAGGUAUACCAUUAUUAAAGCAAAGUCAUAUGCAUGUAUUGCGAGUACUUUCUAGAACAAAACAAAAAAUGCAUUUUUCAAAACAGAAAAAUGUGUAAGAAACAGGCAAGUGAGAUGUGCAAUCUUUCACAUGUGAGUGACGUGGCUUAGGACAUGUACAGUCACCGAUCACCUGAUCAGGCAGGGCAACUGACACGUCAGCAUCGUGACAAUGGUGGUGUGCAAAAGUUGGACGCUUAUCUGAGCUGCCACAUGUACUCUUUGUGAAAUGCCCUUGUUUAUGUAUUGUGGUUUCGUUUGCACAAGCCUAAUGUUGAACAUGGGGGUUGUAUUGUACUUUCUCACUAAAGAUAAACAUAUUAGGAAUAUAAUUAAUCCUUAAUAUACAUAAGCCUAAAGUUGGACACUUAGGAGUUUGGAUUGUACUUUCUCCCGAAAGAUAAACCCGUCUAAUUUGUCAUAUAUAGCAAGUGACUCACGCAAUUGACACUAUUUUCGCAUGAAAAUGAAAUAUAUUAACAAUCCUUGGAAUAGUUAUGUUGAUUAGCGGACAACCAAGUCAAAACCCCAACGACGAAUACAGAUAACCUCUAACCACCGGGGUUCAAGUCCUAGGUUUGACAUUGGUGCUCGCAUUUUCCAGAAUUUAUUUCAGGCUUUCCGAAGAUACCGGCUCAGUCUCCCAAAUAAUAGUUAUGUCAUUAUUUCCAUUUAAAAUAAUAGAAAUUUAAUAACAAUACAGACGUGGGAACCAACAACGCGCCACAACUAAACAUAAUAGUGCUGGCGUUCCAUGCUAUUCCACGCCAGCACUAUAUUAUGCCUGGUACAAAUUGUUGAUCCCAUAUACUUCUGACGCUCACUUAUUUUCCAACGCCAUCACUAUGCCCCUACUAAUGCCGUACCAAAUAAGCCAACGCCGCCACUAUAGGAAUGAAAAAAGAAAGAAAAAUGAUGAAAUUGAAAACCCUAAACUCUAUAUCUCAUCGUCAAAUCCACGAGAGAAUUUUCCUUGUUUGCUAACAAAAUAAAUAAAAUCACGAGGUGUCGUUGCCGUUUAUGACCCAAAGUUGUCCUUGUCUCUUGUUUAAUGUUCUGUCCUAUGACUCCGAAUUGCCAGAAUUCUAGGUUAUGUAGAAAGAGACAUCUGCACUGAACCAAAAAUAUCGAUAGUGAUUUGAUACGUCGACACAUGGUUGGUUCAUGAACAACCUAAACGGGCGUCGCCAAUUUUAGGGGAAUUCGUCUUGUGCGAGAACUGAAUAAAAAUGAUAAUAAAUUGCGAGAUGUCAUUGUCGACUACACGACACUACAUAAAUCAUGUACAAAAAUCGAGGUCACAAAAUGUUGCCUUAACGUAAAAAAAAACAUGGCUAUAUGUAUUUUUGUUCCUCACCAAAGCAAAACAAGGGAAGAUCAUACACAGCCUCAACUUGUCGACACACCUAAAUUAAUUUUGCGCUUACAAUUUGGUUACCUUUUUUUACAGAAGCUUAUCAGAGGGCCGGGUGUUCCUGUGAUUUCAUUAAGAAAAAGGGAGUUGAUCCAGUUUAUAUGGAAAACUAGGCCUAAAACCACACAAACUGCAUGAUUGAUUAGAGGACAACCAAGUGAAAACCCCAACGACGAAUACAAAUAACCUCUAACCAAAACUAGGCACCACCACCAUCGCAAAUCAAUGACCGAGAGUCAAAAAAAGACCCGGGGUAUAUAUAUCAACUUGGCGACACUACAUAAAUCAUGCACACACAUCGAGCUCAUAAAAAGUCGUGAAAAUGGCCCUUCUUUUCACAUCCCGUCUUGCUAUAUGUAUUUUUGUUCCUUAACACAAAACAAGGGGAAGAUCCUACACAGCCACAACUUGUCGACACGCCUAAAUUAAUUUUGCGCAUACAAUUUGGUUAUUUAGUCGGCGAAUAUAUAAUACUACUAGAGAAAGCGAGAAUCAACUACAACUUGCAAGAGAAAGUUGUCCCAAAAGGGAUAACUCACUGUCACCUGAAAAUCAUCAUGCAAUCAUGUUUUGUGUUAAGGAACGUGUCGACUGACGUGGCCAGGAUACGUACACGCAGGCUUCGAUUCAAGCAUCUGAUCGAGCAGGGCAUGUGACACGUCACGUCAGCAUCGUGACAACGCCAGGCGCUGCAAAAAGUUAUACGCCCAUCUGGCCUGCCACGUGCCCUGUUUGUCCUGUAGCUUUAUCGUCCUGUGUACAAAACUUACAUGUCACUCAAAGCAUUUGUAGACAAAACGGUUCGAUUUGUUGUAUCAGGCGAGUGACUCACCAAUUUACUUUUGUUGCCAAAUUAGAGAGCUCACCAUGCAUGCCAUGUGGCGAGUGACUCACUCAGUUGAUUUUAUUUAUCUUAGGAGAAAAAUGGUAGUAGUAUUCGGAACGUCUAAAGAAAGACAAUACCUUGAAGAAAUAGAUUUCGCUAAUUAUGUUUUGUUACAUAAGUUUUUCUCUCGGAAACAAAGCCUAAAAAUGUCAAAAGUUAUCCUCUUUUCCAACUUGGUUGUCAACUUGGCCCCUUUGACCAAGGCGAUUGUCGUGGUCACCUAAUCAAUUUCAUCGGCAUAACUGCUAGUACCUUCCAACGAUCCUCCAGCCUCUUCUGGGCCAAAUAGCCGGAGACCUCCUUAUAGUGUCAUAUGUCUUAUUCUCCUACCUCUUCGCAUGUCUAUCCAUCUUUGAUUGUGUGUUCCGUGAAAGGGGCCCUAGGAUCUAUGCAACAAUGACGAAGACGAAGGAGAAACGACAACGAGGGGUCACGCGAACACGUUGAGAUGGUCACGAGAGAGGUAGCGCGACAAUGCCAACCAUGCGACCAUCUAAGAGUCCACGGUCGUGUAACGCCAUGCCGAUAGUUUUGGUGUUCUAUCCAGGGUGUCAACGCGCAAGAACAUUGGGCCACACGGAGGCACUUAGGCGGUCAAGACAGAGGUAGAGCGCGAAGAUGACACCUAGACGUGCAUCUAAAGAGCCACGUCAGGACAUGAAACAGCAAAACAAUAGACCCGAUGAGUCAUUCGGUCCGCCAACAUCUGGAUUGGCUUUGUGAGAACAUGAGAAUUGUCAUGUUUAUGAAAUUACUACAAUACCGGUCGCACAACGUUACAGAAUACCAGGGACAAUGAUCGAGCUAAUAAAAGGCCGUCUCAAUAUUCAUUUUGAUGAAAAAAAGAAAGUGAAAAGCAUGCACGCAAGCAUGACAAUUUCUUUUUUGCCGGGUCACGAGGAUAGCAACUUGCCAAACGAAAAGCCUUGGAGCAUGGGCUCAACCCUCUCGAUCUUGACCGUUAAUUAUGAUCAACGGAUGAGAUGAAGCCACGUCCGUUCUUCUUCCCCAUAUCUCCGUCCCUGUCUCAUAGAGGGCAGGGCAGGGCAGGGCAGAGCAGAGCAACAAACAGCUCAUCAGAGCUCCCGCCGCCGCCGGCUUCGCAUCUCCCGCGCCACCACCUCCGCGGCCGUCCUCCUCCGCGGUAGGAUCCUCCGAGUACCUGCGCGACAGCCGUCCCCGCUGCGCCUGCCUGGUCCUCGCCGAAUCUUCAGCAAGGUACCGCCACAUGCCGAGCACGGAGAUUUCUUGGCUGUCCUCCCCCUCUGUAGCUCGCCGGCUUGGAUUUGAGAUCCGCCCCGGUUCUAGAUUGAUUUUAUCUAGCUGCGCUGGUGGCGAACCCUAACCUGCUGGCCUGGAUUGGGUUAUCCCGGGAGAUCAGUCUCGCUCUGCUGAUUUCUUUGCUCGCUCUCGGCGAUCUAGUCCGGAUUAGAUCUCGAUGGGAUGGGUAGUCCAGUCCAGUCCGUCCCAAUCAAAUCCAUCCAAUUCGUCGCGGUUUGGUCUGUGGAAGCACCAAUUGCCAGCUGAUUACAGUCUCCAGAGGAUACUUUACUUGGGUUCAGUUCAACUGAAUGCGUUCUGUCCUAGGUCUAGGACAAAAGUGAUUCUUCUUGAUCUGAUGAAGGCGGCACCGCGGGGCAAAGGGGGCGAUGAUUCCCGACAUAGAACAGGGGAAUGAACAUUUAUUCUUGAAACAAUUAGGCUCUGUCUUGGAAGGGAACAUAUUGUAGUUAGUGUAGUAUGAUAGUAUCGAGCUUCGGGGUUGCACGCGGUCUUCCGUCUUGCCGUCUAGCGGUAGCGUGCAUGGUAACAUUAGAAUGGUAUUUUGUAAGUAGCGGCGCCGUUCGAUAGCGUGCCGACCUGACGGCGUUGUUUGGUUUUAGCUCGUCCGUGCAAUCGUGGAUUCUUGCGUGACGUGAUCUGUGUUUGUCGACAGGUGCCGCAUGGAGGAGGUUGUCCCCGCUUCGGCUAAUAGCCAAGCUUCGACUGGUGAUGCCGCGGCAGAUCAGCCUAUCAACGUGUACGUGUGGGACUUGGAUGAAACGCUUAUUCUGCUCAAGUCCCUGCUAGAUGGGUCGUUUGCCGGGCAUUUUGAAGGCCUCAAGGACCAUGAAAAAGGUACCGAAAUAGGGAAGCGCUGGGAGAACAUCAUUCUUGAACUCUGCGAUGAGCACUUCUUCUAUGAGGAGGUCAGUCGACACCUCAAAUCUUGUCUGCUGACAGCUUACUAGAGCAAUGUGUUUCUGUAUGCACGUGCCUAAAAUACUAAAACUGUACUGCGUUUCUUCUUUUGAUGCUAUGGAUAGGCCAUCUGGCUGCACAUUUUACAUUGUGUGUCCAUGUUAUAUGUCAUUGCUAUCUACUGAUAGUCUUGUUCUCUCAUGUAUGCAGAUUGAGAACUACAAUCAACCCUAUCUCAGUUCAUUACAUGAGUAUGAUGAUGGGAAAGACUUGACAAAAUAUGACUUUGAGGCCGACUGCUUUAGUUCUCCUUUUGAUGAUGUGAAUAAAAGGAAGCUUGCCUACAGGCAUCGUGCUAUUGGAGACAAGUAUGCCAAGGUGUCACAAUAAUUACAUUAUCCUACUCUAUUUCCUUUAACUUUUGAUAAAUGAUUAAGUAGUGUUGUUGCAUUUAGAAGUGACCUUCUACAUAUGCUGACAUCCAGUGUCCGUAUUACUCUUGUAAAAACUAUAAUAUUUCAUUCCGUUUCAUGAAAAUGACUGAACAACUCAUAUAAUAUGAUGAGUGAAUUCGUUCAUAUAGUAGCAGUCUCCUUUUGCUGUAGCAACGACUUCUUUUGUGGUACUUGGUUGAUGGUGCUCAGGCCUAAUCCUUGUGAUGUUUGUGCUUGGCCUUAAUUUUCGACGGUGUCUAGAAAGUGGUAGUGCUAUGCUAGCCACUUCAGUGUGCAAGCUUUUUGUUCGUACAACUCCUUCGACAUGCAUAUCCUGAUCUUGUAACACAAGACAUCCAGUUUUGUUUAGAGAUGUCAAGAUCUUUUCCCUAUGAGCUUCCAGACUGCGUAGUAGUCUAAUAAACAUCUGGUUAUUUCUGCAAGAGCUUUACAUUAAGCACUGACCGUAUUUAAAUAGUUACCAUAUGUUUUUUUCUUUCCUUUUUUGGCUUUUUGUGAGGGUGGGGGUGGUCUUGUAUCAAGGUGAUGGGGAAAUUUCAAGAAAGUGUCUGUGUUCUGUAAAUUAGGAUCAGGCAGCUGAACUUCAGUAGGUUUGUAUGAGUUUAAGUGGUCACCAGAACAAUGGUAAGACGCCCCUUCUGCAGUGAUUCACCAGCAGUUUGUGUUUCAUUGCAAGCACUUUUGUACAGAGGUUUAGAUCUUAGCAGUUAGCAAAAAACUUGGUUUAGAAAUGGCAAGUAAAUAUGAGGUCUUGUAAGUUCUGUACUGGGCAUUUUCAGAGCAUUGUAACUGAAUAAAUACUUCCCUGCCAUCGUUUGGUAUUGGAAAGCUCUUCAGCUUCUGUUUAGUUGCUAGUGUUGGACUUAUGAUUGCUGCAGUCAUUAAUUUCUGCAAUCUAAUAUUUCUGUUAGUGUCAUGUUUGGACCACUAAGCUCAGCUGCUUUGGUGUUUCUUCAGGGUUUGCAAAAAAUUCUGGACCACCGCAUGUUCAAAGUCUGGAGUGAUUUGUAUAGUUCGACAGACAAAUAUACUGAUGGUUGGCUUUCUUCAGGUAUUCUGAUUCAUACUAGUUUGGGGGAACUUCUUUUAAUAAUGAGAACAAUCAAGAGAUAUUUCUGAUAUUUUGUUUGUGAUUGGUCAAAAAAGGUUGUGGCCAUCCAUUGGGGCUAUAAGUAUUUAUUUCGAAAAGUCGGCUAGUGCCUAAUAACGCUGCUUAAUGCAAAUUAUGCAAUCGACGAUAAUAAUACUAAUAUCAAGUCAAGAGGCUGCUGAAUAUUCUACUUCCAUUAAGUGGAAAAGAAGAGGGUGCUUUCAGUUUCUUGGUGUACUAGAUUGUUCUAUUAUCAUGCUGUACAUGUCUACCACCAAGAGUAUACAUUAUGUACCUUGCUUUAAGAUGUGGGAGAAAUAUGUUUUGACUGAUGUUAGCCUUAAUUACCCUUUUCUGCACUGAAAUUGUUGGUCUACUCUAAAAAAACUGAAUUACAUGUACAAUCUAAGCUUAGUGUUGAUCCGGUUUUGUAUGCUUGAAUACUCAAUGCCAUUCCCCUGCUGUGCAGCUCAUAAGUUGCUGGAAGAAGCGCUGGGUAAAUCAACAGCUGAGCCCGCUGUCAAAUCUUCAAGUAUCAAUUGCAUAGUUACUUCAGGGUCCCUGGUUCCGAGCAUUGCCAAAUGUUUGCUGUAUCGCCUGGAUGAUGUGGUCUCAUCAGAUAAUGGUUCGUCUCUAAUGUUGUCACAACUGUUGUUCGACAGCUUCAUCUGUGUUACAUAUUGCAAGCUGUGAAUCUGUUACCUGAAAUAUUGUCUCCUUGCUUGAGCAGUUUACAGCUCGUGGGAAACGGGGAAGCUGCAGUGCUUCAAGUGGAUCAAGGAACGCCAUGGUGGCCCAAACGUCCACUUCUGUGCGGUUGGAGAUGGCCCCGAGGAGCGCAGCGCAGCUUCCAUAAUGAAAUGGCCAUUCGUCAAGAUCGAGAUCCGCCCUGAUGCUCCUCACAGGUUUCCCGGCCUGAGCCUGUCGACGAUCCACAGCAUCAUGGACGCCGUGUACCAGUCAUCGAGCAAAGAUGGUUGACCUCCGGUGCGCGAGGCGGCGUAUAUGUCUUGAGGCAUCGAUCGCUGUGGACGCGGAGGCCAGUCAGGUCAUAGUUCAAGGGAACCGCAUAGUGGAGAUACCAUCUAUAUAGGAAGCAUAUUGCCCUCCCUGCCUGGAGGAUCCGGAGACGCCUGUGAGAUAAAUAAAGAGCGCCUCACCAUAUAGUUUGAUCCGUUCCGGCAUGUUUGAAUUGAAUUCUGCCAGUGUUGGCCCAUCUUACUGUCAUCUGGGGAAUCAUCUGCUGUUGUAAGUCGUAACCGGUUGGUUGG